ACCUCCUCCCCCAGUUUACCUGUCUCCACCUCCACCCUAUCAUCACUACUACGGUUCUCCUUCUCCUCACCACUACUAAGCAAGUGCAUAAGUUUUGAGGUAAUAAUACCUAUCCAAAACUUUAUCAACACAAACUGCCAUGUAUAUCAUGCUAAGGACGUACACUUGAUCCAUGAAAAUGACUAGUAGAAGAUUUUUUUUAAGAACCAAAGAAAUACAUUAUUUUUUCGGUCUGUUUUCAAGAAUUUGAGCAGUAUACAGAUUAAAGAGUGUUUUUUUUUUUGUAAACUUGCUUGUCAACUUAAAAAUGCACAUAGCUGAAAGCCAACUGAAUAUUUGCAGGCAAAGGAGAAGGCAAUCGGUGUUUGAGACCUUCAAGAAGAUGUAGAAGAAUAAGAAUAAAAGCCCAAUGCGAGGAUGAUUCCAAGUUUCUACGUUACCAUUUCUACAUCUAAAUUGACUUUAGCUCCUGAGUUCCAUGUUUAUGGGGUUUGUACCGUUUUACGUACCAUGCAGUACAUGCUUGCAAGGUUUUCUGUCCUGUUGGCAAACUGCAGGUCCAUAUAAUAAAUGAAUACUAUUUACAUUACGACACUUUUCUCUUUUUCUCUUAUAUUUUGUCUUUAAUAUUGUUGAUCAUUUUUUUUUUAUCAAAAGCAUCAAAUGCUUAGGUAAUUUGGUCUAAUGCUAAUUGUUUUACUUUUAUUUUUCACCUACACCCCUUUUCAACUCAAAGGAUGCUAUAGUUUGUGAUAAUUGUUUAAGACCGAAGCAUGAUACUAAUAAAUAUCUCAUUGAAAGUCAAGGAAACUAACAUUAGGAAAAGUUUAAAUCUUGAUUUGAUGAAACUAUUUAUUCGUGGAAUUUAGAGAUACAAAACUCAAAUUGUGACGGUGUUGUUGCUAAAUUAUUAAGGACAUUAUCACCAUUAUUUUUCCCUGAUCACUAGUUUCAACUGCAAUGAUCUCAAUCUUUUUGUGACUAAUUCUUUCCUUAAUAAUUUAUAAAGACAAAACUCACAAAGAAUAUGUGACUAAUUCUUUCCUUUCGUCUUCUAAAGAAAAUGCCAACUGUUAGUUUAUCAAGGGGAAAAAGGAUCGACAUCAGUUAUUAUUGAAACUAGUAAGGAAUAAAUAAUGGUGAUAAUGUCCUUAAUAAUUUAACAACAGCACCAUCAGAAUUUGACUUUGAGCUUCGGUCUUAAACAAUGAUCACAAACUACAGCAUCCUUUGAGUUGAAAAAGGAAGUAGGUGAAAAGAAAAGUAAAAAAUACAAUUAGCAUUCCCUCAAAUUGUAGAAAGUUAGGUAGCAUUAUAGACAAGUUGAUAGCGGCAAUUUUACAUUUCAAACUUCACCUAUUCAAUAACUAAUUCGAUGGCUUGCUACAUGGUCAAUCUUUGGACCCCUUCCUGCCUCCAGAUAUCCCUUUCCUCAAUCAGGGGCUUCUACAAUUACCAGUUUCAAUUGUAUGGUAUAGUGUAAAUAUCAACAAAUUAGAUGUAGAUGCUAACAUAAUAAAUGUGAAUGCUAAGACAGCAACAUACAAUCGAACCUGCAAUUGUAUGAACCCCAAUCUCGCUUCCUAGUCCACCAUCUUUCUCUAGGUAAUAAUCUCCCUUCUAAUUUAUUCACAAAAUGCACCUUUCAUCACCUCCAAUAGCGUCGACAUGAUCUUUACCCUAGAAGACUAUUCACCGACUCUCAAUUGACGUCAGAAAAUCUAAGAGUAAUUCUACUUUACCCUAAGAUUGAUAUCAACAAGACAAGGACAAUUUAGAAUUAUUACACGCCUCUUCUUAAUAGGAAAAAGAAAUAGAGAAGAAAGUCAGGCCAGGUCUAAUUUCUUUUCAAAGGCAAUACAACAUUACGAAAUCAAGCAUUCAUUCAUACAAAUAUUUCAUAGUCACCGGUUUGCUGAGUAGAAAAAUUUAGACAAAAACUUAAUAUUAUAUUGUUUAAGAGUUAACAAUUUAGAGCUUAAUCUCCUUGUACUUUGGAGUUAACAAUUUAGAGCUUAAUCUCCUUGUACUUUGGACUAAACUUGAACGUGAAAGGAAAUCCCAAAACCAUAUUGGGCAUGAAUUCACACUUAAUAUACCCAAUAAAAGAUGGCGACUGGUGAAAGGCAGUGGAGACUGGUGGAGAGAUUUGAGGAAUAGAAGCAGACGGAAAAGCAACAAAUUUUUGCCGAAAAACGGUCACUUUCAUGGUUAAUUUUGCUACUCUCCAAUUGUACUUGACCAAUUACAACAAUUUCAUGGAGUUUGAUACGUGAAAAGAAUUUUUUAUAAAUUUUAUUUUGAUCCAUAAUGUUAUCUUUACAUAUAUAAAACAUUUUACAAUUUUGAUUUUGGCGCAGCUAACUUUUGGUUAACAAAAAUGCUCAUGUUUAAAAAACCAGAAAUAAAACAAAACAAGAAACAAAAGAAAUAAGAGGGUAGCAUAGACAUUUUGGAUUUUUCCGUUAAUUUGGAUGAUUUCCACCCACGUUCUAAUUUAAUCCAAAACACAAAGGAAUUACGUAGAGGUUUUAAAUAAUCAGGGAGCUUCAUGAUCGAACCCCAAACCACGUGAUAGCAUACAAGAGUUCUAUUUCACUAUCGGUAGACAAAGACUUUCUAUGGUUGAUGUACCGUAGGAAAAAAUCUGCCUAUACAACGUGAUAGCAUUUUUUCAAAAACACAAGAUGGAAAAUUGCCCCCUUAAACGUGGAAAUUCAUGAUCUUUCCUCGAACAAAGAAUACUCACGCCUAUUCAAGAUGGAAAAUUGCCCCCUUAAACGUCUAUUUGUCAAUUCUUGAAAAAAGAAUACUCACGCCUAAAACACGGCCUCUUCAUCUGCAGAAUUCUAAAAAGUUACGUAAACUCUAUAAACAAGUUGAUAGGUACAAUCGUACCCAAGAUCAAGUACAGAUAGUUGUACAUUCACUGCUGCAAUAACUAAUCUGAUGACUUACAAACAUAUCAUGGUCAAUCGUUGAAUGGUAAUGAGUCUUUUGUUAUGCAUUAGUAUUAGUGUGUACACUCUAAUAGAUUGAUACUUAUACUCUUUAAAUUAUCAUAAUAAUACCCUUAAUUAACUUUAACUCUUAAAAAGAAUACGUGUUAAUACACGAGAGUGUGUAACCUGAAUUGUUACUUAUACAUUAGUGUGUAAUAGAUAGGGAUGGCAGUGAGGGCGAGUGCCCGCGGGGGGCUCUCGGGGCGGGGGCGGGGGAGAAUUUUUUCCCCCCGUUUAGAAACGGGGCAGGGGACGGGGGAGUAUACCCCCGCCCCAUCCCCCGCCCCGCCACCCGCAAAAAAAAUUAUAUAUAUAUAAUUAUAUAUAAUAUGUAAUUUAAUUAGUUAUAAACUUAUGAUAAUGAUAUUAUUAGUUAGAUGUAUUAUAUAAUGUAUAUUAGUGUAUGUAAUAUAAUUAAUAUUAUCAAUUAUACGAAUAAUUAGACAUGUCCACUAAUAGAGUUUAUUAAUUAGUUAUACUAAAUUUACUAAUACAUUUGUACUAAAUUUCUAAUUACACUUAAUAGAAUAACACUUUUUUCUAAAAAAAAAAGCACAAACACAAUAAUGAAUUAGUGAUUGUAUUUGUACCAAAAGUGAAAACUUAACUAUUUUAGUUGUAUUUAUUUCAUCAUGUUGGAUUGUAUUCAAAUAAUUUUUGUUUGAUUGUUUUUAUGAGUUUCAAUUGUAAAAUUAAAAUGAAUAAUAACUUGAUGAUGUGUUGAUAUUUUAGUACUUGAUUAUUUAUUGAUUUAACUAUAAUAAAAUUUUAUUUUAUUAAAAUUUAACUAUAAUAAAAUUUUAUUAACCAAACGAGUUAUUAAUCCCGCGGGGGCACCCACGGGGGAAGCGGGGCGGGGCGGGGGAGUGGGAGGCGGGGGACGGGGCGGGGGUGGGGGGAGUUGUAGGUAGCGGGGCGGGGGAUGGGGGAGGGGUCCCCCGCCCCAACCCCGCCAUCCCCCGCCCCGUUGCCAUCCCUAGUAAUAGACUGGCAAGCAUUGUGGUGGUCAUUGAGAACUUACUGGAGAAAUAGUCCUAUAAGCUGUUCAAUGAGCAAUCACAACUUGCUAAUUGGAUGACUAAUAUAGCUCUAGCUGUAAUGUUUUAAUUAAAUUACAUCACUAACGUUGGGAUGACUUUUUAACCAAAAAAAAAUGCCUUAGUUCAAGCUUUUCCCUUUAUUGUGCAUUUUUUAAAGCAUUUGAUAGGCACUGCAAAUCUGUCAUUUUGGACAUUUUAUUAUUGACUAACAAUGAAAGCCGUGACGUCUACCCAUAACCAACACAAGAUUAAAUUAAUAUUAGAAAAAAUAAUUGAGUAAUUGGAAAAAAAAAAAGAGACUCAUUUUCAUUGAAACCCACCGACAAACUAAACGUGUCCAUGGCUUUUGAAUAGUGCAUUCAACGUUUAAUUGUAUAGUCCAGUUCAUUGCAGAUUACAUGGAGUAAAGAUUGUGCUCUUUCCUUUUUCACCCCUUUUGGAAUCGAUACUGUGGAGAAUUGGGUUUUUCCCUUCUUUUUUUCUUUUCUUUCCUUCUGUGCUUUGCAAAACAUAGGUAAAAAUAUGAAAUCCGAAGCAUUCUUUAAUUGGGAUUAAGUAUUGUUGUUGAAAUUAAAAAGAAAAAAGAAAGAACAACAAAAUUCCCAAUCUGGGUUGAUUGUUGAGCUCUAGAUUGGUUGCAUCGUGCUUCCAUAGAAGCUCUCUUAGUGUGAUACACUGCUUUCAAUCAGUUUAACACGGGAAAAAAAAAAAAAGAGAUGAAAAGCAAAUUUGGUGGGGAUAAUUUCAGAAACCUCCCCUGAAGAUUUUGACUAUUCUACUGGUCUCCCUUCAGAUUUUAAAAAUUACACUAAUCUUCCUUGAAGUUAAUUAUCUUGUAACAUUUAAAUUCAAUCAAUAAUUUAAAAAAUGAUAUUAUGAGAGAGAAAAUAAUGAUUUUAUCAUUGCCCCCCAUCUUACUACAUUAUUUAAUUAAUUUAAUAGCAACCCACACAUUAAAGAAAAAUAUUAAAAUUUGUUGUUUAUCAUUAAAGAUCAAAUCGCUUAUAACAUCAAAUAAUAGUAUAUUAUUUAUAUUUUUCACUCAAUAUAAUAUCCAAAUUACUCUUUUCAAUUACAUACCCAUUGUUAGACAAUCAACAACAAAUAACCAAAAAAUUUGCAACCAAAAUAUUACAAAAAAAUAAACUUUAACAUAUAAAUAUUCUUAUCAACAUAUUAAAGUUAGUUACUGAAAUUUUUAUGCUGUUAAACUUCACUCUUUUUGGUUACAGAUUUUUUUGAUUAUUUGUUAUUAAUUAUGUUUGAUGAUGGAUUUAUAAUUGAAAAGAACAAUUUGAAACUUACAUUAAGUAAAAUAUAUAGAGUGAUAUACUAUUUUUUAUAACAUAUGUGAUUCAAUCCUUCUUGAUAGGAUUGGUAAUAGAGGUAGAGGGGGGAGCCGGCUGCAUCCGGUCUACUUUUCAUAGAUAGUACAAUAUUGCGAAAUCGAUCGCAUUCACGCAAUAUUAUUUCCAAGUCAUUGCAUGGCUAAGCUGCAAAAAAAGUACGAACACAUGUUAUUAUAUAGCUUACGAUUCAAAACUUUAGAGCAUAACCCUCCACCUAACACAAUUGAAUAAUGAACAUUCACGUUUGUCAAAUCUGUCAAAGCACAGUUUGAGGACAACCCAUUCCAACCUGCAAAAGAUUUUUUACUUUUCUAAAGUUGUUGAGAGCUGUAAAAAGACUUACCAUGCUUGCAUCCUCCGAGCCUUGGGAGUUAAAAAUGAAGGCACUGAGUGCUAUAAAAAGGGGAAUAGAGGCUGCCUAGAAGCAUAUCAGCCUAAAACAAGAAUUUGUAGUUAAGAUGGGAAGCAAAGCAAAAGCAAUGGGGUCUGGGCUGACUCCUCUUCUUGCCACUGUUUUAGUGGUGUUUGUUGCUCUUGGCUUGCCCUCACAAACUGCAGCUGAUGAUCACUACAAGUAUUCAUCUCCUCCUCCUCCUUACCACUAUCCCUCACCACCACCACCAGUGCAUAUACCUCCACCUCAUCCUGUUUACAAGUACAAAUCUCCACCACACCCCCAGUACAAGUAUAAGUCACCACCACCACCUCCUCAUCCGGUAUACAGUCUCCUCCGCCACCACACACCCAGUUUACAAGUACAAGUCACCACCACCACCUCCUCAUCCGGUACCACACCCAGUUUACAAGUAUAAGUCUCCUCCGCCACCAGUUUACAAAUACAAGUCUCCUCCACCACCACCUCCAGUGUACAAAUACAAGUCUCCACCACCACCAGUUUACCACUACAAGUCUCCACCACAGUUUACAAAUACAAGUCUCCACCACCACCCCCAGUUUACAAAUACAAGUCUCCACCACCACCAGUUUACCACUACAAGUCACCACCACCUCCUCCCCCAGUUUACAAAUACAAGUCUCCACCACCUCCUCACCACUACUAAGCAAUUGCUUCUGAGGUAAUAACACUUGUUCAAUAUACCCACUUCUGCAUGAUAAAGCAUAUCUCUAUCAACACAAACUGUCAUGUCUAUCAUGCUAAGUGCCUUCACUUCAUCCACCAAAAUGACUGCUAGAAAAUUUUUUUUAUGUUACCAAAGAAAGGCAUCAUUUUUUCCCUCUGUUAUCAAGAACUUGUACAGUAUAUAGAUUAAAGAGUAUUUUUUUAACUAGCUUAUCAACUGAGAAAUGCAUAUAGCUGAUAGCCAGCUGAAUAUUUGCAGGCAAAGGAGAAGGAAACCAGUGUUUGAGACCUUCUUGAAGAUGUAGAAGCAUAAGAAUUAAAGCCCAAUGUGAAGAUGAUGAUUUCAAGUUUUUCUACGUUACCAUUUCUUUAUCUAAAUUGGUUGUAGCGCCUUAGUUCCUUUGUUUAUGGGAUUUGUAUCGUUUUACGUACCAUGCAGUACAUGUCAUGUUUGUAAGGUUUUCUAUCCUGCCGGCAAACCGCAGGUUCCAUGUAAUAAAUCAAUACUAUUUAUAUUACGACACUUUUCUCUGUUUCUCUUAUAUUUUGUCGUCUUUAAUAUUCUUAAUCAUAUUUUUAACAAAAAUAUUCAAACACUUAGGCAAUCUGGUCUAAUGCUAAUUGUAUGUUUUACUUUUCUUUUUCACCUGCUCCCCUUUUCAACUCAAAAGGAUGCAAUAGUUUGUGAUCACUGUUUAAGACGGAAGCAUGAUACUAAUGAAUAUCUCAUUGAAACUCAAGGAAACUAACAUUGCGAAAAGUGUAAAUCUUGAUUUGAUGCAACUAUUUAUUCGUGGAAUCUAUAGUUACAAAACUCAAAUUCUGACUGCGCCAUUGAUAAAUUAUUAAUGACGCUAUCAUCAUUAUUUAUCCCUAACUAGUUUCGACUACAACUGAACCCAAUAUUUUCCCCAUGAUAAAAGUUUUUGACUAUUUUACUGGCCUCUCUUCAAAUUUUAAAAAUUACACUAAUCUUCAUUGAGAUUAAUUAUCUUGUAACAUUUAAGUCCAAUUAAUAAUUAAAAAAUGAUAUUAUGAGAGAGAAAAUAAUAUAAUUUUAUCAUUGCCCCCCAUCUUGCUAUAUUAUUUAAUUAAUUUAAUAGCAACCCACACAUUAAAGAAAAAUACUAAAAUUUGCUGCUUUUCAUUAAAGAUCAAAUUGCAUAUGCCAUAAAACAUAGUAUAUCAUUCUAUAUGUUUCACUUAAUGUAAGAUCCCAAUUGUUCUUUUCAAUUACAAACCCAUUGUCAAUAACAAAUAACCAAAAAAUUUGCAACCAAAAUAUUACAAAAAAAAACUUCAACAUCAUAAAUAUUCUUACCACCUCUAGUGCAUUCACCCUCAUAAAAUAAUUCAAGACCCUACUGUCAUAAAAUGACUGAUCAACUCCCGUAAACCUAAUUUGACAACAUUUAAAUGGAGAACUUUAGCUAAAAGAAUUAUGGUCAAGCUAAAGAAAAAACCAGUUAUUUUCCAACAUAUGCAAUCAUUGAUCAGGGAAAAAAAAAAGAGCAAAAAGACAUCUUCAAUCAUUUAAUAGCUUACAGGGCAAAUUAACCCCUAAGCGAAAACUGGUUGCUCUAGAAUCAAAAUUUUACUUUAGUUACCCAGGCAACUUUUUUGUUGCUUUUUUUUUUUUUUUCCUUUAGUUUUGCCCCCUCUGUCAAGCUUAUAAAAUUAUUAAGAUAAUAAAAGUGCCUUGAAUAGUAUUAAUAUAUCCAUUGACUUGAGCUGUCGUCAGUUUGCGAUUCCAUGAGGCCUUUUCAAAGUACUCAGAAAAUGGGGAGUCAUGAAAUCCAUUUGUUCUAUUCAUUGCUAAGAUGCUUUUCUCUAUAAAGAGACUUCCUAACGAAAAUACUUUGUAGAUUUCUUUACUCCAAGUGGUGCAUGGAAAAUUAAUAUUUUCAAUUAUCAAAUAAAAUUCCCUUUUUUCGGCGUAGAUUUCAUCCAUCCAGCUGUUAACACAUUCUAUAAAUCCGAAUUGACUAAUCUUUUCGUUUCCAUUUUCCAACUUGCGAAUACGGCAUAUAGUGUCUGCUAAACACUAUAUAUUCUCUGCCAAAUAUGAAUACAUAUCACUUUUCUGAGCAAGUGCAGAGUCAUUAUCAUUUUUAUUCCCACCUAACAAAUUAGGGAUAAAAAAGUUAAUAAUCUUUACAUGCUAUCAGGUCACAAGUUAAUAAUCUUUUAAAGAACAUGUUAAAUUAAUUUAUUGGUAUGAAUAGUAGUCAAAGAAGUAUGUUAAAGUUAGUAAUCUUUAAAAUAAUAUGUUAAAAUCAUUCGUACAAAUUAGUCAGAGAAGUAGCAUAAACACCGCGAUGCAAUUAAUACUUUCAAUCUCAAGGUCUCUAUUAUGGAAAUUUGCAUCGGUCAAUAUACACUUGGCAUAAUAUAAUCUCCCAACUCAUUUCUUUACAAAUGCACCUUUAAUCACCACCAAAAGGUGUGGACAUGAUCUUUACCCUAGAAAACUAUUCACCGACAGGCAAAUUGACGUCAGAAAUACUGAGGAAUUCUAGUUUCCUUCGGGUUCAUGCCAUGUUGUAUCCUUCAACUGUAACUCGAUUUCUAAGCUGUAAUUUGUGACAUAAUAGUCCUUAAACUAUGAAACCCUUCUUACUUAAUUACAAUGGUUAAUACAAUGCCCGUGACUAGACAAGUAUGAAGCAACCAUAACAGAAAAAAAAUCCAAAAUUAGAGAAAAGAAAGAAGUUUCGCGACCACCACCAGUUUACAAGUCACCUCCACCACCUCCUCCAGUUUACAAGUCACCUCCACCACCUUACCAUUAUUCCUCACCACCACCUCCAGUGCAUUCACCCCCACCACCACCAGUUUACAAGUCUCCGCCACCACCUUACCAUUAUUCCUCACCACCACCUCCUGUGCAUGCACCUCCACCACCAAUUUACAAGUCACCUCCUCCAGUUUACAAGUCUCCACCACCACCUUACGAUUAUUCCUCACCACCACCUCCAGUGCAUUCACCCCCACCACCACCAAUUUAUAAGUCUCCCCCACCGCCUCCCCCAGUAUAUAAGUCACCACCACCACCUCCUCCAGUAUACAAAUCACCUCCACCACCUCCUCCAGUUGACAAAUCUCCACCACCACCAAUUUAUAAAUACAAGUCUCCUCCACUACCUCCUCCAGUGUACAAGUCAUCACCACCACCUGCUUACAAGUCUCCACCUCCUCCAGUUUACAGUUCCCCACCACCACCAAUCUACAAGUCUCCACCUCCACCCUACCAUUACUACUACAAUUCUCCUCCUCCUCCUCGUCACUACUAAGCAAUUGUAUCCAAGUUUUUGAGGUAAUAACGCUUAACCAAUAAAUUAACUUUCGCAUGAUAAACCUUAUCUCUAUCAAGACAAACUGCCAUGUGUAUCAUGCCAAAUACGUACACCUAGAUCCAUGAAAAUGAAUGGUGAGGAGGGCCAUUUAGGCUCGGAGCGCCCUAGGCCUAGUUCCCCACCAUUUCCUGAAGUGCCGCCUCGGGUAUUAUCCUGGAAGGCGAUCGCGGCCCAUUUACCACCUCGGCUACAAUGUCAGGUCGUAACACCGAGGUGGACAUUGAAUGACAACUACGAAAAGGGGAGAUGUGAUCUCUGACACCUGAGCAAAGGCUGCUCUGACCCGCCGCCUGAAUCUGACAGAAUGUCCCAUCACGUCUCUUCAUGGAGACCGGUCAAGUCCACCUGAUCCACUGACUAUCUCAGAUCUUUUGGGACCCGUGCAAACAUCUCCUCUCUCCUAUCAGUCCCCUAUAAAUACACGAUACUUCUACUGAAAAAGGAGAUGACCAAUUUCUGGUAAAACACACUCCACUCAUUAUUUACUUCUCUAUAUCCGAACUGACUUAAGCUUCGGAGUUAUACCGGGGGAUCCAGCCCCUUUCUUAUCCAAGCAGGUGACUUCGUCCAAGAGAGUUGCCCAAGGUAAAGAUAUUCUUCCAAUUGAGGUGACUCACUCCUGCGGGUCGAAAAUCACCUCUUCAAUUGGCGCCGUCUGUGGGAACCGCAAAGAUAUUAGAAGAUGAAGCCUGCGCGUUCUAGAAGCAGAAAAGCUCUCACUAUCGAGGCUGGGCAAAGCAAUGCAGCUCAACAAGAAAAUAUUUCUGAAGGGCAGGAGUCCCCAAGGACUCAGCCCGCAAACGAAAAAGCCAUAACCCGUAUGGCCGAGUUUGUGACCGAGAACCCCAACAUCUUUGAAGAGUUGGGAAGAUACCUGAAGAGGCAAGGCAAACAAAAGGCCGAGUCCUCUAAAAGGAUGUCAGAUGGGUCUCUUGAGGACUCAUCUGAGGAGGAGUCGGAUGGAAGGCACUUAAGCCGAAGUGCCUCAAAGCGAGCAUUUUCUAAGGCCACUUCUAAGGUAGCCUCCCUGACCAAGGCGUUUUCCCGAGGGCUCUUGGGCCGACGACCCGAGGAAGAACCUCGGCCCUUGGGAAUACCCGGGGUGGACUGCAUGAGGGCUCCACCGUUCACGGAUGAUAUAAACGAGGAAAGGCUUCCUCCCAAUUUUAAGCUCCCCGCAGUACAAUCUUACGAUGGCCGAGGUGAUCCCGAGAAUCACAUCCAUACCUUCAUCUCGGCCUUCCAAAUAUACUGCAUCCCAGACCCUGUCAUAUGUCGGGCCUUUCCAGUAUUCCUCAGAGGAACUGCUCGAAAAUGGUUCUGAGCUCUAGAACCUAGGAGCAUUUCGACCCUGGGUGAAUUAGUGGAGAAGUUUCUCCACCGAUUUGUCUCCUCCCGACCUACGACUAGGACCUCGGCUUACCUGCUCACCGUGCAGCAGAACCCGGGAGAGUCACUCCGGUCGUACGUCCGGAGGUUCCAUGAGGAAAGCGUUCAGAUACCUGACCCCAAUGAGCAGGUAACCCUCGCUGCCUUUACCCAUGGACUCGUUGCCGGGGAGUUCAAUACGGGGAUCCAUAAAAAAUACCCCCGCACACUGCAUGAAUUGUGGUUGAAGGUUGAAAAGGGCAUACAGGCCGAAGACCUCCAUCGCAUGAAGAAAGAGGUCCAAGCCACCCGUCCAAGGGCUGAGCCCAGAAAGGGAAAAGACGCUGGCCGAACUGAAGUAGGGUCGGGAAGUGGCUUCCGAAGUCCUGGCCGAGACCGCCGCAGCGUGUUCGACAGGAUAUCCAAGGGGAAGUCACCUAUUCCCGAGUCCGAGUUGACUCCUUUAAAUACUACCCGAUCUCACGUGUUGUCCGUGAUGGAACAAAACAACCUCGGCAAGGGCCCGCCGAGGAUGUUUGGAAGCAGAGACAAGAGGAACUCGAACCUCUACUGCUUGUAUCAUCGUGACAUUGGUCACGAAACUGAGGAUUGCAACGAUCUCAAGAAGGAGAUCGAGAACCUCAUUAGACGGGGACACUUGAAACAGUUCAUCCGCAGAGGUGGAGGUCACCAACGUGACGAAAACCGGCAUGACAAAUGAGGUGACCAACGCCGAGAUGAGCGGCGGAGCUCCAGAAGCAGUUGCCGACCUCCUGAGGAUCCCAGGGAGACGAAAAGGCCUCCCCCAGACGGAUCUUCGGGACAUGGGCCAACCAUUGCCCGGGUCAUUAACACCAUUGCCGGAGGUCCGACGGGAGGGGACAGUCAGAACUCCCGGAAGAGAACCUAUAAGCAGGCUAACCCGGAUCAGGCCGAGUCGAGUUCUCGCCUGUCCGAGGUGAUCACCUACGGGCUCAGUGAUCCCAUCCCAGCUGCAUCCAGCAGUCAUGAAACCUUGGUGAUUGAAGUCCUCACCAAUAACUACAUUGUGAAAAGGUCUACAUAGACCCGGGAAGUUCAGUUGACGUCAUGUACCUCCGUACCUUUGAGAGCCUUAAAAUGGCUAAGGGGUGCAUGACCCCGCUGAGAACCCCUCUUGUAGGGUUCGGGGGACACGUGGUGCACCCCGAAGGGAUGGUGACUCUGACAGUGACCAUAGGGCAUCACUCUCGCUGUAGAACCGUCCCUGUCAAUUUUGUGGUGGUUAAGGCUGACUCCCCAUACAACCUACUUUUAGGUCGGCCUACGCUCAAUGCCUUGCGGGCGGUCUACUCCACCUACCACCUGAGCUUCAAGUUUCCUACCCCAGCAGGGGUGGCCGAGGUCAGCAGCGACGUCUGUGCUGUCCGGGAGUGCUACCUCGCCACCCUACAAGCAGCCUCCCCGUCUACCUCCGGUGCGAGGUCCGAGAAGAGGUCAAAUAUCCUCUCAAUAGAUAGCAUCGAUCCUCAGUGAGCUGAGAAGGUCCCGAGGCUGGAGACUGGGGAUGAGGUGGAAGAGAUUCCCCUGGACCCCACGAAACCUGAUCAGACAGUUCGCGUUGGUACCCGAUUGCCCGGUCCUAUCCGAAGAGGUAUGAUGGACCUCCUCAGGGAAUACCGGGACGUCUUUGCUUGGGCCGCCGAAGAGGUCCAAGGAGUCCCGCACCAUCUCAUGAUGCAUGACUGAACGUCGACCCCCAAGUCCGUCCGGUCAAACAGAAGAGAAGGCACAUCGGCCCUGAGCGCAGCCAAGCUGUUGGUGAGGAAGUGGACAAGCUUUUACCCGCUAAAAUAAUCCGAAAAGUCCAAUACCCGAUCUGGUUGUCUAACUCGGUCAUGGUCAAGAAGGAUACGGGGGCUUGGAGAAUGUGCGUCGAUUUUACCGACCUCAACAAAGCCUGCUCCAAGGAUUGCUACCCCUUGCCCAAAGUCGAUACUUUGGUAGACUCAGCAAUGGGCUACGAGAUCCUCUGUUUCUGGGAUGCAUUCAAAGGCUAUCACCAAAUUGGGAUGAGUCAAGAAAACCAGGAGAAAACGGCCUUCUACACCGACCGCGGCACGUACUGUUAUACUACCAUGCCAUUCGGGUUGAAGAAUGCCGGAGCCACUUAUCAACGCUUGGUCAACCAAGCAUUCAAGUCUCAAAUCGGCCGGAAUGUUGAGGCCUAUGUAGAUGACAUCCUCCUCAAAAGCCAGACGAACUCCACCUUCCUGGCCGACUUGAAGGAGGUCCUUGACAUCCUGCGGAAGGUGAAAAUGAUGCUGAACCCCAAGAAAUGUGUUUUUGGGGUCACCUCGGGGAAAUUUCUAGGUUACCUCGUCUCAAGGCGAGGUAUCGAAGCAAAUCCGGAUAAGGUGCGAGCCAUCCAGGAGAUGUCUCCACCCCGGUGCGUCCGCGAUGUCCAAAGGCUGACAGGGCGAUUAGCCGCCCUGAAUCGGUUCUUAUCGCAGUCGGCAGCUAAAGCACUGCCCUUUUUCAAAGUGUUGAAGAAAGCUGACCAUUUCUCCUGGACGGAAGAGUGUCAACAGGCGUUUGAGCAGUUGAAGGAUUACCUUCACUACCUUCCAACGCUCACCUCACCUCGUCCGGGGGACAAAUUAAUCUUAUACCUUUCUGCUGCGGCCGAAGCGGUGAGUGCCGUGCUGAUAAGGAAGGAAGGGGUCCAAAUGCCCGUCUACUACGUUAGCCGAGUCCUCCGAGGUCCAGAGACCAGGUACACACAAGCAGAGAAACUUGUGCUAGCCCUGAUCCACGCCGCCCGCAGACUCAAGCCCUACUUCCUAGCUCACCACGUCUGCUUGAGGACUGAUCAACCACUUCGGCAGAUUUUGACACGACCAGAGGUUUCGGGACGUCUUACCAAAUGGGCCAUUGAGCUGGGGGAGUACGACCUAACUUAUGAGCCUCGCACAGCGAUCAAGGCCCAGGCUCUCGCAGACUUCGUAGCCGAGCUCACCUUUGACGAGGUGCAAGGAUCCGUCCCGGCUGCCACAUCGGCCACAGUUGAUGUGGCCACCACUGGGCUCCAGCGGUGGAUCCUACACGUGGACGGUUCGUCAACAGUGAGGGUAGUGGAGCAGGCUUGCUCCUCGAAGACCCCCAAGGAGAAAUAUGCUAAUAUGCCUUAAGAUUUGACUUCGCUGCUUCAAACAAUGAAGCUGAAUACGAAGCCGUCAUUGCUGGACUGCAGCUAGCUCGCAAGCUCGGGGCCGCACACAUCUUGGUUUAUAGUGAUUCCCAACUCGUCGUGUGCCAGAUAUUAGGUGAGUACGAAGCCAGGGACGAGGUGAUGCAUCGUUACCUCUCCAAGGUCCUCCAGUUGGCGACUCACUUCGAGUCUUUUGAAAUUCAAAGAAUACCGCUAUCGAAAAACAGAAGGGCUGACGCCCUCUCCCGGCUUGCCUCAACCUCUUUCUCUGACCUGAACAAGACGGUUCUCGUUGAAGUUCUAGCCGAACCAGGAUAUGUAGCCGAGGUAGUAUACCCCGUCUACCCUGGGGACACCUGGAUGGGUCCCCUGACUCGAUUUUUCAGCCAGGGUGAGCUCCCCGAAGACCGAGCUGAGUCACGGAAGCUCCAACGAAAAGCAGCACGGUACAUUCUCCGACAAGGCCUUUUAUACAAAAGGUCUUACCUCGGCCCUUAGUUGCGAUGUAUCACGCCCGAGGAAGGCCAGAGAAUCCUCCAAGACAUACAUGAGGGGCUCUGUGGUGCUCACGUCGGCUACAGAAUGCUGGUAAAAAAGGCUUUGUUACUUGGGUAUUUUUGGCCCACUAUGAGGAUAGAUGCCCAGGUCAUGGUCCUUUGCUGCCCCUCCUGCCAGCAUCACGCUCCUGAGCACCACCAGCCGACCAAUUUAAUGAUCCCUAUCACCUCGUCAUGGCCAUUUGAGCAAUGGGGAACGGACAUAAUUGGCCCCUUUCCCAGAGCUCCAGGCAAUUAUACCUACGUGGUGGUAGCAGUGGACUACUUCACCAAAUGGGUCGAAGCUGAACCCCUAAAAAAUAUCACUGGUGCGGCAGUCCAGAAAUUCUUCUGGAAGAAUGUGGUUUGCCGCUUCGGCCUACCCCGGGUGAUCAUCUCGGAUAAUGGCCGACAGUUCGCCGAUAAUCCUUUCAAGGCCUGGUGUGAGAACCUCGGGGUCAAACAGCAUUUCACUUCGGUGGGACACCCCCAAGCCAACGGACAAGCCGAAAACUUCAAUCGCACGCUCCUCCAUGGCCUCAAGACCAGGCUCCACCAGGCUGGAUCGUUUUGGAUGGAAGAGCUCCCCAGUGUGCUGUGGUCCUACCGAACUACGCCGAGAUCAGCAACCCAGGAAACCCCGUUUUCCUUAACCUACGGGUCAGAAGCUGUUGUUCCAGCCGAAUUCAUCACCCCGAGUCCACGAAUGGCCGCAUAUGCUGCCGAAGUCAAUGAAGAAGAACGGCGAGUUGACCUCGACCUCGUCGAAGAGAAGCGUGAUAUGGCCGCGGCCAAAGUUGCUGUUUACAAAAAUAUCGUAGCUGGCUACUACAACGCUCGGGUUAAACAUUUGCGGUUCAGUCCGGGAGACCUGGUGCUCAGGAAGAACUCAGUCAGCCGGGCUGAACCUCAGGGUAAACUAACCCCCAAGUGGGAGGGACCAUACCGUGUUGUUGAGUCCAGCCAAAAUGGAUAUUGUAAAUUGGCAUACCGAGAUGGGUCUCUGAGUGCCCCGAACUUGGCAUGCUGAAAAUCUUAAGUUGUACUACCCUUGAGGGUAUGUGCUUUUAAUCUUGAGUUAUUUCACACUUAUUUUCAUUUCAUUAUAAGUGAAAAAUAAGGGGACAAAGUAGCAGUAAAGAGGAAAACCGAAUUUAAUUAAAAAGAAAGCAAGAAUAUGAACUCAAUUCCAUUGAAUUACAUAAAAGUAGAAAGCCGAGGUCACCUUUAAUUAGGAAGAAAGCAAGAAUAUAAACUCAAUUCCAUUGAAUUACAUAAAAGUAGAAAGCCGAGGUCACCUUUGACCUCGGCCUACAAUGACAAAAAAAAAAACAAGUGCCUCUAGGCACUCCCUACCCUGACAUCCUGGCCCCCCGUGGUCGCGCCACCCGUUUCGGCACCCUGUCCACCCUCAGCUCCUCCACCGGCCUGGUCGUCUUCAGUACCAUCUAGUUCAAACUCCUGGAGCCAUUUGUUGAAUUCGGCUCGGACUUCGGUUAGGUCUUUCUCAGUCCGGAUGCCCUCAGCCAUGCUGUCGCAUAGCUCCUUGGCAUCCUCGUUAUAGUGCGAAGUGCUCUGAAGGGACUCCAGUUGUUCAGAGGGAAGAAAGGAUGCCGCGUCAUUAAUAGCCGACGUGUACCCGAACAUGAAGCUUGGCCGGGUGAGCUCGCCGAGGUCACGGAUGAAGGACUCUGACGUCCGGAAGGCUUCCACAGCAGUGACCCCGGCCUUGUCCAUGGCCUCCCUGUUUGACUGUUCUUCUUGGGCCCUCCUUUUUUUCUCCUCAUCAAGAGCAGUCACCAGGGAAUUGUUCGCGACCUCGGCCCUUUUGUUAGCCGCCUUGGCCUUGUCACGCUCCAACUCGGUUGCCUUCAGUUUUUCUUCCAACUCGGCAAUUCUCUUCUGGAGCUCGGCAGGAGGCUCAUAGUUUUCCAUGAACUUUCCAUACCGUUGAAUCAUCUCGACAAAAAAAGCCGUGGUAGAGGCCCAUGACACCGAGGCGCUCUGCAUCAACUCCCCUGCGGAGAGCUUCCUAGCAUAAGUGCUAUCUCGUGGCAGCACUGAAUGCACCAAGAGCUCCUGAGCGACCAAAGGGUUCUUGCAGCGAUCGUUGAAAUUAAUCUCCCACUCUGGACACCAGUGUGAUCCGGGGUGUCUCUUGUCCUCCUCAGCUGCCUUGAAAGGCACAUGAUGGAGUUUGAACAAAGAUGACCCCGUGACGGGGUUCUCCGGAAAUAUGGUCACACCCUGACCCCGGGGGGGAGUGGCAAUCGUGACCCAGCGAGAAGGGAUUCCCACCGGAAUUGCCGAGGCUCGGGAACCUCCCGGAGUGGCCGAGGUGUGCGAGCCCUCGCCCACGAUCACCACGGCAGGCUCGCGGUCGCCCGACGCCGCGGUGGUUUUCUUAGCCGGCCUGGAAGAGGACCCUGCAGUGUCCUUGCGCUUUUUGGGAGCUCUUUUGACCACCUCGACAUCUCCCGAGGUUAUCAGGUCGAAAAUCUUCGUCACUGCAAAGUAGGAGACGAAGUCAGUUAGAAUUCAAGAGGGAUAAACUAAAAGGGAAGAAAUGGAAAAAUACAAAGUCUGUGAAGCCUAGUCGAGAGUAAGACAGGCUGGUCAGAGCUCGUCAAGGCUCAACUGAUCCCGCCUUCCACGAGCACCACUUCGGGAAAAUCCCAGCAGUUUAUCCUGAGGCCCGACCCCGUUAACUUCUGGAAGUUACGCUCUUCUAACUUCCCUGGAGAUAUCUCCUUGAUCGAGGUGGGAGGCCUCCACCAGAAUCCGCGAGGGAAGUCAUCGGCCGAGACGAAGAAGAAGUUUUGCUUCCACUCCUUUAUUGAGUUCGGAGCAUCAACCACCAACUUCGGAACUUUGUUUCCGAAGUAGAACCAUCCUUUUUCACUUCUGCUGUUCUUGAGUGAGUAACAGCGGCGAAAGAGGUUGACCUAAGGUUGUAUCUCCUGAUGUCGGCAAAGUAGCUGGAAGCCAACGAGAAUGCGAAUAGCGUUAGGGGUGAGUUGAGUGAUUCUCACCCCCCAGUACCUCAGGCAGUCCCGAAGAAACCUCGUCGUGGGCACUCUGAGUCCGGCCUCCAGCUGUUCCUGAUAGAUAGUCACCUUGCCCUUUGGUGGCAGUGCGGCUGACUGAUGCGGUUGGGGUAUGUAAAUACUAUAAUCCCUUCUCCAGGGAUACCUGCGGACCACCUCGGCUAUUGAGGCUUGUCCCAUACCACUACUGAAGAACGGCAUCUGGCCGUAGUCGAGAGUUGCCACGUUUGGAGGAGUGGAAGGUUCUUGUACUCCCUCGUCUCUAGGGAUCUCAAUCCCGAGGUCAUCGUUGUAUAGGACCUCGGGCUGGACCUCGAUCUCCUCGGGCUGCACCUCAACCGCCUCAGCUCGGCGUGAUGCCUCGGCACCUCCACCCUCAGCUUGGUGAGAUGCCUCAGCACCUCCGCCCUCGGACGCGGUCCUUUCCUGGGAGGGGUCAGGCCUCUCUGCCUCAGUGAGGUCAGGUCUCACUGUCUCUUUGUGCGUACGAGCUGUUCUAGCCAUUGUAUCAGAAGGGGAAGAAGUGAACUUACUUAGAAUCUGCGACUGGAAGAAGAUGCCGAAGUAGACGUGGUUUAGAAAGGUUGCCGAAGUGAAAAGAGAAAGAAACAGAGUUCUGGGGUGAUUCUUGAUUUUUGGUGAAGAGUAAAACGGUGAAAAAAGACCACUAUUUAUAGGCCACCAGGGUGAAACCCAAGAGACGGCACCCUCUCUCUUCAUUAAUGGGAGGACUGUUCGUCUGCCAACACAGCUGACAGCCGUCCCUUCAGUUAUCACUCAGUCCCAUCUAUGCGGUCAUGACGUGUCCGUGUUCCGUGUUUUAUACGCUUCUCAGCUUCGGGAAGUAACGACCACGGCGGAUGCCCAUCUCGCCCUUCUCAAAGCUUGGGGGGCUUAGUGAGGAGGGCCAUUUAGGCUCGGAGCGCCCGAGGCCUAGUUCCCCAUCAUUUCCUGAAGUGCCGCCUCGGGUAUUAUCCUGGAAGGCGAUCGCGGCCCAUUUACCACCUCGGCUACAAUGUCAAGUCGUAACACCGAGGUGGACAUUGAAUGACAACUACGAAAAGGGGAGAUGUGAUCUCUGACACCUGAGCAAAGGCUGCUCUGACCCGCCGCCUGAAUCUGACAGAAUGUCCCAUCACGUCUCUUCAUGGAGACCGGUCAAGUCCACCUGAUCCACUGACUAUCUCAGAUCUUUUGGGACCCGUGCAAACAUCUCCUCUCUCCUAUCGGUCCCCUAUAAAUACACAAUAUUUCUACUGAAAAAGGGGAUGACCAAUUUCUGGUAAAACACACUCCACUCAUUACUUACUUCUCUAUAUCCGAACUGACUUAAGUUUCGGAGUUAUACCGGGGGAUCCAGCCCCUUUUCUUAUUCAAGCAGGUGACUUCGUCCAAGAGAGUUGCCCAAGGUAAAGAUAUUCUUCGAAUUGAGGUGACUCACUCCUGCGGGUCGAAAAUCACCUCUUCAAAUGGUAGAAAGUUUUCUUAAGAACCAAGAACAGCAUUAGUAUUCCCUCUGCUUCCAAAAACUUGUGUAUUAAAUAGAUUAAUGAAUUGUUUAACAUGCUCAUCUACUUGAAAAUGCACAAUACCCAUAACCCACUGAAAUUUUUGCAGGAAAAGGGAAAGAGAAUCUGUGUUUGAGAGCUUCAUGAAGAUGUUGAAGAAUAAGAAUAAAAGCCCAAUGCGAGGAUGUUUUCAAGUUUUUCUAUGUCCACUUUAAUUUGUAAAUUGAAUUUUACAACUCAAUUAAUUCCUUGUUUGUGAGGUACGUAUUGUUUUACGUACCAUGCCGUACAUGUUUGUAAGGAUUUCUAUCCUAUUGGCAAAAGUCGGUUCCAUACAAUUAAUCAAUUCAUUUCACUUCUAUUGGCUCUACUAUUUAUGCAUGUUACGACACUCUUUCCCUUAUAUUUUGCCUUUAAUAUUAUGAGUCAAUAGUAAUAAUGGGCCUUUUUCUUAAAAUUAUACUAUUAUACAUAGGUAGUUUGGUCUAACGCUAAAUUCAUGUUUGUCUUUCUUUUAUUCCCUUUACAUCUCAAAGUAUACUAUAGUUUGUAAUCAUUGUGGUGAUGAUAUUACCAGCUGGUACUUAUAGUUUAAGGCAGAGACAUGAUAUUAACAACUAUCUCAUUGAAACAUAAGUCAAAAUCAUGACAAGUGUGAGUCUUGGUUAAUGCACAAUUUGUUAGUGGAAUUUAUAUUUAUAAAACUCAAAAAAAAUUUUUGACAAUGCUAUUACUAAUUAAUUAAGGACUUCAUUGCUAUAAUUUAUCGCUUACUAGUUUAAACUAUAAAUGAUCUCAAUACUUUUCUCCAUGAUGUCGAUUUCUUUAGACUACGAAAGGGAAAAAUUAGUGACAUAUCCCUUACUGAUUACAACAUCAGCAAAAAUUAGUUAUAAACUUUUCCGGUGGUUUUAAAUCCCUCGGGCACUAAGGUUUUUUGCACAUCGAGUGAAUUAAGGAACAUAGGCAAUUCGUUCUGCAUACCAAGUCCUUGUUUAAGAUGCACGUACUAAAAUGCAUCCACUUCAUUAAUUUGGAAAAUUGCCAUAGUUUUUUUUAAGCAUUUUGAUUUUUUACAUGAUUCAAAAUUUUCUUAUUGGAUACAAUCACUUUGUGUCAAGAACACAUUUUCAAUCAUCUUUUUUAUCUUCUCAAUAAGAAAAUAAAAAUUUAUUCAUGCUUUUCUAACAUAUCCAAUCAUUGAUCUGAAAAAUAAAGAAUUAAAAAAAAAAGACAUUUUCAAUCAUUGCUUACAGGGCAACUUCCCCAUGUGAACCUCUUCAAACAAAGCCAAUAAUAUGAAGGAACAUCUAAAUACACUUUUGCCCUAAAGGCUGGUUGCCUUGGGGUCAAAAUUUAACCUUCGGGAGUAUAAUUACCCGCCAAAUUUAUUAUUUUUUAUGGGUAUAUAGUUCCAAUUUUGCCUCCUGUUAAGCUUAUAAAUAUAUUACGACCCAGAAAAUAAAGGAAUCUUGAAUAGUAACAUGUCCAUUGACUUGAGUUGUCAUCAAUUUGGCUACUUCGAUUCCAUGAGGCCAAUCCAAUUCACACUAGCUAGAGAAAAUGGUGAUAAAGGCACUUAGAAAUUUAUAUGUAAUAUUGAUUGGUAGUAACUGAUAAGUAUAUAUUUUACGUGUUUUAAAUAUGUUUUAUUAGUUAGUUUUGGUGUGUUUUAACUACUUUUAUAACUAAUUAACUAGGAAUCUAGUGAAAAUAUGCAUUUUGUGGUUUGAAGUGUGAAAAUUGUAUUUCUAUGGAUUUUAAUGGUGAAAACUUCAUGUUUUUGUAGGUUUAAUGAUUCAAUCAUCAAAUGACAUGAUUUGAGAAGAUAAUUAGAUGAUUGAUGAUGUUUUGAAGUGAUAAAAAGAGAAUACAAAGUGCAAGAGAGGAAAUGCAAUCAAGAAUAAAAGAAGAAAAUUUUUGUAGCUUUGACAUAUUGUGGUAUUUUGGCAAUAUAUUGAGCUACAAUGAUUGGAUUAAGGUGAUUCUUAAACCAUUUGAAGCUAAGAUAUAGAUCUACAUUUGGUAUGAAGGCAUCGAAACCCAUGUCAGUCAUUUUCCUUGUCAAAAUGUUGAAAUACAGAAGUGCAACUCUGUUCUCGAAAGCUAAAACAGAGCUCUGGCUAGUCGAGGGUAUUUUCAUCAUUUCUUAGUCCACAGAGCUCCAAAUGAGAUGAUUCUUAAGGCAUUAGAACCCUAACUCAAAGAGCUACAACUUUCAUAUUUUGUACAAGAGUUAGUUCGGCCUCCAUCAUUCAGAAAAUAGUAGUUGAAGUGGUGCCAAAUGCAUAGAAGUGAAAACGCGAGCUAUCAAUACUCGACCUGAAGUCGCGUAUUCCUGAGGUCAUGCAUUCUCUUCUAUUUUCUGCAACUUGCCCUGCUUUCACAUAAUUUUUUCAUCUCAAUUCCAACUAUCAAUUUCGGCUAUAUCUGAUCAAGAAAAGUGUGGAAAGUUUGAAAGACAACUCAUAGGAGUUUCAAGAGUCAAAAAUUACAAUUAGAAACAACUCAUUUGGCUCUUGAAUCCUCUAUAAAUAGAGGCCUUUGAAGAACAUUUUCACAACUUUGGAAGGUUAGAGAAACUCCACAAAAACAUAGUCUUCACUAGAAUUUCCUUAGUUCAUUAGUUAGGGUAGUAUAGUAUAGUUAGUGUAGCUUUUCCUUCUUGUAUUUAUAGUUAGGUUUGAAUGAAGAUUCAGGAGCAAAGAUAGAGAGGUUGAUCUCAUGUGACAAGGGUGAUAUCUCUUCUACUACUUUCUCUUUUGUAUUUGAUUUCAUAUUUAACUAUACUACAAAUUUGGCUUUGUUUUUUUUUUUUAUCAUGUUUAGUUAAAGUUUAUGCCUAGAGUAUGGAUGACCUUUCUAUAUCUUGUUUGUGAUAUUUAACUGGUUAUUUGAUGAUGUUAUUUUUGAGCAAGUUAUUUAUCACUUUUGCUUUUCUAAUCGUGAUUAACUGGCCAUUAGUUGUGAUUAUCUAAAAGUGUUAAGUUUGUAAUGAGAAUUGGAGUUUAACACUAGUUCAAGGAAGUGAUAAAUUUAGGGAGUUCACUCAUGAGAGUAGAGGAACACCUUUGUGACCUAAGUGACUUGUUUCAUAUAAUUUCAUAGAAAAAAUGAACUUGUAAUUAAUUUCAUAACCACGAGAGUAAGUAUGGUUUAGCUAUAUGUAUAGUUGAUUCACUACGAGAGUAGGUUUCACAUACAUUAGAAAAUUACAUCAUAACUAGUCAAGAUAAUAUCAUUCAUUUAAUCAGUAAUCUCAUUUGCAUGAGUAGUAAGGCAUUCCAUAUCUCUAGGAGGUUUUUAGUAUUAUUUUCAUUACUUUUAUGUUUAUGGUAGUCUAGAUAAUAAUGGAGUUCAAAAACUACUAGUAAUUGAAAAUUUUCCCUGUGGGAUCGACCUUUAAUACCCUAUACUCGCUCUCGACUCGUAUACUUGCGAAAAAUCACGUGUGCGGUAUUUAGAAUUUAUAAAUGUAAAACUUGACUGUAGAUGAACUAAUUGAUAUAUGUAUACCCCGCACUCGUCAGUAACCAGCUUGUAUUGAUCCCAUUAUUGUGGAUAAUUGUGCUCUUAUGAAAAAAAAUUAUAAAAAAAUUAGCAAAAUUUAUGAUAACAAAUUAAAUUUAUUCAUACAAAUCAGUGAAAGAAGUAGAAUUUUAAAGACCAUGAUGAAAUUAAUACUUUCAAGGGCUCUAUUAGGAAGACUUCACUUGUUGGUGAAACUACACUAGCACAGUUAUAUGCACAUUUACUGUUUUGGUAUCUAAUUUCCUUGCCUUAAGUUGGGUGCAGAUGUUUAUAUUACAAAUAGAUGGUAUCAUAAAAUUGUUGUAUUCACGUUUGUUCUUUUUUUUUCUUCCUUAAGUUUUUUUCUUUAUUCUCGUGACUUCAAAAAUACGAACUCAAGAAAUUGGCUGCUUAAUCAAUAUGUCAUACAGGCUUCGCUAGUGAGGUAUAACUUCACAACUAGAGUCAAUAGAAAUUAUCAAAUGAUUUUUUAACAUCCAAAUUAAGCAAUAAAUUUUGUUUUCAUUUUAUGACAUAUAAUAGUACUACUUCAUGAGAGAUUUUAUAGUUUCUUUUAGGUAUCAUACCUACAAGUGAUAUUUGUCAUUGGAUAGUGACAGAAGUGUUAAUGAUUGUAAGAUUAAAUAUUGUUAAAUAUUGAAAUUUAAACUAUUUAUCUUUAUUGAAAGAUACAAGUUAAAGAAUCGUUCAAGGGGGCAAUUUUCCAUCUUGUCUUUUUGAAAAAACGCUAUCACAUUGUAUAGGCAUGAUAGGUUCAAAUUUGUCAUUAAAUUUAUGAUUGAUUUCCCUUUUAUUCAAGCCAAAUAUUGUUUUAAUUAUCAAAUUCUACUUAUAUUUGGUUAAUUGUACUAAUUGUAGGGCGGUAGAGCAAAAGUUGCUAAAAAUAGGUGAUUUUCUGCAAAUUGGUUGUCAAGGCUGAAGGAUUUGGGAUUCGCAUGUUCAAGGCCUGUUUCCAAGUUUGAUUCAAACUCUGGACAGUUUUAGAGGAAGAUUUGGAAGAUUUGAAAUUUCAUUAUUAGUUUUAUGGUUGAAUUAGGAAUCUUGGAAUAAUUUCUUUUGUGAUUUAUUUUUCUAUUUAGGAGACUAGUUGUUAUUUAGUAGUAGACUUCAAUUAGAAAACAAAGAGAAAAAGAAGGCCGGAAUCCCGCUUGAUUAAUACCUUGGCCAGGGAACAAUCUCGGUGGGGAGGACGGCCACUUAGCCUCUCAAUUCAUCUUGCUUUUCGUUAGUUUGAGAGGAAAACCAAUUGCAACUAGAUUCAAUGGAGUCUGGCAGAAUUUCUUCUAGGAUGCGUAGCUAAAUCCUCAAUUUUUAGUCGAAGGUCAAUUUGAAAAUUCGGUUCCAAAUAUCUGUGAAAUCGAAUUAUUUUACUUAUUUCUUUUAUUUAUUGGUAUUCGCACGUUUUCUGAUUUAACUUUUUAUGAUUGUUUUGUUAUUUGAAUGUCAAGGGUCCGAUAUUCGAAUUAACUUAAUAAUCUACUGCCAAAUUAACCGGUUAAAUCCGUAAUUGUUUGAUUGAUUAAUAUCAGUGGCGACUAGCGUGAUUGGUCCCAUGUUAGGAAAACGUCUGAUCUAAUUUAAACAAACCGUCGUAGCGUGUUUGUUGAUUAGGGUUGGACUUUUCUAAUUCUUAAUUCAAUUGAGAAAUUAAAUCUCCCGGUCGUACCUAAGAUUAUUUUUUUGUUAGCGAAAUAGUUAAUGGUCGUACCUUGACUAUCGAAAAAGUAAGGAAGAGUUGAUUGUUUAUCGCGUGUACGACAACUAUAAUCAAUCUAUUAAUGAGUAAUUGAAUUAUCUUUGCAUCAGUAAUCAGUUGAAUGGACCGUGUCUGAAAAGUUGUACCUUUGGCUAGAGUCUUAUCUGUUGUUGAUUCAUUCAUAUCUAUCUUCAUGCGUUGUUUUAAUUUAGUUAAUUAGUUAUUUUUAUAAAAACCCCUCAUCUCUGGACUCUAAAAGAAAUAAAUUAUUUCUAGUUCCUGUGGAUUCGAUCCUACUCACCGCUAUAUACAAAAUUUGUAUUUUUUUGAAUAAAUAAUUAUUAUUACACAGGCUUGACACCUGUCAAGGCAAAAUUUCCUUAACUUCAUCAUCUGUAGACGUAAACUUUCUACGGGUGAUAUAAUAUAAGGAAAUUUUGCCUAUACGAUGUGAUAGCAUUUUUUCAAAAAAGACAAGAUGGAAAAUUGCUCCCUUGAACGGAAAAAAUCAUGAUCUUUCCUCAAACUAGUCUACUAGUCAAUUCUUUACAAAAGAAUACUCGCUCCUAAACAUAGCCUGUUCAUCUACACUGUCCCGCAGAAUUCUAGAAAGUUAGGCAAAACUAGACAAGUUGACAGGUAUAAUCAUACCCAAGAUCAGGAACAAGCAGUUGCACAUUUCAAAAUUCGCUGCUGCAACAGCUAAUUUGAUGACUUACAACACUACACGGUCAAACUUUGAAUGGCAAUGGAUCUUUUGUUGUACGUCAUGAUGUAAUUUUCAUGUUACAUACAUUAAUAGGUUGAUAUCUAUAUUCUUUAAAUUAUCAUGAUAAUACCCUUAAUUAGAUUUAACUGAUAAAAAGAACACGUGUUAAUAUACAAAAGUGUGUAACGUGAAUGUUACAUUACUGUAUUGCAGAAGACCUAUAGUCUCUUCAUAUCUCUUCCUGCACGUAUCAAUUCGUUUCCUCUAGAUAAUAAUCUCCCAACUCGUUUCUUUACAAAUGCACCUUUUAUGUUUUAUUACCUCCAAAAGCCUUUACAGGGUCUUUACCCUAAAAAUCAAUUCACCGACUCGCAUUUGAUGUCAGAAAUUCUUAAGACGAAUUCUACUUUACUCAAAGAUUGACUGUUAAUAAUGAGACAGCGACCAUUUUGUAUUAUUAGACCGUCCUUCUUGAUAGGUAAAAGAAAUAGAGAGGAAAGUGGGUCCGUAUAUGGUCUUUUAUUCAUAGAUAAUACAACAUUACGCCAUCGAGCAUUCACACAAUAUUUCAAAGUCAUAGCAUGCCUAAGGCCCUGUUUGAUAGCUCAAUUUCGUAAUUAAAUUUAAUAGAUUCAAAUUUUAACACAUUUAAAUCAUUUGAUAACAAAAAAUUGAAUAUUUAAAUUAAUUAAGUAACACUGAACUUUCUAAACAAAACUUGCUUUCAAAAUUAAGUGAUAAGUUAUUCACUUAUCUUUGAAUGUGAUAUGCACUCAAAUAUAUUAAAUUUAAUAAUUUAAUGGAUUCAGAUUUCAGAUUUCAGUUUUAUUACACACCCUAAGUUGCAAAAUAAUACCAAAACUUGUUAUUAUAUAGCUUGAGAUUCAAAAAUUUAGAGCAUAAUUCUCAACCUAACACAAUCGAAUAAUGAAUAUUCACGAUUGUUUCAAAGUACAAUUUGAGGACAACCCAUUCCAACGCGUACACGAUUUUUAACUUUUCUAAAGUUGUUGAGAGCUGUUAAAAGAGAUUUACCAUGUUUACAUCUUCCAAGUCUUGGAAGUGAAAAAUGAAGCCACUGAGUGCUAUAAAAAGGGGGCUAGAGGCUGCCUAGAAGCAUAUCAGCCUAAAACAAGAAUUUGUAGUAACAAUGGGGAGCAAAGCAAAAGCAACGGGGUCUAGGCUGACUCCUCUUCUUACCACUGUUUUAGUGGUAUUUGUCGCCCUUGGCUUGCCCUUGGAAACUGCAGCUGAUUAUUACAAGUAUUCAUCUCCUCCUCCUCCUCCUUACCACUAUUCUUCACCACCACCUCCAGUGUAUUCACCUCCACCAACCCCUGCUUAUAAGUUACCCCCACCAUCUCCUCCAGUUUACAAGUCCUCACCACCACCUUACCACUACUCACCACCUCCGGUGUAUUUACCUCCACCAUCUCCAGUUUACAAGUCACCACCACUACCCCCUCCGGUAUACAACUCCCCGCCUCCACCAGUGUACAAAUACAAGUCCCCACCACCACCUCCUCCAGUUUACAAAUCUCCAUCGCCACCAGUUUACAAAUACAAGUCACUCCCACCACCUCCUCCGGUAUACAAGUCUCCUCCGCCACCUGUUUACGAGUACAAGUCUCCUCCACCACCUCCUCCAGUGUACAAGUCCCCACCACCUCCAGUUUACAAGUACAACUCACCUCCACCUCCUCCCCCAGUUUACCUGUCUCCACCUCCACCCUAUCAUCACUACUACGGUUCUCCUUCUCCUCACCACUACUAAGCAAGUGCAUAAGUUUUGAGGUAAUAAUACCUAUCCAAAACUUUAUCAACACAAACUGCCAUGUAUAUUAUCAUGCUAAGGACGUACACUUGAUCCAUGAAAAUGACUAGUAGAAGAUUUUUUUUAAGAACCAAAGAAAUACAUUAUUUUUUCGGUCUGUUUUCAAGAAUUUGAGCAGUAUACAGAUUAAAGAGUGUUUUUUUUUUUGUAAACUUGCUUGUCAACUUAAAAAUGCACAUAGCUGAAAGCCAACUGAAUAUUUGCAGGCAAAGGAGAAGGCAAUCGGUGUUUGAGACCUUCAAGAAGAUGUAGAAGAAUAAGAAUAAAAGCCCAAUGCGAGGAUGAUUCCAAGUUUCUACGUUACCAUUUCUACAUCUAAAUUGACUUUAGCUCCUGAGUUCCAUGUUUAUGGGGUUUGUACCGUUUUACGUACCAUGCAGUACAUGCUUGCAAGGUUUUCUGUCCUGUUGGCAAACUGCAGGUCCAUAUAAUAAAUGAAUACUAUUUACAUUACGACACUUUUCUCUUUUUCUCUUAUAUUUUGUCUUUAAUAUUGUUGAUCAUUUUUUUUUUAUCAAAAGCAUCAAAUGCUUAGGUAAUUUGGUCUAAUGCUAAUUGUUUUACUUUUAUUUUUCACCUACACCCCUUUUCAACUCAAAGGAUGCUAUAGUUUGUGAUAAUUGUUUAAGACCGAAGCAUGAUACUAAUAAAUAUCUCAUUGAAAGUCAAGGAAACUAACAUUAGGAAAAGUUUAAAUCUUGAUUUGAUGAAACUAUUUAUUCGUGGAAUUUAGAGAUACAAAACUCAAAUUGUGACGGUGUUGUUGCUAAAUUAUUAAGGACAUUAUCACCAUUAUUUUUCCCUGAUCACUAGUUUCAACUGCAAUGAUCUCAAUCUUUUUGUGACUAAUUCUUUCCUUAAUAAUUUAUAAAGACAAAACUCACAAAGAAUAUGUGACUAAUUCUUUCCUUUCGUCUUCUAAAGAAAAUGCCAACUGUUAGUUUAUCAAGGGGAAAAAGGAUCGACAUCAGUUAUUAUUGAAACUAGUAAGGAAUAAAUAAUGGUGAUAAUGUCCUUAAUAAUUUAACAACAGCACCAUCAGAAUUUGACUUUGAGCUUCGGUCUUAAACAAUGAUCACAAACUACAGCAUCCUUUGAGUUGAAAAAGGAAGUAGGUGAAAAGAAAAGUAAAAAAUACAAUUAGCAUUCCCUCAAAUUGUAGAAAGUUAGGUAGCAUUAUAGACAAGUUGAUAGCGGCAAUUUUACAUUUCAAACUUCACCUAUUCAAUAACUAAUUCGAUGGCUUGCUACAUGGUCAAUCUUUGGACCCCUUCCUGCCUCCAGAUAUCCCUUUCCUCAAUCAGGGGCUUCUACAAUUACCAGUUUCAAUUGUAUGGUAUAGUGUAAAUAUCAACAAAUUAGAUGUAGAUGCUAACAUAAUAAAUGUGAAUGCUAAGACAGCAACAUACAAUCGAACCUGCAAUUGUAUGAACCCCAAUCUCGCUUCCUAGUCCACCAUCUUUCUCUAGGUAAUAAUCUCCCUUCUAAUUUAUUCACAAAAUGCACCUUUCAUCACCUCCAAUAGCGUCGACAUGAUCUUUACCCUAGAAGACUAUUCACCGACUCUCAAUUGACGUCAGAAAAUCUAAGAGUAAUUCUACUUUACCCUAAGAUUGAUAUCAACAAGACAAGGACAAUUUAGAAUUAUUACACGCCUCUUCUUAAUAGGAAAAAGAAAUAGAGAAGAAAGUCAGGCCAGGUCUAAUUUCUUUUCAAAGGCAAUACAACAUUACGAAAUCAAGCAUUCAUUCAUACAAAUAUUUCAUAGUCACCGGUUUGCUGAGUAGAAAAAUUUAGACAAAAACUUAAUAUUAUAUUGUUUAAGAGUUAACAAUUUAGAGCUUAAUCUCCUUGUACUUUGGAGUUAACAAUUUAGAGCUUAAUCUCCUUGUACUUUGGACUAAACUUGAACGUGAAAGGAAAUCCCAAAACCAUAUUGGGCAUGAAUUCACACUUAAUAUACCCAAUAAAAGAUGGCGACUGGUGAAAGGCAGUGGAGACUGGUGGAGAGAUUUGAGGAAUAGAAGCAGACGGAAAAGCAACAAAUUUUUGCCGAAAAACGGUCACUUUCAUGGUUAAUUUUGCUACUCUCCAAUUGUACUUGACCAAUUACAACAAUUUCAUGGAGUUUGAUACGUGAAAAGAAUUUUUUAUAAAUUUUAUUUUGAUCCAUAAUGUUAUCUUUACAUAUAUAAAACAUUUUACAAUUUUGAUUUUGGCGCAGCUAACUUUUGGUUAACAAAAAUGCUCAUGUUUAAAAAACCAGAAAUAAAACAAAACAAGAAACAAAAGAAAUAAGAGGGUAGCAUAGACAUUUUGGAUUUUUCCGUUAAUUUGGAUGAUUUCCACCCACGUUCUAAUUUAAUCCAAAACACAAAGGAAUUACGUAGAGGUUUUAAAUAAUGAGGGAGCUUCAUGAUCGAACCCCAAACCACAAGGCGAUUUACUAUAUUUUACUCUUAAAUUUUGGUUUCAUCUCAUAGCAUACAAGAGUUCUAUUUCACUAUCUGUAGACAAAGACUUUCUAUGGUUGAUGUACCAUAGGAAAAAAUCUGCCUAUACAACGUGAUAGCAUUUUUUCAAAAACACAAGAUGGAAAAUUGCCCCUUAAACGGGGAAAUUCAUGAUCUUUCGUCGAACAAAGAAUACUCACGCCUAUUCAAGAUGGAAAAUUGCCCCCUUAAACGUCUAUUUGUCAAUUCUUGAAAAAAGAAUACUCACGCCUAAAACACGGCCUCUUCAUCUGCAGAAUUCUAAAAAGUUAGGUAAACUCUAUAAACAAGUUGAUAGGUACAAUCGUACCCAAGAUCAAGUACAGAUAGUUGUACAUUAACUGCUGCAAUAACUAAUCUGAUGACUUAUAAACAUAUCAUGGUCAAUCGUUGAAUGGUAAUGAGUCUUUUGUUAUGCAUUAGUAUUAGUGUGUACACUCUAAUAGAUUGAUACUUAUACUCUUUAAAUUAUCAUAAUAAUACCCUUAAUUAACUUUAACUCUUAAAAAGAAUACAUGUUAAUACACGAGUGUGUGUAACCUGAAUUGUUACUUAUAAAUUAGUGUGUAAUAGAUAGGGAUGGCAAUGGGGGCGGGUGCCCGCGGGGGGCUCUCGGGGCGGGGGUUGGGGCGGGGGGGAAUUUUUUCCCCCCGUUUAGAAAUGGGGCAGGGGACGGGGGAGUAUACCCCCGCCCCAUCCCCCGCAAAAAAAAAAUUAUAUAUAAUAUGUAAUUUAAUUAGUUAUAAACUUAUGAUAAUGAUAUUAUUAGUUAGAUGUAUUAUAUAAUGUAUAUUAGUGUAUGUAAUAUAAUUAAUAUUAUCAAUUAUAUGAAUAAUUAGACAUGUCUACUAAUAGAAUUUAUGAAUUAGUUAUACUAAAUUUACUAAUACAUUUAUACUAAAUUUCUAAUUACACUUAAUAGAAUAACACUUUUUUCUAAAACAAAAAAGCACAAACACAAUAAUGAAUUAGUGAUUGUAUGAUAGGGUGUAAUUUUACUAUUUAUUUUAUUAUUAAUUUCCCCUAUCACCUGACCUGAUGUGGAUUAAUUGCUGGAUUCUGCUCACUUUUAGUACUUUGUAUUUAUUUCAGGGAGUAGAACGGAAAUUUGAUAACAGGUGCUAAUUUGGCAGAAAAAGAGUCCAGAUGAUAGAGCUUGCCCCAAGGGCAUUUUUGGAAAGGAGAACUUGUGCCCAUCUUGGUAAUUUGGGAGAAAAGGGAAACAGACAAAAUGGGUCUAACAUGGAUUGGAAGCGGCCGCACAGUAGCAGGGAAGAGGGCAGACGUAAAAGCAAUUGCAGGGGGGAAAAGGAGUUUUUUUAGUUUUUAGCUUAGCAUCUGAUUUUCCCUGGGAGACUUUUGUUAAAGAUUUCCUUUUGGCUGAUAUUACGCAUGGCAGAUGGCUUUUAACUUAUUCCUCCAUCUUUGACUUUUCUUCUUUAGCUUGUGGCAGUGGAUUGCUACUUACGAAUGUCAGCACUUAGCCAUUCGUGGCUUUUGAUCUUUUCUUCCUUAGAAAUUCUGAGUAACCUCUUUUCCUUUGUGCGCCAGACGAAGUGAAAACUAUAAACUUUUGUAGUUUUUCUAUUCAUUCAAUAUAUUGAGACGAGUUGGAUUCUACCAAAUUUCAACGGACAUGGCCGCUGGUUUCUCUUCAAUUUUAUAUGGGCUUUGUUCAUCCAACAUGAACUAAUUUCACCACUCUAGUCAAGGAGCAACGAAGGCUCUGAUUUGCCUAAAAAUUGUGAGAUCGUUUUAAUUUAAUCUUUUCCUUUUAUUUAUUGGUAUCCGCACAUUUCUUGAUUGCUAUGCUUAUGGUUAUUUAAUUAAUUGAUUGUCUUGGAUCCAGAUAAUUAAUUGAUCUGAUAGCCUAUUGUCAAUUAGGGCAUUUAAAUCCGUAAUUGUUUAAUUGUCCUGAAAUAGUGACAACUGGCACGAUUAGAUUCGUGCCAGGGGGGAUAUGCGGGCUAAUCUAAAAUAACCCUGGUAGUGUGUUAUUUGGUUAGAAUAGGGCUCCUCUAAUACUAAGGCAAUUGGGGAAUUAAAUUCUACGGGCGUACCUAGGAUUAUUUCUUAAUUAGAGCAGUGAUUAACGGGCGUACCUUGAUCACCGACACAGUAAGGAGGGGUUGACCGUCAUCGCUUGUUUGGCAGUUAUAACCUAUUUAUCAGUAAAUAAUUGGGAUUGCCUUGCAUCAAUGAUCAAUUAGGUGAACCAUUGUUGAAGUUACUUCUUGGUUAGAUCUUUAGUUAAUAUUACCUUGAUUUUGGUGAAUUGCCAUUUGAUUUUUAGUUGCCUACUUUAUUUUAUUUUUAAUUGUUUCCUUGCUUUAAUUGAGUUAGGCCUUUAAUUAUUGUUAUUCUAAGUUUAGUGAAUUGUGGUUUAAUUCCUAAUUAGUUAUUUAUUUUUACUUUCUUAUUUGAAUUUAUUUGCUUGUUAUCAUUCCUACGAAAUCACCCCCCUGUGUUACUUUGGAUUUCUUAAGAAACAAAUAUACCCAAUCCCUGUGGAUACGACCCUACUUGCUCUGUUCACGAAUUCAUAAUUAUUUGUGAAAAGAAAUAACCAUUCCACUCGGGUAUAUCGGAUCAAGCAAAUUCUUCGGGAACAGGGUGAAUCAAGUAACCCAAUGCACACCUAGAGUCCCUGCUCCAGUACUUGGAAUUGGGUUUUGGUCAUUUUAACUGGCAAUUAGGUUUAAUUUUAUUAUUGCACAGGCUGACGACCCUGUCAAUUUUUGGCGCCGUUGCCGGGGACUGGCGUUAUUAUUUGUUUCUUUUUAAAUUCAUUCUUUGUCCUAAUUUUCUGGUUUUCUUCUAGUGUAUGCCUCGAUCUUCUCGUACAGGUAAUUUGAUUUUUGACCCUGAGGUAGAGAAGACCGCAUGUAGAACGAGAAAGGAAACCAGACAGCUCAGAGAAGAGCACUCCAGUGCUACAUCUCAGAGACCCGAGUCAGAAGUUGAACUAACAGAUUCGUUUGGUAACACUUCGAGUGACUCUGACCAGGAGGAAGACACCAUGGCUAAUGCACGAACAUUAAGGGAGUUGGCUGCUCCUGAUUUAACUCAGCAGCCUUUAUGCAUUACUUUCCCCACUUUAAAUGAUAACAUUCCAUUUGAACUAAAAUCUGGUCUGAUUCAGCUUUUACCCUCUUUUCAUGGUUUACCAGGUGAAGAGCCGUAUAAGCAUCUGCAGGAGUUUGAUGUCGUGUGUAAUAGUAUGAAACCCUCGGGAAUCACAGAAGAGCAGAUAAAAAUGAGGGCAUUCCUCUUCUCCUUGAAAGAUUCUGCGAAGGACUGGCUGUACUACCUGUCACCAGGUAGCAUCACCACGUGGGACCAAUUGAAGAAAAAAUUUUUGGAUAAAUAUUUUCCUGCGUCCAGGGCUGCAAGUCUAAGGAAAGAAAUUUGUGGGAUCAAGCAGCAUCCAGGGAAGUCACUUUAUGAGUAUUGGGAACGGUAUAAGAACUUGUUGCGCAGGUGCCCCCAACACCAAAUAAGUGAGCAAUUGAUCAUACAGUAUUUUUAUGAGGGGCUCCUUUUUAGAGACAGGAGCAUCAUUGAUGCCAGGGGGGAGGGUUGGGAUGGGUGGUACGGGGGGAGGGAGUGUAAGCAAGAGGUCUCGGGUUCGAGUCCUCCCGCUUACACACAAAAAAAAAGAUGCUGCAAGUGGAGGGGCACUGGUAAACAAAACCCCUCAGGAAGCACGGGAGUUAAUAGAGGGGAUGGCAGAGAAUUCACAACAAUUCAGUACAAGAGAGGAUGUCCCAAUACGUAAGGUGAAUGAGGUAGAGACACCCUCUAUGCAGCAGCAGCUAACUGAGUUGACCGCGUUUGUUAGGCAACUGGCUGUGAGAAAUGCAUCACAAGCCAGGGUGUGCGGGAUUUGCACUGGUAUGGGUCAUUCUGCAGACAUGUGCCCAAUGAUUCAGGAAGAAACUGCAGAACAGGUGAACAUGGCUGACCACGCGCCCGCGCCAAGGAAGCAGUACGACCCUUACUCAAGCACCUACAACCCCGGGUGGAGAGAUCAUCCCAACCUCAGUUAUGGAGAAAAUAGGCAGCCCAACAUUACACCGAACAGGCAGUCUAACUUUGUGCCAAAUAGGCCACCAGGGUACCAGCAGCAAUAUCAACCCCGACCACCUCCGUCCCCAAGCUCUGGCCCAUCUUUGGAGGAGAUGAUGAAACAAAUGAUGACAACUAUGGCUCAAAAUCAGCAAAUGACGGAGGCAACCAUUAUGCAAAAUCAGCAAAGGACGGACUCCGAAAUGAAGGAUAUAAGGAAUCAGAUAAGUCAAAUGGUCACAACAAUCAACCGUUUGGAUUCCCAGAACCAAGGUAAAUUGCCAUUUCAGCCCGAAUUAAAUUCGAAGAACGUGAGCGCAAUGACCCUAAGGAGCGGGAAAGAAAUUCAGGGGUCUGAACCUGUGAUCCCUAAGGAUAAGGAUGAGGAAAAGAUCGAAAAUGAGCUUGAAAGGGAGGACAGCAAUGGUGCAGAUCUAAAGGUACUUCCUGACCCAAUAAUUACAGCUAAAACUAACCCGCCUCCUUUUCCUAGCAGGUUGGAAAAAUCGAAAAAAGAGGAUAAGGAGAAGGAGAUCUUGGAGGUUUUUCGCAAGGUUGAGAUAAAUAUCCCCCUCUUAGACGCAAUCAGACAAGUACCAAAAUAUGCCAAGUUCCUAAGGGACUUGUGUGUCAACCGAAGGCAGUUGAGGGAAGAUGAACGGGUUAUUGUUGGGGAGAAUGUGUCAGCAGUCCUGCAGAGAAAGCUCCCACCAAAGUGCGGGGACCCAGGUAUGUUUACUAUUCCCUGUAGGAUAGGUAAUACUGUGAUAGAAGGGCCAUGUUGGAUCUGGGAGCAUCAAUUAAUCUCAUACCUAAAUCUAUCUAUGCUUCUCUAAAAUUAGGUCCAUUAAAAGAAACUGGAAUAAUCAUUCAAUUAGUUGACCGAACUAAUGCAUAUCCUGAUGGGUUGGUUGAAGAUGUGUUGGUAAAAGUUAAUGAUUUGAUGUUUCCAGCUGAUUUUUAUGUACUUGAUAUGGAUGAUGAUCACUCCCCUGAUCCCUCACCUCUGUUAUUGGGUAGACCCUUUAUGAGCACAGCACAGACGAAAAUUGAUGUUAAUAAGGGUAUCUUGUUCAUGGAGUUUGAUGGGAAAAUUGUGCAUUUCAAUAUCUUUGAUACUAUGAAAUAUCCCUCAAACUCCAACUUUAGCACAGUUUUCUCUGUGAGUGCUAUUGACCCUGUAGUGCAGGAAGUGUUUGAAACUGAUGGCAGGGAUGAGUUGGAGGUGGCUUUGACCAAGCACCUCGAGUUGGAGACAACUCCUGAGGUGGAAUGGAGCGAGGACCUAAAAUGCACAAUAGGUGCAUUACACUCAUUGCAGUCCACCACGAAAAGGUAUGAAGUCUUACCUAUUUUUACUCCCGAACCUCACCAGAGGGUGUUGCCAUCUGUGGUGCAGGCACCUGUACUAGAAUUUAAACCUCUAUCAGAGCACCUGAAAUAUGCAUAUCUGGGUGAUAAUGAGACACUCCCGGUGAUUAUCUCAUCGACACUGUCAAAAAUCCAGGAGGAGAAACUGAUCCGGGUCCUUAGAGAGCAUAAAGAGGCGAUAGGUUGGACAAUCGCAGAUAUUAAGGGGAUCAGCUCGGCCAUCUGUAUGCACCGGAUUAGACUAGAAGAGGAUGCCAAACCUGUUAGGCAGGCUCAAAGGAGGCUCAACCCCCUAAUGAUGGAAGUUGUAAAGAAAGAAAUUUUAAAAUUGCUAGAUGUGGGGAUUAUUUUUGCAAUAUCAGAUAGCCCUUGGGUAAGCCCGAUCCAGGUAGUCCCAAAGAAGGCAGGGGUGACGGUGGAGGCAAACCAAACGGGUGAGCUCGUGCCAGUGCGCAAACCCACUGGAUGGAGGCAGUGUAUAGACUACCGUAGGCUAAACGCCGUCACCAAAAAGGACCAUUUCCCUCUCCCUUUCAUUGACCAAAUGGUUGAACGUUUAGCUUGUAGAGCUUAUUAUUGCUUUUUGGAUGGAUUUUCAGGAUACUUUCAGAUAGCAAUUGCUCCAGAGGAUCAAGAGAAGACAACCUUCACGUGCCCGUUCGGGACCUUUGCUUAUAGACGAAUGCCAUUUGCGUUGUGCAAUGCACCUGCAACAUUCCAGAGGUGUAUGGUAAGUAUUUUUUCUGAAUAUGUGGAGAAAAUUAUUGAAGUUUUCAUGGACGAUUUCAGUGUGUAUGGUGAUAGUUUUGAUACGUGUUUAGAUAAUCUGAAAUUGAUCCUGAUAAGGUGUAUAGAGACUAAUCUUGUGCUUAAUUGGGAAAAAUGUCAUUUUAUGGUUGAGCACGGGAUAGUCCUGGGUCAUAUUGUAUCGUCUAAGGGCAUAGAAGUUGACAAGGCUAAAAUAGAUAUUAUUUUUGCAUUACCUUACCUCGCGAGUGUGCGGAAGGUGCGUUCUUUUCUUGGACAUGCAGGUUUUUAUCGAAUGUUCAUCAAGGAUUUUUCAAAAAUUGGAGCCCCGUUAUUCCAACUCCUACAAAAGGAUGUGACCUUCGAAUUCGAUGAUAAGUGUGAGGAAGCCUUCAACAAGUUGAAAGAAUUGUUGACCUCACCCCCAAUUAUCCAGCCCCCUGAUUGGAGUCUACCAUUUGAGAUCAUGUGCGAUGCCAGUGAUCAUGCCGUAGGGGCUGUAUUGGGGCAAAGAGUAGGGAAGGCAGCUCACGUCAUCUACUAUGCAUCCCGAGCAUUGAAUGGAGCCCAAUUGAAUUACUCCACUACUGAAAAGAAGCUUCUUGCAGUUAUUUUUGCUUUAGAAAAAUUCAGGUCAUAUUUGCUAGGUGCUAAAGUAAUUGUAUUUUCUGACCAUGCAGCAUUAAGGUACCUAAUGACCAAGAAAGAUGCCAAACUGAGGCUCAUUAGGUGGAUAUUGCUACUGCAGGAAUUUGACCUGGAGAUACGGGAUAAAAGGGGCUCAGAGAAUUUAGUAGCUGACCAUCUGAGUCGUAUACCCGUUGGAGAGGAUAAUGAACCAUUGAGGGAUGCGUUCCCUGAAGAGCACUUAUUUUCUUUAAAUUCUCAGUUGCCUUUGUAUGCCGAUCUGGUCAAUUAUUUGGUAACUGGUAAUUUUCCUGCAGGUUGACCAAAAUCGAAGAGGGAUAAAUUGAAGAGCGACGCCAAGUAUUUUAUUUGGGACGACCCGUACCUAUGGAAGAGGUGUGCAGAUCAAGUGAUGCGGAGAUGUGUAAGUGAAAUGGAAUUUCAAUCGAUUUUAGCUUUUUGUCAUACUUUUGCCUGUGGAGGUCAUUUGGACCCAAGAGAACUGCUCAUAAGGUUUUAGAAAGUGGAUUUUAUUGGCCUUCAUUGUUUAAGGAUGCCUAUGUGUUUUGUAAGUCAUGUGAUCGCUGUCAAAGGGUAGGUAAUAUACCCCGUAGAGAUCAAAUGCCCCAAGUCCCGUUGAUUUUUAUUGAAAUUUUUGAUGUCUGGGGUAUAGAUUUCAUGGGGUCUUUUCCUACUUCAUUUGGUUUUUUAUAUAUUUUGCUGGCAGUUGAUUAUGUGUCUAAAUGGGUGGAGGCUAAGGCCACUCGAACUAAUGACUCGAAAGUAGUUGCAAAUUUUGUCAGGUCUAAUAUUUUUGUGCGAUUUGGAAUGCCUAGUGCUAUUGUCAGUGAUAGGGGAACGCACUUUUGCAACAAAAUCAUAGCUGCGUUGUUUCGCAAGUAUGGUGUACUCCAAUGGGUCUCAACGUCGUACCACCCUCAGACCAAUGGUCAAGCGGAGGUGUCGAAUCGAGAGAUCAAGUCUAUCUUGGAGAAAAUGGUGCGCCCCGAUAGGAAAGACUCGAGUCAAAGGCUGGAGGACGCACUUUGGGCCUAUCGGACGGCGUACAAGACUCCUAUAGGGAUGUCACCGUACAGGUUGGUAUUUGGGAAGCCGUGUCACCUUCCAGUGGAGUUUGAGCACAAAGCUUUUUGGGCGAUAAAGUAAUGCAACAUGAAUUUAGAGGAAGCCGGUGCCCAACGAAAGUUGGAUUUGCAAGAAUUAGAAGAGAUCCGGAACGAGGCUUACGAAAAUGCACUAAUUUAUAAGGAGAGAAGCCGGAUAUUUCAUGAUCAACAAAUUUCAAGAAAAUCCUUUGAAGUUGGUCAGAAGGUCCUACUAUACCAAUCCAGGCUCAAGCUAUUCCCAGGUAAACUACGUUCCCGUUGGAUUGGACCUUUUCUUGUUACUCAUGUUUUUCCAUAUGGUGCAGUUGAAAUCCGGAGCGCUAAAACAGACAACAAAUUUGUGGUGAAUGGACACCGUCUCAAGCAUUACUACGAAGGAUUUUCAGGUGAAAAGGUGGAGACAAUAAGUCUAGACGCGCCACCGUGUCCUAAUCAGUGACAUUUUACUAUGUCUAGCCAAAGACAUUAAAGACAGGCGCUCAUUGGGAGGCAACCCAAUUGUCCCUUUUAAUUAUUUGUUUGAUUUCGUGUGAUAGUUUAAAUAUGUUUUCCUUGAAUUCGACUGAUUUUGGGUUUCAGUUUUCGUUUUUGCUGAAUUGUAGGUGACCUUCAGUCUUGACGCGCCCGCGUGAUGACAUGCAGGAAGCUCACGAUCAGAAUCGUCUGAAAGCUCUCUUGCCCUUUUGACGCACCCGCGUGAUGACGUGCAGGAAGCUCACGAUCAGAAUCGUCUGAAAGCUCUCUUGCCCUCUUGACGUGCCCGCGUCACGUUCGCAGGAAAGGUACGGGUUUCAAAAAUUUAAAGAAAAAAUAAUAAUAAUAAUAAUUUAAAAUUUUGAAAUUAACUUCCGUAAAAAAAAAAAAGAAGAAAAAAAAUUUCACCGUGGCUUAAAUAGAGCCUAAAGAAGAGAAAAAAGAAACAAUUUCUUUCUUUUUUUUUUCUUUUUCUUCUUUCUUCCUUCUUUCUUUCUUUCUUCUUUCUCUUUUCCCUCUCUCUUCUCCCCUGUUUCUUCUCCCCUGUCCGUCGCCCGUGCGCCCCAUCGCUGCUCCACCUCCACACGCACGCCGACGCUGCGAGCCACCUGCGACCCCAGCGCCAGAUCUGGACCAUCGCCGAAACCCGCAGCCUCCGCCACCUCCACCUGAGCUCUGCCUCGCGCGCAACCCAGCUGCUCUGCGCCCGAAGCUCCACCGCCGCCACAGCCUCCCCACGCAGCUCCCUGCUCACGCGGCCACAAGCCCAUUGGAAACGGGACAGAGACUGCCGCCGAGCCACUUGCCCGCGUGACCGCCGCUGUUUUCCACCACCUCCCUCACGCGAGCUCUUUCCCUCUCAGCAGCAAUCCACUUCACAGCGCACCCGCUGCGCGCCGUCGCAGCCCUCGCAGCUCCAGCCCGUCUGGUCUAGUCCGCCGCGCGCACCAACCACCCACGGACGCUACCCCCAUCGCUAACCCACGCGGCCUCCACUCCAGUCUGUCCGCCGCCGCUGCUCGUGUCUCCCUUGCGCACCUCACGCCACCCGCUACUGUCCCCUUCCGUUUGGUUAGCAUCCACGGUGGAGGUAAUUGGAGGUUAUUUUCUCAAUUGUGUGACUUCCGCCUGUGAUACUGGUUGCAUUAUUUUUGCUGGGAAUUGCUACUUCUUUUGGGUUGGGUUCAACUGUGCAAUUAAUUGGCCAACUGGAGCCAUUUGUUGGGAUUUUGGGUGAGCUGAAAUACUGCAUUUGUGUGUUACAUUGGGAGGUUUAUUGGGUACAUUCUAACCGCUGUUUUCCAUUGUUACUCUCGCUGGGGUGUCUAUUAAAUUGCGAUUGAAGUAUUUUGGAUAUUGCAUGUUGAGAUUGAGGUUUCAUUGAAUUUGGCCUACGUUCUGCCCCCAGUGGUACUGGUGGGAAUAUUUUCAAUUGAAUUUGUUACCUCUAGUUGGUUGGCUACAUUAUUAUGGUCGAAUUCCUAAGUUGUCGUCAUUGCAUUUGUUGAUCUUGAUUUGGGGCAUUAACCGGCCAACUGGAGCCAUCUGUGCGUUUUUAGGCGCUAUUAUUGGUUUCUUCUCCCUUAACUUUGUCAACUAUAUUUGGUUGGGUAUUUGGUUGACUGCCACGGACUUGUAACUGUGUUUUGCUUCUAAUUGACCAGUUGCACAGCAGUUUUUUUUUAAUUGAUAGGGUGGUUAUACCUCUGGAUAUUUGUAUCCACUGGUUUGAGGACAUGGUGAGACCAAAAUCCUCCUCUAGGUCUAGGACCCCUAGAACCUCGCAAUCCCAACCCCAAGCCUCUACUCUAGUCAAUACCCCUAUAAAUCAACCUACUGCUCCCGGUGUCCGAACCUGGUUAGGUAGGGGUAGAGGUGCCCACGUGGCUUCCGCCACUCACUUGGGAGGGCAUUUGGAAUUCACUAGAGCCGCCGAUCAGCGACGCUAUGCUCAAGCUUGUGAGCGGCGUAUCAUUCCGUGCAAAUGCGCGGACCACAUUACUAUGGUUUUUCUGGGGAUCCAAGGGGAGGUUGAGCGCAUGUACACCGCCAUUGGAUGGCGCCCCUAUCUGGAUAUUUUCCAGCCAGCCUUUGUCGAGUUGACUAGAGAGUUUUACACCACUUUUAAGUUUGAAUUACCGACUAGGUAUACUGUUGCGACUCCCGAUAUCAUUCACUUCCGUCUCAUGGGCCAGGAAUUCAAUUUCUCUAUCACCCAGUUCAAUCUGGCUUUCGGUUUCAUCACUCGGGAGUAUGCAGAGACUAGGGAAUACGGUGAGAGUGCCUGCGAUUUUGUGGAACCUUUCCUUACCGCCUACCGUGAGGUGUGGGAGGACAUGUCUGUGGACAUGCAGCGUUACGAUCCCUCUCGGUCUCGGAGCUCCUUUCUAGAGGACCCGAGUGCUCGGUAUGUUCAGCGGCUUUUAGCAUAUAGCUACUCGGGCAGAAAGAACAGCUUCGGUAUUAUCUCUCGGCCGGAGCUCUUCUUCCUUUGGUGUAUGAAGAAUGGGUUCAAGGUCAAUUUGGGUUGUUGGUUGGCGGCACAGUUCAAGACCGUCAUGGCAAAGAAGAACAAGCCGUUGAUUCUUGGGUCGUAUAUCACGUACUUGGCGGUCCAGCUAGGCGUUCUGAAUCUACAGGAUCACGAUUUGCACUUGGCCUGCGACAUGGAGUAUCUCACUGCUGACCGGCUAGAGAAGAUGGGGGUUCUGGAGCUUGUCGAUGGCCACUACCGAUUUGUGCCCCCGGGACCGCCCCGCGCCCCGCCUCGCUCUUCCUCCACCCAUUCGGCCCCAGUUGGCGGUGAUCCUGGCCCGUCGACAUCCGCUCAGCUCCCUCCACCAGCAGGGGCUGAAGAUUGGCACCAAAUCAGGACGCAGAUUCAGAAUUUGGACGCCCGGAUGAUUAGCAUCGAGAGCAACGUGGCGGCUAUAUCACAGAAUCUGGCGGCAUUCCUGCAGCACUCGGGUUUCCCGCCCCCAAUCCCACCUCACCCUCCACUAUGACCCGGUUUCAGGGAAGUUUGGUUACUUUCUCCCUCACUUUUGUUGUUUUUUGACACAUUGAGGACAAUGUGUCCUAUAGGUGUGGGGGGGUCUAUAGUCUUUCUAGUUUUUAGUAGUUGUUAGUUUUUAGUUUUUUAGUAGUUUUAGUUUUAUUUCUAGUUGCGUAUUUUCUUUCUUUUCUUAGUGCUUAUUCCCCAUGUGAAAAGAAAAAGAAAACAAAAAAAAAGAGAAAAAAAUGUUGGUUUAUUGACUCUAACUCUACUUUUGCCAAGUUUUUUUUAAAUAAAAAUGUAUCGGGUUAAUGUGGUUGGAUCCAGAAUAUCUCCCUGGUGAAUAUCGGAUUGCUUGGCUCUUUUGAUUUCUGUGUUAAUUUCUCUAGGCAUAGGGAAUGACUGUUGGCAUUUUAAUGUGAACUGGUCCAAUAUUGACUCCAGUUCUCUAUGUUUGGCAAUAAUGAGGCGAGCUGUUCCUAUUUUUGGUUCUUAGUGUUGUUAUUAUGUGUUUUUGGCUUUGUUUGGCUGUGAAUAAUCUGGACUGUACUCCGCUAUGAGUUACUACUGAGUAACCGAGGAUCGGCACCUAAAAGUGUCGAUUCUCGCGUCAAAAGGUGGUACUUUAUAUGAGUACGUGGUCGUAUAGCAGUAGGAGCUGAGUAACCGGGCUCCUUCAUCUAAAAAUGUUGGAGUUCGCGUCAAAAGGCCCCGACGGCUAACGACUAAGUCUUUUUGUGUUAAUUAUUAUUGCUUUGAAAAACAAAAAAAAAAAAGAACGAAAAAAGAGAGAAUAAAUAAUAGGAAGGCUUGCCGGUUUAUGGACUUAAUAUGGAGACUUGUGUGAAUAUUUGGACCAUUAGCUAAUAAAUGUUGUGCGCCAUUCCCUUUUCUUAGAGUAGUUAACCUGGAAAUUGAAGGAAUUUGCAGUUUAGGGGCUAACCGGGGGGGAGGCUUCUUGGAUUUUAAUCACCAAUGCUCGAUAUAUGUUUUUCUCUUGAAGAUCUUGGCAAUAUAGGAGAUUGGACAAUGGCCAUCAUCGAAUUUUGGUGUUCGUUUACUAUUCUUAUGCUUGAGGACAAGCAUGGUUUAGGUGUAGGGGGAAUUGAUAGGGUGUAAUUUUACUAUUUAUUUUAUUAUUAAUUUCUCCUAUCACCUGACCUGAUGUGGAUUAAUUGCUGGAUUCUGCUCACUUUUAGUACUUUGUAUUUAUUUCAGGGAGUAGAACGGAAAUUUGAUAACAGGUGCUAAUUUGGCAGAAAAAAGUCCAGAUGAUAGAGCUUGCCCCAAGGGCAUUUUUGGAAAGGAGAACUUGUGCCCAUCUUGGUAAUUUGGGAGAAAAGGGAAACAGACAAAAUGGGUCUAACAUGGAUUGGAAGCGGCCGCACAGUAGCAGGGAAGAGGGCAGACGUAAAAGCAAUUGCAGGGGGGAAAAGGAGUUUUUUUAGUUUUUAGCUUAGCAUCUGAUUUUCCCUGGGAGACUUUUGUUAAAGAUUUCCUUUUGGCUGAUAUUACGCAUGGCAGAUGGCUUUUAACUUAUUCCUCCAUCUUUGACUUUUCUUCUUUAGCUUGUAGUAGUGGAUUGCUACUUACGAAUGUCAGCACUUAGCCAUUCGUGGCUUUUGAUCUUUUCUUCCUUAGAAAUUCUGAGUAGCCUCUUUUCCUUUGUGCGCCAGACGAAGUGAAAACUAUAAACUUUUGUAGUGUUUCUAUUCAUUCAAUAUAUUGAGACGAGUUGGAUUCUACCAAAUUUCAAUGGACAUGGCCGCUGGUUUCUCUUCAAUUUUAUAUGGGCUUUGUUCAUCGAACAUGAACUAAUUUCACCACUCUAGUCAAGGAACAACGAAGACUCUGGUUCGCCUAAAAAUUGUGAGAUCGUUUUAAUUUAAUCUUUUCCUUUUAUUUAUUGGUAUCCGCACAUUUCUUGAUUGCUAUGCUUAUGGUUAUUUAAUUAAUUGAUUGUCUUGGAUCCAGAUAAUUAAUUGAUCUGAUAGCCUAUUGUCAAUUAGGGCAUUUAAAUCCGUAAUUGUUUAAUUGUCCUGAAAUAGUGACAACUGGCACGAUUAGAUUCGUGCCAGGGGGGAUAUGCGGGCUAAUCUAAAAUAACCCUGGUAGUGUGUUAUUUGGUUAGAAUAGGGCUCCUCUAAUAUGUAAGGCAAUUGGGGAAUUAAAUUCUACGGGCGUACCUAGAAUUAUUUCUUAAUUAGAGUAGUGAUUAACGGGCGUACCUUGAUCACCGACACAGUAAGGAGGGGUUGACUGCCAUCGCUUGUUUGGCAGUUAUAACAUAUUUAUCAGUAAAUAAUUGGGAUUGCCUUGCAUCAAUGAUCAAUUAGAUGAACUAUUGCUGAAGUUACUUCUUGGCUAGAUCUUUAGUUAAUAUUACCUUGAUUUUGGUGAAUUGCCAUUUGAUUUUUAGUUGCCUACUUUAUUUUAUUUUUAAUUGUUUCCUUGCUUUAAUUGAGUUAGGCCUUUAAUUAUUGUUAUUCUAAGUUUAGUGAAUUGUGGUUUAAUUCCUAAUUAGUUAUUUAUUUUUACUUUCUUAUUUGAAUUUAUUUGCUUGUUAUCAUUCCUACGAAAUCACCCCCCUGUGUUACUUUGGAUUUCUUAAGAAACAAAUAUACCCAGUCCCUGUGGAUACGACCCUACUUGCCCUGUCCACGAAUUCAUAAUUAUUUGUGAAAAGAAAUAACCAUUCCACUCGGGUAUAUCGGAUCAAGCAAACUCUUCGGGAACAGGGUGAAUCAAGUAACCCAUUGCACACCUAAAAUCCCUGCUCCAGUACUUGGAAUUGGGUUUUGGUCAUUUUAACUGGCAAUUAAGUUUAAUUUUAUUAUUGCACAGGCUGACGACCCUGUCAUUGUAUUUGUACCAAAAGUGAAAACUUAACUAUUUUAGUUGUAUUUAUUUCAUCAUGUUGGAUUGUAUUCAAAUAAUUUUUGUUUGAUUGUUUUUAUAAGUUUCAAUUGUAAAAUUAAAAUGAAUAAUAACUUGAUGAUGUGUUGAUAUUUUAGUACUUGAUUAUUUAUUAAAAUUUAAUUAUAAUAAAAUUUUAUUAACUCAACGAGAAAAAUUUUAUUAAUCCCGUGGGGGCACCCGCGGGGAAAGCGGGGCGGGGCGAGGGGAGUGGGAGGCGGAGGACGGGGCGGGGGCGGGGGAUGGGGGAGGGGUCCCCCGCCCCAACCCCGCCAUCCCCCGUCCCGUUGUCAUCCCUAGUAAUAGACUGGCAAGCAUUGUGGUGGUCAUUGAGCAACUUAUAGGAGAAAUAGUCCUAUAAGCUGUUCAAUGACCAAUCACAACUUGCUAAUUGGAUGACUAAUAUAGCUCUAGCUGUAAUGUUUUAAUUAAAUUACAUCACUAACGUUGGGAUGACUUUUUAACCAAAAAAAAAAAGCCUUAGUUCAAGCUUUUCCCUUUAUUGUGCAUUUUUUAAAGCAUUUGAAAGGCACUGCAAAUCUGUCAUUUUGGACAUUUUAUUAUUGACUAACAAUGAAAGCCGUGGACGUCUACCCAUAACCAACACAAGAUUAAAUUAAUAUUAGAAAAAAUAAUUGAGUAAUUGGAAAAAAAAAAAAAAGAAGAGUCUAAUUUUCAUUGAAACCCACCGACAAACUAUACGUGUCCAUGGCUUUUGAAUAGUGCAUUCAACGUUUAAUUGUAUGGUCCAGUUCAUUGCAGAUUACAUGGAGUAAAGAUUGCGCUCUUUCCUUUUCACCCCUUUUGGAAUCGAUACUGUGGAGAAUUGGGUUUUUCCCUCCUUUUUUUCUUUUCUUUCCUUCUGUGGUUUGCAAAACAUACGUAAAAAUAUGAAAUCCGAAGCAUUCUUUAAUUGGUAUUAAGUAUUGUUGUUGAAAUUAAAAAGAAAAAAGAAAGAACAACAAAAUUCCCAAUCUGGGUUGAUUGUUGAGCUCUAGAUUGGUUGCAUCGUGCUUCCAUAGAAGCAAGAUUUGUAAAAUCGGAAUCCUACAUAGGAUCGAUUUUAGUUUCACAGGAUCGGAUUGUAAAAUCGUAAGAUCCUACCAAAAGCUCUCAAUUGCAAUUAAAGGUUGCAAUUCUUUAAUAAAUUACAAAUAUACCACAAAUAUUUUCAUUUACUUGCAAAAUGGAGCUUCGUAUUUCACAAAUUUACAAAAAAAUUGUAGGAUCGUACGAUCCUACCGAUCCUACGAUCCUACACGAUCCUACCGAUCCUGCUACGAUUCUAUGCGAUCCUACAAAGAUUAAUAUGAUUUGCGACUCUGCAUACGAUCCGGAUCGAUUUUGGUUAUCCGGAUCGUAGGAUCGUAUGAUCCUACGAUCCGGAUCGCGAUUUUGACAACUAUGCAUAGAAGCUCUCUUAGUGUGAUACACUGCUUUCAAUCAGUUUAACACGGGAAAAAAAAAAAGAGAUGAAAAGCAAAUUUGGUGGAGAUAAUUUCAGAAACCUCCCCUGAAGAUUUUGACUAUUCUACUGGUUUCCCUUCAGAUUUUAAAAAUUACACUAAUCUUCCUUGAAGUUAAUUAUCUUGUAACAUUUAAAUUCAAUCAAUAAUUUAAAAAAUGAUAUUAUGAGAGAGAAAAUAAUAUGAUUUUAUCAUUGCCCCCCAUCUUACUACAUUAUUUAAUUAAUUUAAUAGCAACCCACACAUUAAAGAAAAAUAUUAAAAUUUGUUGUUUAUCAUUAAAGAUCAAAUCGCUUAUAACAUCAAAUAAUAGUAUAUUAUUUAUAUUUUUCACUUAAUAUAAUAUCCAAAUUACUCUUUUCAAUUACAUACCCAUUGUUAGAGAAUCAACAACAAAUAACCAAAAAAUUUGCAACCAAAAUAUUACAAAAAAAAUAAACUUUAACAUCAUAAAUAUUCUUAUCAACAUAUUAAAGUUAGUUACUGAAAUUUUUAUGCUGUUAAACUUCACUCUUUUUGAAUACAGAUUUUUUUGAUUAUUUGUUAUUAAUUAUGUUUGAUGAUGGGUUUAUAAUUGAAAAGAACAAUUUGAAACUUACAUUAAGUAAAAUAUAUAGAGUGAUAUACUAUUUUUUAUAACAUAUGUGAUUCAAUCCUUCUUGAUAGGAUUGGUAAUAGAGGUAGAGGGGGGAGUCGGCUGCAUCCGGUCUUCUUUUCAUAGAUAGUACAAUAUUGCGAAAUCAAUCGCAUUCACACAAUAAUAUUUCGAAGUCAAUGCAUGGCUAAGUUGCAUAAAAGUACGAACACUUGUUAUUAUAUAGCUUAAGAUUCAAAACUUUCGAGCAUAACCCUCCACCCAACACAAUUGAAUAAUGAAUAUUCACGAUUGUCAAAUCUGUCAAAGCACAGUUUGAGGACAACCCAUUCCAACCUGCAAAAGAUUUUUUACUUUUCUAAAGUUGUUGAGAGCUGUAAAAAGACUUACCAUGCUUGCAUCCUCCGAGCCUUGGGAGUUAAAAAUGAAGGCACUGAGUGCUAUAAAAAGGGGAAUAGAGGCUGCCUAGAAGCAUAUCAGCCUAAAACAAGAAUUUGUAGUUAAGAUGGGAAGCAAAGCAAAAGCAAUGGGGUCUGGGCUGACUCCUCUUCUUGCCACUGUUUUAGUGGUGUUUGUUGCUCUUGGCUUGCCCUCACAAACUGCAGCUGAUGAUCACUACAAGUAUUCAUCUCCUCCUCCUCCUUACCACUAUCCCUCACCACCACCACCAGUGCAUAUACCUCCACCUCAUCCUGUUUACAAGUACAAAUCUCCACCACCCCCACCACCACACCCAGUUUACAAGUAUAAGUCACCACCACCACCUCCUCAUCCGGUAUACAAGUAUAAGUCUCCUCCGCCACCACCACACCCAGUUUACAAGUACAAGUCACCACCACCACCUCCUCAUCCGGUACCACACCCAGUUUACAAGUAUAAGUCACCUCCACCACCUCCUCAUCCGGUACCCACAGUUUACAAGUAUAAGUCACCACCACCACCUCCUCAUCCGGUAUACAAGUAUAAGUCUCCUCCGCCACCACCACACCCAGUUUACAAGUAUAAGUCACCACCACCACCUCCUCAUCCGGUGCCACACCCAGUUUACCACUACAAGUCACCACCACCACCUCCUCAUCCGGUACCACACCCAGUUUACCACUACAAGUCACCACCACCUCCUCACCCAGUUUACAAAUACGAGUCUCCACCACCACCAGUUUAUAAGUACAAGUCACCACCACCUCCUCCACCAGUUUACAAGUAUAAAUCUCCUCCACCACCACCACCAGUUUACCACUACAAGUCUCCACCACCUCCUCCCCCAGUUUACAAAUACAAGUCUCCACCACCUCCUCACCACUACUAAGCAAUUGCUUCUGAGGUAAUAACACUUGUUCAAUAUACCCACUUCUGCAUGAUAAAGCAUAUCUCUAUCAACACAAACUGUCAUGUCUAUCAUGCUAAGUGCCUUCACUUCAUCCACCAAAAUGACUGCUAGAAAAUUUUUUUUAUGUUACCAAAGAAAGGCAUCAUUUUUUCCCUCUGUUAUCAAGAACUUGUACAGUAUAUAGAUUAAAGAGUAUUUUUUUAACUAGCUUAUCAACUGAGAAAUGCAUAUAGCUGAUAGCCAGCUGAAUAUUUGCAGGCAAAGGAGAAGGAAACCAUGUUUGAGACCUUCUUGAAGAUGUAGAAGCAUAAGAAUAAAAGCCCAAUGUGAAGAUGAUGAUUUCAAGUUUUUCUACGUUACCAUUUCUUUAUCUAAAUUGGUUGUAGCGCCCAAGUUCCUUUGUUUAUGGGAUUUGUAUCGUUUUACGUACCAUGCAGUACAUGUCAUGUUUGUAAGGUUUUCUAUCCUGCCGGCAAACCGCAGGUUCCAUGUGAUAAAUGAAUACUAUUUAUGUUACGACACUUUUCUCUGUUUCUCUUAUAUUUUGUCUUUAAUAUUCUUAAUCAUAUUUUUAACAAAAAUAUUCAAACACUUAGGCAAUCUGGUCUAAUGCUAAUUGUAUGUUUUACUUUUCUUUUUCACCUGCUCCCCUUUUCAACUCAAAAGGAUGCAAUAGUUUGUGAUCACUGUUUAAGACGGAAGCAUGAUACUAAUGAAUAUCUCAUUGAAACUCAAGGAAACUAACAUUGCGAAAAGUGUAAAUCUUGAUUUGAUGCAACUAUUUAUUCGUGGAAUCUAUAGUUACAAAACUCAAAUUCUGACUGCGCCAUUGAUAAAUUAUUAAUGACGCUAUCAUCAUUAUUUAUCCCUAACUAGUUUCGACUACAACUGAACCCAAUAUUUUCCCCAUGAUAAAAGUUUUUGACUAUUUUACUGGCCUCUCUUCAAAUUUUAAAAAUUACACUAAUCUUCAUUGAGAUUAAUUAUCUUGUAACAUUUAAGUCCAAUUAAUAAUUAAAAAAUGAUAUUAUGAGAGAGAAAAUAAUAUAAUUUUAUCAUUGCCCCCCAUCUUGCUAUAUUAUUUAAUUAAUUUAAUAGCAACCCACACAUUAAAGAAAAAUACUAAAAUUUGCUGCUUUUCAUUAAAGAUCAAAUUGCAUAUGCCAUAAAACAUAGUAUAUCAUUCUAUAUGUUUCACUUAAUGUAAGAUCCCAAUUGUUCUUUUCAAUUACAAACCCAUUGUCAAACAUGAUCAAUAACAAAUAAUCAAAAAAUUUGCAACCAAAAUAUUACAAAAAAAAACUUUAACAUCAUAAAUAUUCUUACCACCUCUAGUGCAUUCACCCUCAUAAAAUAAUUCAAGACCCUACUGUCAUAAAAUGACUGAUCAACUCCUGUAAACCUAAUUUGACAACAUUUAAAUGGAGAACUUUAGCUAAAAGAAUUAUGGUCAAGCUAAAGAAAAAACCAGUUAUUUUCCAACAUAUGCAACCAUUGAUCAGGGGAAAAAAAAAAGCAAAAAGACAUCUUCAAUCAUUUAAUAGCUUACAGGGCAAAUUAACCCUUGAGUGAAAACUGGUUGCUCUAGAAUUAAAAUUUUACCUUAGUUACCCAGGCAACUUUUUUGUUGCCUUUUCUUUUUCUUUUUUGGGUAUAUAGCUCCAGUUUUGCCCCCUCUGUCAAGCUUAUAUAAUUAUUAAGAUAAUAAAAGUGCCUUUAAUAGUAUUAAUAUAUCCAUUGACUUGAGCUGUCAUCGAUCGGUUUGGGCUACUUCGAUUCCAUGAGAACAAAUGGUAAUAAAAGUACUCAGAAAAUGGGGAGUCAUGAAACCCUUUUGUUCUAUUCAUUGCUAAGAUGCUUUUCUCUAUAAAGAGACUUCCUAACGAAAAUACUUUGUAGAUUUCUUUACUCCAAGUGGUGCAUGGAAAAUUAAUAUUUUCAAUUAUCAAAUAAAAUUCCCUUUUUUCGGCGUAGAUUUCAUCCAUCCAGCUGUUAACACAUUCUAUAAAUCCGAAUUGACUAAUCUUUUCGUUUCCAUUUUCCAACUUGCGAAUACGGCAUAUAGUGUCUGCUAAACACUAUAUAUUCUCUGCCAAAUAUGAAUACAUAUCACUUUUCUGAGCAAGUGCAGAGUCAUUAUCAUUUUUAUUCCCACCUAACAAAUUAGGGAUAAAAAAGUUAAUAAUCUUUACAUGCUAUCAGGUCACAAGUUAAUAAUCUUUUAAAGAACAUGUUAAAUUAAUUUAUUGGUAUGAAUAGUAGUCAAAGAAGUAUGUUAAAGUUAGUAAUCUUUAAAAUAAUAUGUUAAAAUCAUUCGUACAAAUUAGUCAGAGAAGUAGCAUAAACACCGCGAUGCAAUUAAUACUUUCAAUCUCAAGGUCUCUAUUAUGGAAAUUUGCAUCGGUCAAUAUACACUUGGCAUAAUAUAAUCUCCCAACUCAUUUCUUUACAAAUGCACCUUUAAUCACCACCAAAAGGUGUGGACAUGAUCUUUACCCUAGAAAACUAUUCACCGACAGGCAAAUUGACGUCAGAAAUACUGAGGAAUUCUAGUUUCCUUCGGGUUCAUGCCAUGUUGUAUCCUUCAACUGUAACUCGAUUUCUAAGCUGUAAUUUGUGACAUAAUAGUCCUUAAACUAUGAAACCCUUCUUACUUAAUUACAAUGGUUAAUACAAUGCCCGUGACUAGACAAGUAUGAAGCAACCAUAACAGAAAAAAAAUCCAAAAUUAGAGAAAAGAAAGAAGUUUCGCGACCACCACCAGUUUACAAGUCACCUCCACCACCUCCUCCAGUUUACAAGUCACCUCCACCACCUUACCAUUAUUCCUCACCACCACCUCCAGUGCAUUCACCCCCACCACCACCAGUUUACAAGUCUCCGCCACCACCUUACCAUUAUUCCUCACCACCACCUCCUGUGCAUGCACCUCCACCACCAAUUUACAAGUCACCUCCUCCAGUUUACAAGUCUCCACCACCACCUUACGAUUAUUCCUCACCACCACCUCCAGUGCAUUCACCCCCACCACCACCAAUUUAUAAGUCUCCCCCACCGCCUCCCCCAGUAUAUAAGUCACCACCACCACCUCCUCCAGUAUACAAAUCACCUCCACCACCUCCUCCAGUUGACAAAUCUCCACCACCACCAAUUUAUAAAUACAAGUCUCCUCCACUACCUCCUCCAGUGUACAAGUCAUCACCACCACCUGCUUACAAGUCUCCACCUCCUCCAGUUUACAGUUCCCCACCACCACCAAUCUACAAGUCUCCACCUCCACCCUACCAUUACUACUACAAUUCUCCUCCUCCUCCUCGUCACUACUAAGCAAUUGUAUCCAAGUUUUUGAGGUAAUAACGCUUAACCAAUAAAUUAACUUUCGCAUGAUAAACCUUAUCUCUAUCAAGACAAACUGCCAUGUGUAUCAUGCCAAAUACGUACACCUAGAUCCAUGAAAAUGAAUGGUAGAAAGUUUUCUUAAGAACCAAGAACAGCAUUAGUAUUCCCUCUGCUUCCAAAAACUUGUGUAUUAAAUAGAUUAAUGAAUUGUUUAACAUGCUCAUCUACUUGAAAAUGCACAAUACCCAUAACCCACUGAAAUUUUUGCAGGAAAAGGGAAAGAGAAUCUGUGUUUGAGAGCUUCAUGAAGAUGUUGAAGAAUAAGAAUAAAAGCCCAAUGCAAGGAUGUUUUCAAGUUUUUCUAUGUUUCCACUUUAAUUUGUAAAUUGAAUUUUGCGACUCAAUUAAUUCCCUGUUUGUGAGGUACGUAUUGUUUUACGUACCAUGCCGUACAUUUUUUUUUUCCAACAAACGGUAUCAUGUUAUAGAUAUUAACACUUGACCUUACAAGGAUUAGUUACAAAAAGGGGAUACUACCCUCAACUCUGUCCUAGCUAAAUCAGUCAGCCAUAUUGGGAAAUUAGUUUCCCAUUCAAUAUCAUGUACAAGCUUCACAGCAUAUUGUGCUAAUUGAUGGCUGAUGUGAUUUUCAGUUCUAGGUAUAAACACAAAAGAACAUUUUUCAAAAGCUAGACUAAGUUCCUGCACAUCUUCUAAGAUAGUUGCAGUCGUGUAGUCAUACUCCUUGCGUUUAGUAAUCUGCUCUACCACUGAUUUGCAGUCUGUAUGGACUAUAAUUUGUGUCCAACCUGCUUGGGUAGCCAUCAGCAGAGCAUUUCUCACAGCCCGAGCUUCCACUUCACUUGCCGAUCCCUUUCCCUGUGUGACAAUUCCUUUUGCUUUCAAAAGCUGUCCUUUCCAAUUUCUUGCUAUAAUCCCUUGUCCGGUCCUGACUCGUUUAGCUGAUAUCGCUGCAUCGGUAUACAGCCUUAUCUCUUCCUUCCUUGGCCGCACUCUCCUGGUAGGUAAGGCAUCAUUCAGCUUCCCUGCGAUCUCCUUCUGGUCUGUACUCCCUACCUGUUCAAACUCAAGCCAUUCCUCCUGUGCUUUCCUUACUAUUUUUACUGGAUCCUGGUUGGCUUGUUCAAAAAAUUUUUUGUUCCUGGCUUUCCAAAUUUGCCAAAGGAUAUUGAUAGUAAGACUAACUCUCUCCUGACCUUGGUUCAGUGCCAGCGAUUGUGUGACUUGUUCCCACCAUAACCAAAAGUUAUAUUGCAUACCCAGUAAUCCAUCCCACCUGACCGGUGCUAGCUUCCACGUUUCCACAGCCUUUUCACAGAAGAAAAACAAAUGCUCAAUAGUUUCCAUAUCUUCACCACAGCAACCACAUCUGCCUUCCCCUCUAUGUAGCCUUUUCGACAUCUGUUCAUUGACUGGCAGACAAUUUUGUAAGCACUUCCACAUGAAGUGUUUUAGUUUGGCCUUCACCUUCAAAUGCCAUAGCUGCUUCCACACAUUUCGUUUUCGUAUCUCCCAACUUGUUUCUGCCUCUUGGCCUGUCCUUGUACCUGCUUUUCCUUCCCGUUGCCUUGCUAAAGCAUAACCAGAUUUCACGCUAUAAAUUCCAGCUUUGGAAUGCCCCCAUACCAACCUAUCCUUUCUUCUUCCUAUACUUGUUGGAAUUCCCUUUAUGUGCUCUGCAUCUUUUGCACAAAACCACUUGAGAAGCAAAUCAUUUUUCCAUUUCCCUUCCUCUAUCAGCUCACUUACCCAUUCCAACUUGCAUCCCACAGGUUGUGUGGUUGAUGCAAAGCCGGUAUCUGAACCAACUAUCCAUCUGUCCCGCCACAUGUUGACUGACUUGCCAUCUCCAAUUCUUUUCCAAAGACCAUCAUACAGAAAGGAGGCUGCACUAUGAAUACUCUUCCAACACCAUGAGGCUGAAGAGACUGGCUUCUUGUCCAUCCAUUUUUCAUCACUCAUAUACUUCGCCUUCAUUACCUUACUUACUAACAAAUUUGGAGCCAUUAAGAAUCUCCAAAUUUGUUUUGCCAGUAAUGCUGUGUUGAAGGCCUCCAAAUCUCUAAAGCCUAAACCUCCUCUUCCCUUAACUUCUAAGAGCUUCUUCCAGCUUGCCCAAUGUACACAGGUACCCUUUUCUCCCUUCCCCCACCAGAAACUCGCUAUUUUACCUGUGAUUUGUCUACACAAACCCCUUGGAAGUCUAAAGCAAGCCAUCACAUAUGUUGGCAUAGCCAUAAUCACUGAUUUGACCAGAAUUUCUUUCCCUCCUUGGCUCAACAGUUUUUGUUUCCAACCUUGCAACUUGUUACUAAUUUUGUUCUGGACAAAUGCAAAGACCUGUGUCUUUGAUCUUCCAAUUGCCAUUGGGAGUCCUAGGUAGGUUCCAUUCCUUGCCUCUUUAAUGUUAUCUAAUACCUCCCUCACUCCAUUCUUCCUUUGAUCAGUGGUAUUUUUGCUAUAGAAGAUAGCUGACUUUUCAAAAUUCACCACCUGUCCGGAUGCUUGACCAUAUCUUUCCAAUAUGCUUUUGACCUUCCUCGCCUCCUGCUUGGUUGCUUGGCAGCAUAGUAGAGAAUCAUCUGCAAAAAAUAGGUGAGAAACCAUCGGACUGUCCUUGCAUAUUUUGAUCCCUGUAAUUUCCUUGUUCAUCAUAGCUUUAUGGAUCAAACAUGAAAGACCUUCAGCGCAUAUAAUAAACAAGUACGGGGAUAGGGGGUCUCCUUGUCUAAGCCCUCUACUCGGUUGAACACAGCCUACCUUUUGCCCAUUUAAGUUGAAGGAGUAAGUCACAGUAGAUAGGCAAGACAUGAUCCAUUUAACAAAAAUUGGACAAAACCCCAUUUUCAUCAUAACUCUCCCCACAUAUUUCCAUUCGACUCUAUCGUAAGCUUUGGACAUGUCCAGUUUAAGAGCCAUAAAUCCUACCCUUCCCUUUCUCCUAUUUUUCAAAAAAUGCAGGAUUUCAUGUGCAACUACUACAUUAUCAAGAAUUUGACGGCCUGGGAUAAAAGCGGAUUGAGAGGGACUAAUACAAUGAUGCAAGACACCUUUCAAUCUAUUAGCUAUGAUUUUAGAAAUGAUUUUAUACAGGACAUUGCACAAGCUAAUAGGUCUAAAAUGCACCACAGAUUCAGGAGUAUCAACUUUAGGAAUCAACGAAAUAAUAGUAUCAUUCACAGCUUUGAGCAAAUGCCCAGUAUGAAAGAAACUCUUAAUAGCUGCUACCACAUCAUCCUUGAUAAUAUCCCAAUAGUGUUGAAAAAAUAGAGGAGACAUACCAUCCGUUCCUGGUGCUUUAUUAGGGUGCAUCGAGAACAAAGCUUUCCUGAUCUCACUUUCCUCCACUUGUCGUAUCAGUUGUCCAUUCAUAUGACUCGAAAUAGUGCUUGGAAUUUCAGCUAGAAUGUCCUCAAAGCAGUCCGGGUUAGUAGUGGUAAAAAGGUCUUUAUAGUACUCACAAAGUUCCUCCUCAAUCUCAUGUUCCUCCUUGCACCAUGUCCCAUCUUUUUUCUGCAAUAUAGUGAUCUUAUUUCUCCUCCUCUUUGCCAUGACCGAAGAAUGGAAAAAAGCUGUAUUCUUGUCCCCUUCUUUGAGCCACUUGUUCCUGGAUUUUUGACUCCAAAACAUCUCUUCCUCUGCAUAAGCUUUAUUCAAUUGUGCUUUUAGUUCAGCCACUUGUACUCUUUUCCCUUCAUCCUUUCUUGCUUUCACUUCAGCCAAUUUCUCCUUUAACACUUUAAUUCUAACCUUUGAGUUUCCCUGCACCUUUUUCCUCCAAUCCAGAAUAGCCAUGCGACAUUCCUUUAUUUUUGUAGCCACUCUAAACAUCCUGGACCCUGACUUCACCUUUGUCCAUGCUCCUUGAAUCACCCUUUUUGCUUCUGGAUUUAGCGUCCAUCGUUGAUCAAAGUAAAAUCUCCGUUUUCUCCUUGUGUUUUCCGGGUUUGUAUCCACAAGAAGCAUUAGAUGAUCAGAGGCUUCAGUAUCUAAAUGAGUACACUGUGCCUUUUCAAAUCUUUGCAGCCAUUCGGUGCUGCAUAAACAUCUAUCCAACCUCUCUUUCACUUCCCCAUCCCCCUCCCAACUAUUGCACCAAAUCCACGGGACCCCUUGAUAACCUAAGUCAACCAGGUUAUUGUCUUUGAUAAACCUGUUGAACUCCCUAAAACAUCUUUCAGCUCUAUCCCUUCCUCCCCACUUCUCCUCACUAGACCUCAAAUCAUUAAAAUCUCCUACAAUGAUCCAGCCAUCCCCCCAGUCCCUCAUCCUGUCCUCUAAAUAUUUCCAUUGUGCUUUUCUAAUGUUACUAUCUGUGCUUGCAUAAACACACACUAGCCCCCAGUAUCCUUUAGUAUCCUUGUCCUCAACUCUAGCACUAAUACACCAAUCAGUACUUACAAUCUGGUCUAAAAUCACCUCAUUGUUCCAGAAUAAUGCUAGACCGCCUGCUUUACCUAUUGAAUUCACAAAAAAGCUAUUGUCAUACUGAAUCUUCCUUUGAACCUUGCCCAUAAACCCUUCCUGAUUCUUAGUUUCACAAAGGAACACCACCUUAGGAGAGUGGAAGUUAGUCACUUCCUUUAGUUGGGGACUUGUCAAGGGGCCUCCUACACCUCGACAAUUCCACACCACAACCUUCAUUUACACUUUGGAGGCUUUCCGGGGCUAGCCUCCAUUUCCCCUAUUGUACUAACAUUUAUUAGAUCCAGUUUCAUAACCUUUACCUUCGGUACAUUAUCAUCAUCCUCCUCUAUCGGUUGUGUUCCCUGAAACAUACCAUCAGCCUUCCUUUUAGCACACGAAACCUGCGUUACUUGUCCAUUUGUAUCUGCCUUUAAGGAUGUUUUAGCCGGCCUCCCUCUUCUUUUAAAACUGCUUCUUUUUUCAGCUUUGUUAUCUUCUUCCCCUGGAGUAGCCUCCUUUCUUGGCAUUCUUGCAUUUGUCUCCUCCUGCUUUAUUGACCCUACCCGCAAACUUUCACAUUCCUGUUUUGAGCUGUCCGUUUCCAUAUCCUCAUAAUCUACUGGUGGGAUUACGCUGCUCCCUCCUUUACUCCCUUCCUGUACCCUACCCUCCUUUUCACCAUUUCCCUCCAUUAAGACCACAGCCAAACUUUCCACCCGUUGGUUUGCCUUUCCAUACUGCCUGCUGUCUUUUAGAAUCUCAUCCCACCUCUCUUCAUAUUGUCUCGUCAUCAUUUUCUCCUUAUCCCCCCUUUCCUUUCCCCCCAAGACUCUACCAUUUUUUCCCCCAAGAGUUAAUGUAUCUCCAGCCAUUUGUACUCCAGUUUGAACUUCACUACUAGGAGACCCUGCCCCCACCCUCCUUGCAUCAAUUUCACUUACUCCUUCCAGCCGUCCCUUUAAGGGAGAUACCAUUAUAUUUCCAGCUCUCAUCCAGGCACCAUAUUGUUCCUCUCGCUUCUCCCCCCCACCCUUCCUACCACAGUACAAGUCCUAUCACUAUGCCCAAUGAUACCACACCUAUAACAGAAAUCAGGGCAGCGUUCAUACCUGAACUCAACCCACACUGCCUGGUUCUUACAGUUGAUCUUUGUCCCUCUAACCAGUGGUUUCGUUAUAUCUACCUCAGCCAUAAUCUUCAUGUGGCGACCCUCUUUCCCACCACUUCCUGGGAGAAUCACUCCCCUCACUGAUUUAAAGAUCCCUCCUAUUUUCAAACCCACUGCUCUGCUCAACCAGUGCACCGGUAGGUUCCAUAGUUGAAUCCAAAGAAAGGAAUGCUGGAAAAAGCUGCUGUUUGUAUCAUACCCCUCUACCCACUCCUUCACUAUCAGCAACUGGUUGUCCAUGACCCAAGGCCCUCCAGAUAAGAUCUUUUUCUUUUCCCCUUCAUCUCCCAGAUGGAAAUGGAAUAAGUUAGGACCUAACUCAGUCACUUUCAUCUUUGAGGGGUAUCCCCAUGCAUGAUUUGUAAAGUUCUUUAACCCCGUAAAGUUGGCAAUUUUUUCACCAAUCAGCUUUCCUACCAGGCUUCCUUGACACUCAGAGACGCCUUCUUCCAGGUCCUCACCACUCAGAUCGACACCUCCUAACUCUGUUUCAGACAAGUCAAAAUUUUGAAAGGCUCUUUCUAAAGCAUCCGCCAUUGCUGUGACGAGAGCUCCUUGAGAAACCAAGCACUAUUUCUGAGCUAUGAGUGACCCACUGACAGACCUGUGAAGAAUUGCAAAGACAGACAAAGCUGUGUUAUCCGUACACACUAAAAACCAACCAGAAAAACAGAGAGGAACUCGACAGAAAAAGCACAGGCACAAGAAGAAACGAAAGAAAAAAGAAAAACCAACAAACCACUAUCCCACUCCCGACCACAUAACAGCAUUAAAGAAAGGGACACAAAUACGACACUCCAACUUCCGAUCACAUGCUCUGACUCAAUGGAUCAUAUCUUGCCCAAAGCGUUUACUCCUCCAACCGAUUCCAAACCACUACAGACAUUGUCUCCCAUUUUGAAGCCGGAAGAAAGGUGGCUUCUGGACAGGGAACAUGAAAGCAAAGGUUGAACUAAAGAUUUGAUUUUAGAUCUGAAAAUUACGCUGUAGGAAAAAGUGCUAUGUGUUUGUACCUCACCCACUCUCCCACACCGAGGAGGGGAACCUCUAAAGUUAGAGAGAGAAGCUCUCAAGUUAGAGAGAAGCUUUGGAAGUUAAUUACCAACGUACCAUGCCGUACAUGUUUGUAAGGAUUUCUAUCCUAUUGGCAAAAGUCGGUUCCAUACAAUUAAUCAAUUCAUUUCACUUCUAUUGGCUCUACUAUUUAUGCAUGUUACGACACUCUUUCCCUUAUAUUUUGCCUUUAAUAUUAUGAGUCAAUAGUAAUAAUGGGCCUUUUUCUUAAAAUUAUACUAUUAUACAUAGGUAGUUUGGUCUAACGCUAAAUUCAUGUUUGUCUUUCUUUUAUUCCCUUUACAUCUCAAAGUAUACUAUAGUUUGUAAUCAUUGUGGUGAUGAUAUUACCAGCUGGUACUUAUAGUUUAAGGCAGAGACAUGAUAUUAACAACUAUCUCAUUGAAACAUAAGUCAAAAUCAUGACAAGUGUGAGUCUUGGUUAAUGCACAAUUUGUUAGUGGAAUUUAUAUUUAUAAAACUCAAAAAAAAUUUUUGACAAUGCUAUUACUAAUUAAUUAAGGACUUCAUUGCUAUAAUUUAUCGCUUACUAAUUUAAACUAUAAAUGAUCUCAAUACUUUUCUCCAUGAUGUCGAUUUCUUUAGACUACGAAAGGGAAAAAUUAGUGACAUAUCCCUUACUGAUUACAACAUCAGCAAAAAUUAGUUAUAAACUUUUCCGGUGGUUUUAAAUCCCUCGGGCACUAAGGUUUUUUGCACAUCGAGUGAAUUAAGGAACAUAGGCAAUUCGUUCUGCAUACCAAGUCCUUGUUUAAGAUGCACGUACUAAAAUGCAUCCACUUCAUUAAUUUGGAAAAUUGCCAUAGUUUUUUUUAAGCAUUUUGAUUUUUUACAUGAUUCAAAAUUUUCUUAUUGGAUACAAUCACUUUGUGUCAAGAACACAUUUUCAAUCAUCUUUUUUAUCUUCUCAAUAAGAAAAUAAAAAUUUAUUCAUGCUUUUCUAACAUAUCCAAUCAUUGAUCUGAAAAAUAAAGAAUUAAAAAAAAAAGACAUUUUCAAUCAUUGCUUACGGGGCAACUUCCCCAUGUGAACCUCAUCAAACAAAGCCAAUAAUAUGAAGGAACAUCUAAAUACACUUUUGCCCUAAAGGCUGGUUGCCUUGGGGUCAAAAUUUAACCUUCGGGAGUAUAAUUACCCGCCAAAUUUAUUAUUUUUUUUAUGGGUAUAUAGUUCCAAUUUUGCCUCCUGUUAAGCUUAUAAAUAUAUUACGACCCAGAAAAUAAAGGAAUCUUGAAUAGUAACAUGUCCAUUGACUUGAGUUGUUAUCAAUUUGGCUACUUCGAUUCCAUGAGGCCAAUCCAAUUCACACUAGCUAGAGAAAAUGGUGAUAAAGGCACUUAGAAAUUUAUAUGUAAUAUUGAUUGGUAGUAACUGAUAAGUAUAUAUUUUACGUGUUUUAAAUAUGUUUUAUUAGUUAGUUUUGGUGUGUUUUAACUACUUUUAUAACUAAUUAACUAGGAAUCUAGUGAAAAUAUGCAUUUUGUGGUUUGAAGUGUAAAAAUUGUAUUUCUAUGGAUUUUAAUGGUGAAAACUUCAUGUUUUUGUAGGUUUAAUGAUUCAAUCAUCAAAUGACAUGAUUUGAGAAGAUAAUUAGAUGAUUGAUGAUGUUUUGAAGUGAUAAAAAGAGAAUACAAAGUGCAAGAGAGGAAAUGCAAUCAAGAAUAAAAGAAGAAAAUUUUUGUAGCUUUGACAUAUUGUCGUAUUUCGGCAAUAUAUUGAGCUACAAUGAUCGGAUUAAGGUGAUUCUUAAACCAUUUGAAGCUAAAAUAUAGAUCUACAUUUGGCAUGAAGGCAUCGAAACCCAUGUCAGUCAUUUUCCUUGUCAAAAUGUUGAAAUACAGAAGUGCAACUCUGUUCUCGAAAGCUAAAACAGAGCUCUGGCUAGUCGAGGGUAUUUUCAUCAUUUCUUAGUCCACAGAGCUCCAAAUGAGAUGAUUCUUAAGGCAUUAGAACCCUAACUCAAAGAGCUACAACUUUCAUAUUUUGUACAAGAGUUAGUUCGGCCUCUAUCAUUAAGAAAAUAGUAGUUGAAGUGGUGCCAAAUGCAUAGAAGUGAAAACGCGAGCUAUCAAUACUCGACCUGAAGUCGCGUAUUCCUGAGGUCAUGCAUUCUCUUCUAUUUUCUGCAACUUGCCCUGCUUUCACAUAACUUUUUCAUCUCAAUUCCAACUAUCAAUUUCGGCUAUAUCUGAUCAAGAAAAGUGUGGAAAGUUUGAAAGACAACUCAUAGGAGUUUCAAGAGUCAAAAAUUACAAUUAGAAACAACUCAUUUGGCUCUUGAAUCCUCUAUAAAUAGAGGCCUUUGAAGAACAUUUUCACAACUUUGGAAGGUUAGAGAAACUCCACAAAAACAUAGUCUUCACUAGAAUUUCCUUAGUUCAUUAGUUAGGGUAGUAUAGUAUAGUUAGUGUAGCUUUUCCUUCUUGUAUUUAUAGUUAGGUUUGAAUGAAGAUUCAGGAGCAAAGAUAGAGAGGUUGAUCUCAUGUGACAAGGGUGAUAUCUCUUCUACUACUUUCUCUUUUGUAUUUGAUUUCAUAUUUAACUAUACUACAAAUUUGGCUUUGUUUUUUUUUUUUUAUCAUGUUUAGUUAAAGUUUAUGCCUAGAGUAUGGAUGACCUUUUUAUAUCUUGUUUGUGAUAUUUAACUGGUUAUUUGAUGAUGUUAUUUUUGAGCAAGUUAUUUAUCACUUUUGCUUUUCUAAUCAUGAUUAACUGGCCAUUAGUUGUGAUUAUCUAAAAGUGUUAAGUUUGUAAUGAGAAUUGGAGUUUAACACUAGUUCAAGGAAGUGAUAAAUUUAGGGAGUUCACUCAUGAGAGUAGAGGAACACCUUUGUGACCUAAGUGACUUGUUUCAUAUAAUUUCAUAGAAAAAAUGAACUUGUAAUUAAUUUCAUAACCACGAGAGUAAGUAUGGUUUAGCUAUAUGUAUAGUUGAUUCACUACGAGAGUAGGUUUCACAUACAUUAGAAAAUUACAUCAUAACUAGUCAAGAUAAUAUCAUUCAUUUAAUCAGUAAUCUCAUUUGCAUGAGUAGUAAGGCAUUCCAUAUCUCUAGGAGGUUUUUAGUAUUAUUUUCAUUACUUUUAUGUUUAUGGUAGUCUAGAUAAUAAUGGAGUUCGAAAACUACUAGUAAUUGAAAAUUUUCCCUGUGGGAUCGACCUUUAAUACCCUAUACUCGCUCUCGACUCGUAUACUUGAGAAAAAUCACGUGUGCGGUAUUUAGAAUUUAUAAAUGUAAAACUUGACUGUAGAUGAACUAAUUGAUAUAUGUAUACCCCGCACUCGUCAGUAACCAGCUUGUAUUGAUCCCACUAUUGUGGAUAAUUGUGCUCUUAUGAAAAAAAAUUAUAAAAAAAUUAGCAAAAUUUAUGAUAACAAAUUAAAUUUAUUCAUACAAAUCAGUGAAAGAAGUAGAAUUUUAAAGUCCAUGAUGAAAUUAAUACUUUCAAGGGCUCUAUUAGGAAGACUUCACUUGUUGGUGAAACUACACUAGCACAGUUAUAUGCACAUUUACUGUUUUGGUAUCUAAUUUCCUUGCCUUAAGUUGGGUGCAGAUGUUUAUAUUACAAAUAGAUGGUAUCAUAAAAUUGUUGUAUUCACGUUUGUUCUUUUUUUUCUUCCUUAAGUUUUUUUCUUUAUUCUCGUGACUUCAAAAAUACGAACUCAAGAAAUUGGCUGCUUAAUCAAUAUGUCAUACAGGCUUCGCUAGUGAGGUAUAACUUCACAACUAGAGUCAAUAGAAAUUAUCAAAUGAUUUUUUAACAUCCAAAUUAAGCAAUAAAUUUUGUUUUCAUUUUAUGACAUAUAAUAGUACUACUUCAUGAGAGAUUUUAUAGUUUCUUUUAGGUAUCAUACCUACAAGUGAUAUUUGUCAUUGGAUAGUGACAGAAGUGUUAAUGAUUGUAAGAUUAAAUAUUGUUAAAUAUUGAAAUUUAAACUAUUUAUCUUUAUUGAAAGAUACAAGUUAAAGAAUCGUUCAAGGGGGCAAUUUUCCAUCUUGUCUUUUUGAAAAAACGCUAUCACAUUGUAUAGGCAUGAUAGGUUCAAAUUUGUCAUUAAAUUUAUGAUUGAUUUUCCUUUUAUUCAAGCCAAAUAUUGUUUUAAUUAUCAAAUUCUACUUAUAUUUGGUUAAUUGUACUAAUUGUAGGGCGGUAGAGCAAAAGUUGCUAAAAAUAGGCGAUUUUCUGCAAAUUGGUUGUCAAGGCUGAAGGAUUUGGGAUUCGCAUGUUCAAGGCCUGUUUCCAAGUUUGAUUCAAACUCUGGACAGUUUUAGAGGAAGAUUUGGAAGAUUUGAAAUUUCAUUAUUAGUUUUAUGGUUGAAUUAGGAAUCUUGGAAUAAUUUCUUUUGUGAUUUAUUUUUCUAUUUAGGAGACUAGUUGUUAUUUAGUAGUAGACUUCAAUUAGAAAACAAAGAGAAAAAGAAGGCCGGAAUCCCGCUUGAUUAAUACCUUGGCCAGGGAACAAUCUCGGUGGGGAGGACGGCCACUUAGCCUCUCAAUUCAUCUUGCUUUUCGUUAGUUUGAGAGGAAAACCAAUUGCAACUAGAUUCAAUGGAGUCUGGCAGAAUUUCUUCUAGGAUGCGUAGCUAAAUCCUCAAUUUUUAGUCGAAGGUCAAUUUGAAAAUUCGGUUCCAAAUAUCUGUGAAAUCGAAUUAUUUUACUUAUUUCUUUUAUUUAUUGGUAUUCGCACGUUUUCUGAUUUAACUUUUUAUGAUUGUUUUGUUAUUUGAAUGUCAAGGGUCCGAUAUUCGAAUUAACUUAAUAAUCUACUGCCAAAUUAACCGGUUAAAUCCGUAAUUGUUUGAUUGAUUAAUAUCAGUGGCGACUAGCGUGAUUGGUCCCAUGUUAGGAAAACGUCUGAUCUAAUUUAAACAAACCGUCGUAGCGUGUUUGUUGAUUAGGGUUGGGCUUUUCUAAUUCUUAAUUCAAUUGAGAAAUUAAAUCCCCCGGUCGUACCUAGGAUUAUUUUUUUGUUAGCGAAAUAGUUAAUGGUCGUACCUUGACUAUCGAAAAAGUAAGGAAGAGUUGAUUGUUUAUCGCGUGUACGACAACUAUAAUCAAUCUAUUAAUGAGUAAUUGAAUUAUCUUUGCAUCAGUAAUCAGUUGAAUGGACCGUGUCUGAAAAGUUGUACCUUUGGCUAGAGUCUUAUCUGUUGUUGAUUCAUUCAUAUCUAUCUUCAUGCGUUGUUUUAAUUUAGUUAAUUAGUUAUUUUUAUAAAAACCCCUCAUCUCUGGACUCUAAAAGAAAUAAAUUAUUUCUAGUUCCUGUGGAUUCGAUCCUACUCACCAUACAAUCCAACCUGCAAUUGUAUGAACCCCAAUCUCGCUUCCUAGUCCACCAUUUUUCUCUAGGUAAUAAUCUCCCUUCUAAUUUCUUCACAAAAUGCACCUUUCAUCACCUCCAAUAGCGUCGACAUGAUCUUUACCCCAGAAGACUAUUCACCGACUCUCAAUUGACGUUAGAAAAUCUAAGAGUAAUUCUACUUUACCCUAAGAUUGAUAUCAACAAGACAAGGACAAUUUAGAAUUAUUACACGCCUCUUCUUAAUAGGAAAAAGAAAUAGAGAAGAAAGUCAGGCCAGGUCUAAUUUCUUUUCAAAGGCAAUACAACAUUACGAAAUCAAGCAUUCAUUCAUACAAAUAUUUCAUAGUCACCGGUUUGCUGAGUAGAAAAAUUUAGACAAAAACUUAAUAUUAUAUUGUUUAAGAGUUAACAAUUUAGAGCUUAAUCUCCUUGUACUUUGGAGUUAACAAUUUAGAGCUUAAUCUCCUUGUACUUUGGACUAAACUUGAACGUGAAAGGAAAUCCCAAAACCAUAUUGGGCAUGAAUUCACACUUAAUAUACCCAAUAAAAGAUGGCGACUGGUGAAAGGCAGUGGAGACUGGUGGAGAGAUUUGAGGAAUAGAAGCAGACGGAAAAGCAACAAAUUUUUGCCGAAAAACGGUCACUUUCAUGGUUAAUUUUGCUACUCUCCAAUUGUACUUGACCAAUUACAACAAUUUCAUGGAGUUUGAUACGUGAAAAGAAUUUUUUAUAAAUUUUAUUUUGAUCCAUAAUGUUAUCUUUACAUAUAUAAAACAUUUUACAAUUUUGAUUUUGGCGCAGUUAACUUUUGGUAAACAAAAAUGCUCAUGUUUAAAAAACCGGAAAUAAAACAAAACAAGAAACAAAAGAAAUAAGAGGGUAGCAUAGACAUUUUGGAUUUUUCCGUUAAUUUGGAUGAUUUCCACCCACGUUCUAAUUUAAUCCAAAACACAAAGGAAUUACGUAGAGGUUUUAAAUAAUGAGGGAGCUUCAUGAUCGAACCCCAAACCACAAGGCGAUUUACUAUAUUUUACUCUUAAAUUUUGGUUUCAUCUCAUAGCAUACAAGAGUUCUAUUUCACUAUCUGUAGACAAAGACUUUCUAUGGUUGAUGUACCAUAGGAAAAAAUCUGCCUAUACAACGUGAUAGCAUUUUUUCAAAAACACAAGAUGGAAAAUUGCCCCCUUAAACGGGGAAAUUCAUGAUCUUUCCUCGAACAAAGAAUACUCACGCCUAUUCAAGAUGGAAAAUUGCCCCCUUAAACGUCUAUUUGUCAAUUCUUGAAAAAAGAAUACUCACGCCUAAAACACGGCCUCUUCAUCUGCAGAAUUCUAAAAAGUUAGGUAAACUCUAUAAACAAGUUGAUAGGUACAAUCGUACCCAAGAUCAAGUACAGAUAGUUGUACAUUCACUGCUGCAAUAACUAAUCUGAUGACUUACAAACAUAUCAUGGUCAAUCGUUGAAUGGUAAUGAGUCUUUUGUUAUGCAUUAGUAUUAGUGUGUACACUCUAAUAGAUUGAUACUUAUACUCUUUAAAUUAUCAUAAUAAUACCCUUAAUUAACUUUAACUCUUAAAAAGAAUACGUGUUAAUACACGAGAGUGUGUAACCUGAAUUGUUACUUAUACAUUAGUGUGUAAUAGAUAGGGAUGGCAAUGGGGGCGGGUGCCCGCAGGCAACCGCCCCGCGGGGGGCUCUCGGGGCGGGGAGGGGGGAAUUUUUUCCCCCCGUUUAGAAACGGGGCAGGGGACGGGGGAGUAUACCCCCGCCCCAUCCCCCGCAAAAAAAAUUAUAUAUAUAUAAUUAUAUAUAAUAUGUAAUUUAAUUAGUUAUAAACUUAUGAUAAUGAUAUUAUUAGUUAGAUGUAUUAUAUAAUGUAUAUUAGUGUAUGUAAUAUAAUUAAUAUUAUCAAUUAUACGAAUAAUUAGACAUGUCUACUAAUAGAAUUUAUUAAUUAGUUAUACUAAAUUUACUAAUACAUUUAUACUAAAUUUCUAAUUACAUUUAAUAGAAUAACACUUUUUUCUAAAAAAAAAAGCACAAACACAAUAAUGAAUUAGUGAUUGUAUUUUUACCAAAAAUGAAAACUUAACUAUUUUAGUUGCAUUUAUUUCAUCAUGUUGGAUUGUAUUCAAAUAAUUUUUGUUUGAUUGUUUUUAUGAGUUUCAAUUGUAAAAUUAAAAUGAAUAAUAACUUGAUGAAUAAUAAUGUCAAUCGUUGAAUGGUGUGUACACUCUAAUAUUAUGCAUUAGUAUUAGUGUGUACACUCUAAUAGAUUGAUACUUAUACUCUUUAAAUUAUCAUAAUAAUACCCUUAAUUAACUUUAACUCUUAAAAAGAAUACGUGUUAAUAACUCUUAACCUGAAUUGUUACUUAUACAUUAGUGUGAAAUAGAACGGCAAGCAUUGAGCAACUUAUAGGAGAAAUAGUCCUAUAAGCUGUUGGAUGACUAAUAUAGCUCUAGCUGUAAUGUUUUAAUUAAAUUACAUCACUAACGUUGGGAUGACUAAUGGUUUAAAAAUAAUUGAGUAAUUGGAAAAAAAAAAAGAGACUAAUUUUCAUUGAAACCCACCGACAAACUAAACGUGUCCAUGGCUUUUGAAUAGUGCAUUCAACGUUUAAUUGUAUAGUCCAGUUCAUUGCAGAUUACAUGGAGUAAAGAUUGUGCUCUUUCCUUUUUCACCCCUUUUGGAAUCGAUACUGUGGAGAAUUGGGUUUUUCCCUUCUUUUUUUCUUUUCUUUCUUUCUGUGCUUUGCAAAACAUAGGUAAAAUUAUGAAAUCCGAAGCAUUCUUUAAUUGGGAUUAAGUAUUGUUCUUGAAAUUAAAAAGAAGAAAGAAAGAACAACAAAAUUCCCUGAUUGGUUGCAUCGUGCUUCCAUAGAAGCUCUCUUAGUGUGAUACACUGCUUUCAAUCAGUUUAACAUGGAAAAAAGAAAGAGAUGAAAAGCAAAUUUGGUGGGGAUAAUUUCAGAAACCUCCCCUGAAGAUUUUGACUAUUCUACUGGUCUCCCUUCAGAUUUUAAAAAUUACACUAAUCUUCCUUGAAGUUAUAACAUUUAAAUUCAAUCAAUAAUUUAAAAAAUGAUAUUAUGAAAGAGAAAAUAAUAUGAUUUUAUCAUUGCCCCCCAUCUUACUACAUUAUUUAAUUAAUUUAAUAGCAACCCACACAUUAAAGAAAAAUAUAAAAUUUGUUAUUUAUCAUUAAAGAUCAAAUCGCUUAUAACAUCAAAUAAUAGUAUAUUAUUUAUAUUUUUCACUUAACAUAAUAUCCAAAUUACUCUUUUCAAUUACAUACUCAUUGUUAGACAAUCAACAACAAAUAACCAAAAAAUUUGCAACCAAAAUAUUACAAAAAAAAAUAAACUUUAACAUCAUAAAUAUUCUUAUCAACAUAUUAAAGUUAGUUACUGAAAUUUUUAUGGUGUUAAACUUCACUCUUUGUAAUAUUUUGGUUACAGAUUUUUUUUGAUUAUUUUUUAUUAAUUAUGUUUGAUGAUGGGUUUGUAAUUGAAAAGAAUAAUUUAAAACUUACAUUAAGUGAAAUAUAUAGAGUGAUAUACUAUUUUUUAUAACAUAUGUGAUUCAAUCCUUCUUGAUAGGAUUGGUAAUAGAGGUAGAGGGGGGAGUCGGCUGCAUCCGGUCUUCUUUUCAUAGAUAGUACAAUAUUGCGAAAUCAAUCGCAUUCACACAAUAAUAUUUCGAAGUCAAUGCAUGGCUAAGUUGCAUAAAAGUACGAACACUUGUUAUUAUAUAGCUUAAGAUUCAAAACUUUAGAGCAUAACCCUCCACCUAACACAAUUGAAUAAUGAAUAUUCACGUUUGUCAAAUCUGUCAAAGCACAGUUUGAGGACAACCCAUUCCAACCUGCAAAAGAUUUUUUACUUUUCUAAAGUUGUUGAGAGCUGUAAAAAGACCUACCAUGCUUACAUCCUCCGAGCCUUGGGAGUUAAAAAUGAAGGCACUGAGUGCUAUAAAAAGGGGGCUAGAGGCUGCCUAGAAGCAUAUCAGCCUAAAACAAGAAUUUGUUGUUAUGAUGGGAAGCAAAGCAAAAGCAAUGGGGUCUGGGCUGACUCCUCUUCUUGCCACUGUUUUAGUGGUAUUUGUUGCUCUUGGCUUGCCCUCAGAAACAGCAGCUGAUGAUCACUACAAGUAUUCAUCUCCUCCUCCUCCUUACCACUAUCCCUCACCACCGCCUCCAGUGCAUUUACCUCCACCAGUGUACAAAUACAAGUCCCCACCACCACCUCAUCAUGUUUACAAGUACAAAUCUCCACCACCCCCACCACCACACCCAGUUUACAAGUAUAAGUCACCACCACCACCUCCUCAUCCGGUACCACACCCAGUUUACAAGUAUAAGUCACCACCACCACCUCCUCAUCCGGUAUACAAGUAUAAGUCUCCUCCGCCACCACCACACCCAGUUUACAAGUAUAAGUCACCACCACCACCUCCUCAUCCGGUACCACACCCAGUUUACAAGUAUAAGUCUCCUCCGCCACCAGUUUACAAAUAUAAGUCUCCUCCACCACCACCUCCAGUGUACAAGUACAAGUCUCCACCACCACCAGUUUACAAGUACAAAUCACCACCACCUCCUCCCCCAGUUUACAAAUACAAGUCUCCACCACCACCAGUUUACCACUACAAGUCACCACCACCUCCUCACCCAGUUUACAAGUACAAAUCUCCUCCACCACCAAUUUACCACUACAAGUCACCACCACCUCCUCCCCCAGUUUACAAAUACAAGUCUCCACCUCCUCCUCACCACUACUAAGCAAUUGCUUCUGAGGUAAUAACACUUGUUCAAUAACACUUGAUAGCCAGCUGAAUAUUUGCAGGCAAAGGAGAAGGAAACCAGUGUUUGAGACCUUCUUGAAGAUGUAGAAGCAUAAGAAUUAAAGCCCAAUGUGAAGAUGAUGAUUUCAAGUUUUUCUACGUUACCAUUUCAAUAUCUAAAUUGGUUGUAGCGCCUUAGUUCCUUUGUUUAUGGGAUUUGUAUCGUUUUACGUACCAUGCAGUACAUGUCAUGUUUGUAAGGUUUUCUAUCCUGCCGGCAAACCGCAGGUUCCAUGUAAUAAAUCAAUACUAUUUAUAUUACGACACUUUUCUCUGUUUCUCUUAUAUUUUGUCUUUAAUAUUCUUAAUCAUAUUUUUAACAAAAAUAUUCAAACACUUCAGCAAUGGUUCACCUAGUUGAUCAUCGAAGCAGAGGCAAUUCCAAUUAUUUAUCAAUAAAUAGGAUAUAACUACCAAACAAGCGAUGGCAGUUAACCCCUCCUUACUGUGUCGGUGAUCAAGGUACGCCCGUUAAUCACUGCUCUAAUUGAGAAAUAAUCCUAAGUACGCCCGUAGAAUUUAAUUCCCCAAUUGCCUUACAUAUUAGAGGAGCCCUAUUCUAACCAAAUAACGCACUAUCAGGGUUAUUUUAGAUUAGCCCGCGUAUUCCCCUGACAUAAAUCUAAUCAUGCCAGUUGUCAUUAUUUUGAGGUAAUUAAACAAUUACGGAUUUAACACCUCAAUUGACAAUAGAUUAUUAAAUUAAUUAAUUAUUCGGAUCCAAGACAAUCAAUUAAUUAAACAACCAUAAGCACUACAAUCAGAGAAUAUGCAAAUACCAAUAAAUAAAUAAAAAAUAAAAUUAAAUCGAUCUCACAAUUUUUAGGCGAAUCAGAGCAUCCGUUGUCCCUUGACUAGAGCAAGGAAAUUAGUUCAUAUUUGAUGAACUAAACCCAUACAAAAGGGAAGCGAGAAAUGCAGCCAUUAUCCUUUGAAAUCUGGAAAAUUCAACUUGUCCGAAUAUCGAAUAGAUAGUAAUACUACAAAAGGUAAUUCAUAGCUUCCCUUUCGUCUGACACACAAGAAGAAAAAAAAGGGCUGCUAAUAACUAAAGGAGGAAAAGUCAAAGUCCUAAGCUAUGCUACAAGACGAAAAACUAAAGAAGACAAAAAGGCAGUGCUCAUUCCCUGCAAUCUCAAUUCCUAUUCUAUCUAAGUGCUCUCCAAUGUGCGGCGGCUCCCCUUCCGGAGAGGACGAAGUGGCACCCUUUUUUCCUGCGCAAUUUUCCUAUAUAAAGUAGUGCUCCUUGCAGCGGCUCCUGUGCGAAAAAAUGAAGACUUCGGCCCAAUUUGCCUAACAAGGGCUCACGUUUUGUUGUUCUAAAAAUGUCCCUAGGACAAACUCUAUCAUCUGAACUCUUUUCUUGCCAAAUUAGUACCUGUUAUUAUAUUUUCGUUCUACUCCCUGAAAUAAAUGCAAAAUAUCAAAAGUGAGUAGAAUCUAGCAAUUAAUCCACAUUAGGUCAGGUAAUAGGGAAAAUUAAUAAUAAAAUAAAUGAUAAAAUUGCAAUCUAUCACGGGACCACUGUGGUAAGGUGUGUUUCGCCUAUUAUAAGGAGUUCGGAGAGUUAGACGUGUUGGAGGCGGAGGCGCGGUCACUCCUGCACGCCCUCCAGCUGUGUGCAGAUCGCGAGGUACGGGCGUUGACUGUAGAAUCUGAUUCAAAGGUGCUUGUUCAACUAGUUUGCUCGGAUAUGAGGUCGAAGUGGCCGGUGUGUAUCGUAUUGCGGGAAAUAAGACAUUUGAUCCGGCGGAUGGGUGCAUCCCUUCAUCAUAUAUUCCGUGAGGCCAAUUCGGUGGCGGACGCAUUGGCUUCUCUGCAAUUGGGAGGGCAGCAGUACUACACCUCAGGCGUGGCGCUGCCUUUCAGGCCCAGAGGAGAGGCUCUGCUGGAUCGUCAAGGAGUACCUCGCAUCCGUGAGGCGCUCACUAAGGUUUGAUAGGCUAUGUCCUCCUUUCAAAAAACUUAUUUCAUCUACUCCUUGUAAUCAUUUUUCUUAUCAAUAAAUUGAGGCUUUUUAUUUAAAAAAAAACAUAUAAUUUAAGGCAAAAAUAUGAUCCUAGCGAGUAUCGCACUGAGACAUUAGGAAACAUCAUUAAAAGAGUAUUUCUUGAGUUAGUGCAACUAUUUCUUAGGGGAAUUUAUAGUUACAAAAUUCAAAAAUUUGAGAUUCUAUUACUGAUUAAUUAAGGGCGUUAUCACUAUUUUUCUUAUUAUCACCAUUAUUUACCCCACAUACUAUAAGUUUUUUUAGGGCACAGGAAAAGAGGUGGGCCGAUGUUUAGUUAUGUACAAAAGUUCAAAAUUUGUAGAUAACUUAUCAUGUGCCCUUAGAGCGUAGAAUACAGAAAAAAUAUCUUAAACUAUAACUAAUCCUAAUAUUUUUCUCUAUGAUAAACUAGCUCUUAUCCAUUUCUUUAGAUGAUGAAAGGAAAUAGUUAGUCACCUGUCCUCUAGUGAUUACAACAGCAUCAAAACAAAUUAGCACUCUUUUCCCGUAGUUUAAAAAUCCCUCAGCCACUAAGAUUUUGCAUGUCGAACGAAUUAAGGAACAUAGAAGGUUCGUGCUGCACCACAGUGUCCUUGUUGACGAUGCAAAGACAGAAAUGCAUCCGCGUAUACUUCCUUAAGCAUUUUGAUUACUUUAUGAUUCGAACUUUUCUUGUCUGACAGCUGGACUUAAUUGAAAAACACAAGUAACAAUAUUUCAAAGUUGAUUCGUCAAAGUUUACCCAAUUGGUGAAACUUUCUUCAUAGAGCUGACUUUGUAUUAGGUGACAAUGAUAUGGAAUUGAUGUCCUUCCCUUUUUCCUUUUUUUGUGUUGAAGACGCACAACGUUUUCAAUGGCAAAUUUAUAUGGGCUUUUCACGACAAAAUGUGUUCUGAAAAGUUCAUUCCAGAGGUUAAAAUUUUGUGUGUUAAAAAUUUGCUUCUCAGGACUUUGAUGGGAAAGUCUUGGUGUUUCCAAAAAGUUUAAGCAGGAUGCUUCUGGCUUUCUCUCCAUGUAUUUGUGAGUUAGAUCUAAAAUUAUCAGGGCUCCAGAGAUCUCUUGAAAUCGCAGCAUAUAUUGAAGUCUUUCCAGAAGGAGUCUUUUUUUUUUUUUUUAUGAAUUAUGAUAGAUAAUUAAUCUGACGGUGCAUAUAUAUAUAUAUGUGAUUUGCAGUAGGGUGUUUGACGAAAUGGUUAGGCUUCCUAAGUAAUGAUAGGAAUGCCAUUUGCAAAGAAGGACAGGGGGCUGGUGCUGUCAUAUUUUAUGCGAUUUGAUCCGUUGUUGUAUAAGUUUAAACUUUUGACGUGCAAUUGUGCUAUAAUAUUAUACUAAAUAUAUGUGUGAAAUAUUUUGUCUAUAUACAUCACUUUUAUCAUGAAUACAACAGCUGAGUAUAAUAAUAUAGUAUAAUGUAAUUGUACACCAAAUAAUGUAGCAAAUAUAACAAUUGAUCCGAAUUACACGGAACCAUAACAACAAGAUCACCGCCUCCCAAAUUUUACAAAAUUAGGUUUUUUUUUUUUCUCUUAGAUUAUUGAAAAUUUUCAAAAAUAAUCUACAUAAUUUAAGCUUUUGUCCUACAAAAAUUUGAAGAGAUUUUACAUUACAAGCUUAAGCUUAGAUAUAUUAAACUUUGCCCCCAAGAUUAAUUUUCCGUUUUUAUCUAUGAACCGAUCCAUAUAGCUAGUUAGACUGUAGUCCUCACAUUUGUGGGAUUUAACACCCAAGAUUCUCCUUCUUGGAAUGUAAAAUGUAGAUCUUCUAUGUUAAUAAUUCAAGACCCUACUGUCAUAAACGAAAUGACUGAUCAACUCCUGUAAACCUAAUUUGACAACAUUUAAAUGGAGAACUUUAGCUAAAAGAAUUAUGGUCAAGCUAAAGAAAAAGCCAGUUAUUUUCCAACAUAUGCAAUCAUUGAUCAGGAAAAAAAAAAAAAAGCAAAAAGACAUCUUCAAUCAUUUAAUAGCUCACAGUGCAAAUUAACCCCUAAGCGAAAACUGGUUGCUCUAGAAUCAAAAUUUUACCUUAGUUACCCAGGCAACUUUUUUGUUGCUUUUUUUUUUUUCUUUUCCUUUUUGGGUAUAUAUAUAGCUCCAGUUUUGCCCCCUCUGUCAAGCUUAUAUAAUUAUUAAGAUAAUAAAAGUGCCUUGAAUAGUAUUAAUAUAUCCAUUGACUUGAGCUGUCAUCGAUCGGUUUGGGCUACUUCGAUUCCAUGAGAACAAAUGGUAAUAAAAGUACUCAGAAAAUAGGGAGCCAUGAAACCCUUUUGUUCUAUUCAUUGCUAAGAUGCUUUUCUCUAUAAAGAGACUUCCUAACGAAAGUACUUUGUAGAUUUCUUUACUCCAAGUGGUGCAUGGAAAAUUAAAAUAUUCAAUUAUCAAAUAAAAUUCCCUUUUUUCGGUGUAGAUUUCAUCCAUCCAGCUGUUAACACAUUUUAUGUAUCCGAAUUAUAUAUUCUCUACCAAAUAUUGUAACUUUUCUGAGCAUCUUUACAUUUUUAUUCCCACCUAACAAAUUAGUUGUUGAGCAUCUUUACAUGCUAUCGGAUCACAAGUUAAUAAUCUUUUAAAGAACAUGUUAAAUUAAUUUAUUGGUAUGAAUAGUCAAAGAAGUAUAUUAAAGUUAGUAAUCUUUAAACACCACGAUGCAAUUAAUACUUUCAAGCUCAAGGUCUUUUUUUUUUUUUUUUUUGGUACUGUACUUCCUUGCUUUAUAGUAUGCACGUUUAUUUCUGUGGAUUGCUUAAGCUUAUAUUGUUAAUAAUUGGGCAUUUAACCAUAAAUUAUAAUGAUUAUGAAGUCAUAUAUAUAUAUAUAUAUAUAAGAAAAUUACCACAAUUAUUCAAUUUUUUUUGCAAAUUCAAAUUUUAUUAAUAAGAAAUAGGCAGUAAGCUUUUACAAACGGAAAAAAAAAAUCCUACAACAACUCUAGGACCUUUGAAAGAAAGAAAAAAAAAAGAAAAGAAAAGCUUAAGGACUCUACCUCAUAGAAGCUAAACAAUCCUACAAAUAAACUGCAAAAUAAAUCACAAUAACGCAAAAUUUUUGUCUUUCUUCCGUAUGAAAUGAAACUACGAAGUCAAGAAUUGACUCCUUUAACCGCUAUUGCCAGCGGGCUCCGUCAGCAAGAUACAACUUUGCAAUUUGAUUCAAUAGAAAUCCUCAAAUAGCUAUUUUGACAGGCAAAUUAAGCAUUAAUUUUGGUAUCCCUUCAUAAAAUACAAGAGUACUUUUGAUUAUAUCUAUAGAUCAACUUUCUAGGCUAUUUUGAUGUAUUAUAAGAAAAUCUGCCUCAACAAUUUUGAUAGCAUUUUUCCAAAAGCAGAAGAUGGAAAAUUGCCCAUUUGUACUGGGGAGUUCGUGAUCUUUUCCUCCUUCUAGUCUACUUACAAUUCUUGGAAAAAGGAAUACUCACAUCUCAAACAACUGCCUGUUCAUCUGCAAUGUCCUGCCGAAUUCUAGAAAGUUAGGUGGCAAUGCUAAUUACAUUUCAAAAUUGACUGCUGCGAUGACUAAUUCGAUGGCUUACUACAUGGUCAACGUUUGGAUCCCUUCCUGUCCUUUUUGGAUGCACAUUUUUUUUCUCUAGGCAAUAUAUAAUCUCCCAACUCAUUUCUUUACAAAUGCACCUUUAAUCACCACCAAAAGGUGUGGACAUGAUCUUUACCCUAGAAAACUAAUCACCGACAGGCAAAUUGACGUCAGAAAUACUAAGAGGAAUUCUAGUUUCCUUCGGGUUAAUGCCAUUUUGUACCCUUCAACUGUAACUCGAUUUCUAAACUAUAAUUUGUGACAUUAUAGUCCUUAAACUAUGAAACCCCUCUUACUUAAGUACAAUGGUUAAUACAAUACCCGUGACUAGACAAGCAACCAUAACAAAAAAAAAUCCAAAAUUAGAGAAAAGAAAGAAGUUUCGCGACCAAAGUAUGUAUCAAGGCAUAGUAUAGAAAUAAAAGUGUCCAAAUUAAGAGUUUAGGGAUAAAAGAGAUCAAGAUAUAGUUUAGGGAUUGAUUUGUCUCAAUUAGAGUUUUGAUGUCAACUAAGAAGAGAGAUAUAGUUGAAGGGUAGAAUAUAGAUAUAACAGUUCAAUGAUUGAUAUCAACGAGACAAUGACAACUUUGGAUUAUUACCAACCUCUUCUUGAUGGGAAAAGGAAAUAGAGAAGAAAGUCGGGCCUGGUCUAAGCCUGCUUCGGAGGCAAAACAACAUUAUGAAAUCACCGGCAUUCACACAAAUAUGUCAAAGUCACCGGCAUGCUAAGUUGCAUAAUUUAUACAAACACUGAAUAAUAUAUUGUUCUUAAAAUUUUUGUUUAAGAUUUAACAAUUAGAGCACGGUACACGAAUUAGCAAUAUUAAAUAAUGAAUGUUCACGAUUGAUAAAGUUAUCAAAGUACAGUUUGAGGACAACCCAUUCCAACGUGUACAAGAUGUUUAGCCUUUGAAAAGUUAAUUAGAGAAGGUGACGAGAUUUUACUAGGCUUAAAUCUUCUAGGCCUCGGAAGUAAAAAAUGAAGGCCUUUGAGUGCUAUAAAAAGGGGGCUAGAUGUUGCCUAGAAGCAUAUCAGCCUCAGACCACAUUUUGUAGCAAUGGGGAGCAAAGCAAAAGCAAUGGGGUCUAGGCUGACUCCUCUUCUUACCACCGUUUUAGUGGUAUUUGUUGCUCUUGGCUUGCCUUCAGAAACUGUGGCUGAUUACUACAAGUAUUCAUCUCCUCCUCCUCCUUACCAUUAUUCCUCACCACCACCUCCUGUGCAUUCACCUCCACCACCGCCAAUUUAUAAGUCACCCCCACCACCUUACCACUACUCCUCACCGCCACCUCCAGUGUAUUCAUCUCCACCACCACCUUCGCCAGUUUACAAGUCUCCGCCACCACCUUACCAUUAUUCGUCACCACCGCCUCCGGUGCAUUCACCUCCACCACCACCUGUUUACAAGUCACCUCCACCACCUUCGCCAGUUUACAAGUCUCCGCCACCACCUUACUAUUAUUCGUCACCACCGCCUCCGGUGCAUUCACCUCCACCACCACCGAUUUACGAGUCACCUCCACCACCUCCUCCAGUUUACAAGUCUCCGCCACCACCUUACCAUUAUUCCUCACCACCACCUCCAACGCAUUCACUCCCACCACCAGUUUACAAAUCACCGCCACCACCUCCUCCUAUGUAUAAGUCCCCUCCACCACCUUAUCAUUAUUCCUCACCACCACCUCCAGUGCAUUCACCCCCACUGCCACCAAUUUACAAGUCUCCGCCACCUCCAAUCUACAAGUAUAAGUCACCACCACCUCCUCCCCCAAUUUACAAGUCACCACCACCACCUCCUCCAGUAUAUAAGUCCCUACCCCCACCAGUGUAUAAGUACAAGUCUCCACCACCACCUCCUCCAGUAUACAAAUCACCUCCACCACCUCCUCCAGUUUACAAAUCUCUACCACCACCAAUUUAUAAAUACAAGUCUCCUCCACCACCUCCUCCGGUUUACAAUUCCCCACCACCACCAAUCUACAAGUCUCCACCUCCACCCUCCCAUUACUACUACAAUUCUCCUCCUCCUCCUCCUCAUCACUACUAAGCAAUUGUAUCCAAGUUUUUGAGGUAAUAAUGCUAAACCAAUAUAUUAACUUUCGCAUGAUAAACUUUAUCUCUAUCAAGACAAACUGCCAUGUGCAUCAAGCCAAAUACGUACACUUCGAUCCAUGAAAAUGACAAGUAGAAGGUUUUCUUAAGAACCAAGGAACAGCAUUAGUAUUCCCUCUGUUUCCAAAACUUGUGUAUUAAAUAGAUUAAUGAAUUGUUUAACAUGCUUAUCUACUUGAAAAUGCACAAUACCCAUAACCCACUGAAAUUUUUGCAGGUAAAGGGGAAGAGAAUCUGUGUUUGAGAGCUUCAUGAAGAUGUUGAAGAAUAAGAAUAAAAGCCCAAUGCGAGGAUGUUUUCAAGUUUUUCUAUGUUUCCACUUUAAUUUGUAAAUUGAAUUUUUCGACUUAAUUAAUUCCCUGUUUGUGGGGUACGUAUUGUUUUACGUACCAUGCCGUACAUGUUUGUAAGGAUUUCUAUCCUAUUGGCAAAAGUCGGUUCCAUACAAUUAAUCAAUUCAUUUCACUUCUAUUGGCUCUACUAUUUAUGCACGUUACGACAUUUUUUCUCUCUUUCCCUUAUAUUUUGUCUUUAAUAUUAUUGAGUCAAUAGUAAUACUGGGCCAUUUUUUUUAAAACUUAUACUAGUAUACAUAGGUAGUUUGGUCUAACGCCAAAUUCAUGUUUGUCUUUCUUUUAUUCCCUUUACAUUUCAAAGUAUACUAUAGUUUGUGAUCAUUGUGGUGAUGAUAUUACCAGCUGGUACUUAUAGUUUAAGGCAGAGACAUGAUAUUAACAACUAUCUCAUUGAAACAUAAGGAAAAAUCAUGACAAGUGUGAGUCUUGGUUAAUGCACAAUUUGUUAGUGGAAUUUAUAUUUAUAAAACUCAAAAAAAAAAUUUUGACAAUGCUAUUACUAAUUAAUUAAGGACUUUAUUGCUAUAAUUUAUCGCUUGCUAGUUUAAACUAUAAAUGAUCUCAAUACUUUUCUCCAUGAUGUCGAUUUCUUUAGAUACGAAAGGGAAAAAUUAGUGACAUAUCCCUUACUGAUUACAACAUCAGCAAAAAUUAGUUAUAAACUUUUCCGGUGGUUUUAAAUCCCCGGGCCCUAAGAUUUUUUGCUCAUCGAGUGAAUUAAGGAACAUAGGCAAUUCAUUUUGCAUACCAAGUCCUUGUUUAAGAUGCAAGUACUAAAAUGCAUCCACUUCAUUAAUUUGGGAAAUUGCCAUAGUUUUUUUAAGCAUUUUGAUUUUUUACAUGAUUUAAAAUUUUCUUAUUGGAUACAAUCACUUUGUAUCAAGAACACAUUUUCAAUCACCUUUUUUUAUCUUCUCAAUGAGAAAAUAAAAAUUUAUUCAUGCUUUUCUAACAUAUUCAAUCAUUGAUCUGAAAAUUAAAACAUUAAGAAAAGGACAUUUUCAAACAUUAAGAAGUAGUAUUUUAAAGACCAUGAUGAAAUUAAUACUUUCAAGGUCUCUAUUAGGAAGACUUCCUUUAUUAAUACUCUACUAGGCAGAGUUAUAUGCACGUUUACUGUUUUGGCCUUAAGUUGGGUGCAGAUGCUUAUAUUACAAAUAGAUGGUAUCAAAAAAUUGUUGUAUUCACGUCUGUUCUUUUUUUCUUCCUUAAGUUUUUUUCUUUAUUCUCGUGACUUCGCUAGUGAGGUAUAACUUCACAACUAGAGUCAAUAGAAAUCGUCAAAUGAUUUUUUGACAUCCAAAUUAAGCAAUAAAUUUUGUUUUCAUUUCAUAACAUAUAAUAGUACUACUUCAUGGGAGAUUUUAUAGUUUCUUUAGGGUAUCAUACCUACAAUUGAUAUUUAUCAUUGGAUAGUGAAAGAAGUGUUAAUGUCUCUAAGAUUAAAUAUUGUUAAAUAUUGAAAAUUUGAACUAUUUAUCUCUAUUGAGAGAUACAACUUAAAGAAUCCUACCCAAAAGAGACUAGAAUUUUCUCUGUUUUUCAUCAUCUGUAGACAUAAACUUUCCACGGUUGAUAGCAUUUUUCAUCAUCUAUAAGGAAAUUUUGCCUAUACAAUGUGAUAGCAUUUUUCAAAAAGACAAGAUGGAAAAUUGCCCCCCUUGAACGGAAAAUUGCCCCCUUGUCAAUUCUUUAAAAAAGAAUACCGUCCCGCAGAAUUCUAGAAAGUUAGGCAAAACUAGACAAGUUGACAGGUAUAAUCAGACCCAAGAUCAGGAACAAGCAGUUGCACAUUUCAAAAUUCGCUGCUGCAACAACUAAUUUGAUGACUUACAACACUAAAUGGUCAAACUUUGAAUGGCAAUGAAUCUUUUGUUGUACAUCAUGAUGUAAUUUUCAUGUUACAUAAUAGAUUGAUAUCUAUGUUCUUUAAAUUAUCAUAAUAAUUAAAUUUAACUGAAAAAAAGAACACAUAUCAAUACACAAAAGUGUGCAACGUGAAUGUUAUUUUAGUGUAUUGCAGAAGACCUAUAGUCUCUUCAUAUCUCUUCCUGCACGUAUCAAUUCGUUUCCUCUAGAUAAUAAUCUCCCAACUCAUUUAUUUACAAAUGCACCUUUUAUGUUUUAUUACCUCCAAAAGCCUAAAAAUCAAUUCACCGACUCGCAUUUGGUAUCAGAAAUUCUUAUUACGAAUUCUACUUUACUCAAAGAUUGACUGUUAAUAAUGAGACAACGACCAUUUUGUAUUAUUACACCGUCCUUCUUGAUAGGCAAAAGAAAUAGAGAGGAAAGCGGGUCCGUAUAUGGUCUUUUAUUCAUAGAUAAUACAACAUUACGCCAUCGAGCAUUCACACAAUAUUUCAAAGUCAUUGCAUGCCUAAGGCCUGCUUGAUAAUCUAAUUCCGUACUUAAAUUUAAUAAAUUCAAAUCUUAACACAUUCAAAUCGUUUGAUAACAAAAAAUUGAACAUCUAAAUUAAUUAAGUAACACUGAAUUUUCUAGGCAAAACUUGCUCCCAAAAUUAAGUGAUAAGUUAUUCACUUAUCACUGAAUAUGAUAUGUAUUCAAAUGUAUUAGAUUUAAUACUUAAUAAUUUAAUGAAUUCAAAUUUCAUAUUUCAUAUUUCAGUUUUAUCAAACACACCUUAAGUUGCAAAAUAAUACCAAAACUUGUUAUUACAUAGCUUGAGAUUCAAAAAUUUAGAGCAUAAUUCUCAACCAAACACAAUUGAAUAAUGAAUAUUCACGAGUGUCAAAUCUAUCAAAGUACAAUUUGAGGACAACCCAUUCAAACGCGUACACGAUUUUUAACUUUUCUAAAGUUGUUGAGAGCUGUUGAAAGAGAUUUACCAUGUUUACAUCUUCCAAGUCUUGGGAGUAAAAAAUGAAGCCACUGAGUGCUAUAAAAAGGGGGGUAGAGGCCACUUGAGAUCCUCGGUGACAUGUUUUCUAUGCCAAUCCAAUGCCACCAAUAGUGUUGCGCCAAGUGUCAUGUUAUUAUUUACACUUGUGUUAAACUAAGCCAAGUUGAAUUAUUAGAAAAUUAAAGUGUAAAUAAUAACAUGACACUUGGCGCAAUACUAUUGGUGACAUUGGGUUGGCAUAGAAAAUAUGUCACCGAGGAUCCCAAGUGGAUAGAUGCUGCCUAGAAGCAUAUCAGCCUAAAACAAGAAUUUGUAGUAACAAUGGGGAGCAAAGCAAAAGCAACGGGGUCUAGGCUGACUCCUCUUCUUACCACUGUUUUAGUGGUAUUUGUUGCCCUUGGCUUGCCCUUGGAAACUGCAGCUGAUUAUUACAAGUAUUCAUCUCCUCCUCCUCCUCCUUACCAGUAUUCCUCACCACCACCUCCAGUGUAUUCACCUCCACCAACCCCUGUUUAUAAGUUACCCCCACCAUCUCCUCUAGUUUACAAGUCCUCACCACCACCUUACCACUACUCACCACCUCCUGUGUAUUCACCUCCACCAUCACCAAUUUACAAGUCACUGCCACCACCCCCUCCAGUAUACAACUCCCCGCCUCCACCAGUGUACAAAUACAAGUCCCCACCACCACCUUCUCCAAUUUACAAAUCUCCACCGCCACCAGUUUACAAGUACAAGUCACCCCCACCACCUCCUCCGGUAUACAAGUCUCCUCCGCCACCUGUUUACGAGUACAAGUCUCCUCCACCACCUCCUCCAGUGUACAAGUCCCCACCACCUCCAGUUUACAAGUACAAGUCACCACCACCUCCUCCCCCGGUUUACCAAUCUCCUCCACCACCAGUUUACAAAUACAAGUCACCACCACCUCCUCCCCCAGUUUACCAGUCUCCACCUCCACCCUAUCAUCACUACUACGGUUCUCCUCCUCCUCACCACUACUAAGCAAGUGCAUCUAAGUUUUGAGGUAAUAAUACCGAUCCAAAACUUUAUCAACGCAAACUGCCAUGUAUAUCAUGCUAAGGACGUACACUUGAUCCAUGAAAAUGGCUAGUAGAAGAUUUUUUUUAAGAACCAGAGAAAUACAUUAUUUUUUCGCUCUGUUUUCAAGAAUUUGAGCAGUAUACAGAUUAAAGAGUGUUUUUUUUAAACUUGCUUAUCAACUUAGAAAUGCACAUAGCUGAAAGCCAACUGAAUAUUUGCAGGCAAAGGAGAAGGCAAUCGGUGUUUGAGACCUUCAUGAAGAUGUAGAAGAAUAAGAAUAAAAGCCCAAUGCGAGGAUGAUUUCAAGUUUCUACGUUACCAUUUCUACAUCUAAAUUGACUUUAGCUCCUGAGUUCCAUGUCUAUGGGGUUUGUACUGUUUUACGUACCAUGCAGUACAUGCUUGUAAGGUUUUCUGUCCUGUUGGCAAGCCGCAGGUCCAUAUAAUAAAUGAAUACUAUUUAUAUUACGACACUUUUCUCUCUUUCUCUUAUAUUUUGUCUUUAAUAUUGUUGAUCAUUUUUUUUUUUUAUCAAAAGUAUCAAAUGCUUAGGCAAUUUGGUCUAAUGCUAAUUGUUUUACAUUUAUUUUUCACCUACAUCCCUUUUCAACUCAAAGGAUGCUACAGUUUGUGAUCAUUGUUUAAGACCGAAGCAUGGUACUAAUAAAUAUCUCAUUGAAAGUCAAGGAAACUAACAUUAUGAAAAGUGUAAAUCUUGAUUUGUGAAACUAUUUAUUCGUGGAAUUUAGAGAUACAAAACUCAAAUUGUGACGGUGUUGUUGCUAAAUUAUUUUUUUUUUAUAAUAAAACACAGUUCAUUCAAGGAUUACUGGAAAUCGUCCAGCACAAUUGAGAUACAUUGUUGCCCAGGUGGCAGAUAAAUAUGCACUAAAAUUAUAGAUAUGCAAUUUAACAAAUACAUAAGAUUUGAGAAAUUAAGGACAAAUCUAAAAAGGACCAUAAAUUUGAAAAACAUUUCAUCCUAGAAUAAGUCGCUGCAACUCUCUUUGUGCAUGCUGUAAUCGUCAGAUCUACUAAUCAACAGUUGUAAGGUCCAGUAAAGAUGGUGAGAUCUGCCGAGAUUGAUCCAAAUCUGAAAUAUUCCCUCAGAUCUGCUAUCCAAUUGGUUCAAACUCAAUACUGAAAGUGAAAUCUGAUGAGAAGACUGAAAAAAUUGUAGAUCUAACAUAUAGAUCUAAAAAAACUCCAAGAUUUGAAAAAGUAAAGAAACAAAACUAAAUAAAACUCUCAUUAAGAUAGUUUAGGAGAGACUAAAACUCUCAAUAGGACACCCUAGGAGAGAAGAAAACUCUCACUAGGAUAACCUAUGAGAGACUUUAUUGAAUGAAAGGAAAAGCAAAGGACAAAGGAAGAAGAAGGGAGACCUUGGCUUAAGGCCAAGGUCUCCCUCCUAUGGAGGAGGAAGGGUAGAGGAGGAAGCCUAGAGAGAAGGAAGAGAAUCCCUCCGCUAGAGGGAAGGAAGAGCCUCUGAGAGGGUACCCGUGUUGUUGCUAAAUUAUUAAGGACAUUAUCACCAUUACUUUUCCCUUACUAGUUUCAACUGCAAUGAUCUCAAUCUUUUUGUGACUAAUUCUUUUCUUAAUAAUUUAUAAAUACAAAACUCACAAAGAAUAUGUGACUUAUUCUUUCCUUUCGUCUUCUAAAGAAAAUGCCAACUGUUAGUUUAUCAAGGGAAAAAGGAUCGACAUCAGUUGUUAUUGAAACUAGUAAGGAAUAAAUAAUGGUGAUAAUGUCCUUAAUAAUUUAACAACAGCACCAUCAGAAUUUGAGCUUUGUAUCUAUAAAUUCCACGAAUAAAUAGUUUCAUCAAAUCAAGAUUUACACUUUUCAUAAUGUUAAGUUUCCUUGACUUUCAAUGAGAUAUUUAUUAGUAUCAUGCUUCGGUCGUAAACAACGAUCACAAACGAUAGCAUCCUUUGAGUUGAAAAGGGUAGUGAAAAAGAGAAGUAAAAAAUACAAUUAGCAUUCCCUCAAAUUGUAGAAAGUUAGGUAGCAUUAUAGACAAGUUGAUAGCCGUAAUUAUACUAAAAAUCAGGCAAAAGCCAGCAAUUUUACAUUUCAAAAUUCACCUAUUCAAUAACUAAUUCGAUGGCUUGCUACAUGGUCAAAAUUCACCACAUAUCCCUUUCCUCAAUCAGGGGCUUCUACAAUUACCAGUUCCAAUUGUAUGGUAUAGUGUAAAUAUCAACAAAUUAGAUGUAGACACUAAUAUAAUAAAUAUGGAUGCUAAGGCAACAACAUACAAAAACAUAAUAAAUUUUGGCAUUCCUUAAAAAAUUACGUCCCCAAAUCAAUCUCAUACACCCAAUUUCUAAUUUAUUUAACUCAUUCCGUCUAUUAACUGCACCAUACAAUCCAACCUGCAAUUGCAUGAACCCCAAUCUCGCUUCCUAGUCCACCAUUUUUCUCUAGGUAAUAAUCUCCCUUCUAAUUUCUUCACAAAAUGCACCUUUCAUCACCUCCAAUAGCGUCGACAUGAUCUUUACCCUAGAAGACUAUUCACCGACUCCCAAUUGACGUCAGAAAAUCUAAGAGUAAUUCUACUUUACCCUAAGAUUGAUAUCAACUAGACAAUGACAAUUUAGAAUUAUUACACGCCUCUUCUUAAUAGGAAAAAGAAAUAGAGAAGAAAGUCAGGCCAGGUCUAAUUUCUUUUCGAAGGCAAUACAACAUUACGAAAUCAAGCAUUCAUUCAUACAAAUAUUUCAUAGUCACCGGUUUGCUGAGUAGAAAAGUUUAUACAAAAACUUAAUAUUAUAUUGUUUAAGAGUUAACAAUUUAGAGCUUAAUCUCCUUGUACUUUGGACUAAACUCGAACGUGAAAGGAAAUCCCAAAACCAUAUUGGGCAUGAAUUCACACUUAAAUAGACCCAAAAAAAGAUGGCGACUGGUGAAAGGCAGUGGAGACUGGUGGUGAGAUUUGAGGAAUAGAAGCAGACGGAAAAGCCACAAAUUUUUGCCGAAAGAGGGUCACUUUCAUGGUUAAUUUUGCUACUCUCUACUUGUACUUGACCAAUGACAGGUUGUCAGUCUGUGCAAUAAUAAAAACCUGUUCAAACUAAAAGUAAUUUCUGUAGAUAGUGGUAAGCAGGGUCGAAUCCACAGGGAUUAGGUGUAACUGUUUCUUUUCAAAUUCACAAUAACAAAGGGGGUGUUUUUAUGCAGAAUGUGACAAUCAAAGAAAUUCAAUUAAAAGUAAAAUAAUAAAAAUAAAAUAGCCAACUAGAAAUUAAAUAACAAUUUACUAAAAUCAAAUGAGUGAUAAUUAAGGAUCUAGCCAAGGAAUAACUUCAGCAGUGGUUCACCUAAUUGAUCAUUGGAACAAAGGCAAUUCCAAUUAUUUACUAAUAAAUAGGUUAUAACUGCCAAACAAGCGAUGACAGUCAAUCACUCCUUACUGUGUCGGUGAUUAAGGUACGCCCGUUAAUCACUGCCCUAAUUGAGAAAUAAUCUUAGGUACGCCCGUAAGAUUUAAUUUUCCAAUUGCCUUACAUAUUAGAGGAGUGUCAGGAACAAGGAAAUAGAAUGGGACGUCGUUUAAUGCAAAGGGUUGUGCGUUUAAGGCCUUAGAAGCAAUACUACGUCGUUCUAAUAACAUAGGCGGUGCUGGUGUGAUAGGCCAAGUUAGUUGAGGGUCAAUUACAUAAAUAGCCUUCUGUAACAGAUUUUUGGUUAUGUUUUUGAAUGAAAAGUAUCUCGCUGCUUUCUCUCUCUUGUCUGUUAUUUCCCUCCCUUUUCUUCUUUCUCUCUUCCCUCUUCUUAAUCUUGUUUCUUUCUUCUGAUUCUUCCCCCAAAUUCAAUACAAUUCCAGAAAUUAACCUGCAAGUCUGACAUUUGGUAUCAGAGCGGUCGAUUCUUGGCCGCGAAGGUAUCAGAAAUGGCUGAGAGCACGCGAUUCAGGACACUGGAGGAGCAACUCAAGAAGCAGGAGAAUCGGUUGCAAGAACUGGCGGAAUCCAUGGCUGCACUGCAGAGUACGAGUUCCGAGGAGUUGCGGCAUAAGCUACAGGCGGAAAUGGAGCAGAACAAUGCAAAAUUGGACGCGGUGGUGGGAAGUCUGGACCAGAAGUUCAAUAAAAUGGAACAGAGACUCAGUACAGUGUUGAAGCUGCUGAUGAAGGAGAAAGGUCUCCCUGAUGUCGAAGGAGGAAUUUCUGAUCCAAUCUUGCCGACUCCUCCAUCUCAUCUGAGGUUAGCAUCCUCAGUCGAAGGGAUUGGGCACCAACAAGAGUACAGAGGUAGGCAAUUCACUCCUAAUGUACCUCGAUUAGAACUGCCAAUGUUUAACUCUGGAAACCCUAGGGAAUGGACCAGGAAAUGCCAGAAAUAUUUUUUGAACUAUCAGAUAGCAGAGAGUCAAAAGGUAGAGGUAGCAGAGAUGUUUUUGGAAGGUAGAGCUGACAAUUGGUUUCAAGGAGUGAAAUUGGUGAGGCCAGGGUUGUCUUGGGGGGAAUUUAGUGAACUUUUGUGUGAAAGAUUUUCUGGAAGUAGUUCUCGUGACAUUGUGGAGGAAUUUAACAAGUUACAGCAGAAAGGAACUGUUGAGGAAUAUGAGGAGAAAUUUGAAGAACUAAAAGCUCUAAUGCUGAUGAAAACCCCCAGGUUGGAUGAACUUUACUUUGUUUCCAGUUUUAUUAGUGGCCUCAGGGAAGAAAUUAGACCUAUGGUGAAGAUGUUUAAGCCUCAAACACUGAUGAAGGCCUUUGAAGUUGCGGAGUUGCAGGAGUGUUCCCUGGAAAUCCAAUCGAAACAAAACAGAACUUCAAGGAGGACAGCAAUGGAACCCAAGUUUGGAAUGUAUAAGGGCACUACGAGUGAUUAGGGUCGCCAAAAUUCAUAUAAGUUGCCUGGAGUCACUCCUGUCUCCAGGAGGACUAAUGCAGUACACAAGGAAUUUAGUAAGAUAUCAGCGGAGGAAAUGCAGUAUAAGCGUAAGCACAGCCUGUGCUAUAGGUGUGGAGAGAAGUUUGGAAUAGGUCAUCAGUGUAAGAAAGGAAGUCUGAACUGUGUGAGCACUGAGGAAGAGGAGGACACUGAAUUUGAGGAUGCGGAAGGGGAACAGGAUGAGUUAACAGGAAGGGUCGGGGAACUUGCAGAAGUCUCUUUGAAUGCUUUAUCUGGUGCCAUAAGGAGGAAAUCCAUCCUGUUGAUAGGGAACUUAGGGGGGCUUCCAGUCAAAAUUUUGGUGGACACAGGCAGUUCUAACAGCUUCAUUCACCACAGGAUUGUCAACCUACUGCAUCUACCAUAUCAGGCAGUCAGUCCAUUUACUGUGACUCUAGCAGAUGGAACUGACAUUACCAGUGGAGCCAUCAGUCCCAGCGUGUCUUGGUUAAUUCAGGACUAUCAAUUCCAAUUUGACUUAAAAGUAAUGGAAUUAGGGGGAUGGGAUAUAAUUCUGGGGGUGGACUGGAUGUGCCAGUAUAGUCCCAUUACAUUUGAUUUCCACUCUCUUAGCAUUGCCCUUAGUGAUAGGGGUUCUUUACUACACCUCCAAGGACUUGUGAAGCAACCUACUAUGGAACUGGUGAGGGGCAGGGAUCUCAGCUCGUUUAUACAGGAGAAGCAAAGAAACUGUGCAGCCAUGCAUGCUGAUAGGGCCAGGGAAACAGGAGAGCAGCUUCCAAAAGCUAUAGAAAGGAUCCUGGAACAGCACUCUCAGGUUUUCUCCACCCCAACAGGAUUACCCCCAGAGAGGGAAUUGGACCAUCAGAUCAACCUCAAACCAGGAGCUGAACCCUUCAAGCUCAAACCUUACAGGUACCCCCACUCACAUAAAGCAGAAAUUGAAAAAAAAGUUGCUGAGAUGCUCACUAAUGGAAUUGUUAUACAUAGCACAAGCCCCUAUGCCUCCCCUGUAUUGUUAGUAAAGAAAAAGGAUAACUCCUGGAGAUUAUGCAUAGAUUACAGGAAGCUGAACGAGCUGACUAUAAAGGAUAAGUUCCCUAUUCCCAACAUAGAUGAACUAUUGGAUGAAUUACAUGGAACCAGAUACAUGUCCAAACUGGAUCUCAGAGCUGGUUACCAUCAGUUGAGGGUGAAAGCUGUUGAUACCCCUAAGACUGCCUUCCAGACACACCAUGGCCACUUUGAAUUCUUAGUGAUGCCUUUUGGACUCACAAACGCGCCAGCUACAUUUCAGUCCUUGAUGAACAGAAUAUUUCAGCCAUAUCUCAGAAAGUUUGUCCUAGUCUUCUUUGACUACAUAUUAGUGUACAGCCCCACACUAGAGAUGCAUGCACAGCAUCUACAGAUUGUGCUCAAUAUUUUAGAAGAAAAUCAGCUGUAUUACAAGAGGUCAAAGUGCUCUUUUGCCCAGUCCUCAAUUGAAUACUUGGGGCACGUGAUCUCAGAGGCAGGAGUGAGUAUGGAUGUGGCUAAGGUGGAGUGUAUCAAGUCCUGGUCUGUUCCUAGUACAGUCAAGGAGCUGAGAGGGUUUUUGGGAUUAAUUGGUUACUACAGGAGAUUCAUUAAAGGCUAUGGAGUGAUUAGCAAACCCUUGACUGUAUUGUUGAAAAAGGAAGGUUUUGCAUGGAACCAUGAAGCUCAAAUGGCCUUUGAAGAUUUGAAAAAGGUUAUGACCACAGCCCCAGUGCUGAGCAUGCCUAAUUUCGAACUUCCUUUUGUCAUAGAGACUGAUGCCUGUGGAAUAGGUAUUGGAGCAGUGUUGAUGCAGCAAGGACAUCCUAUUGCUUUCCUUAGCAAGGCAUUAUCAGUUCAGAAUUUGGGGUUAUCAGUCUAUGAAAAAGAGCUUUUUGCCUUAGUGCUAGCUGUAACUAAGUGGAGGCAUUACCUGGUGGGUCAUCACUUCAUUAUCAGGACAGAUCACCAAGCUCUCAAACAUUUGAUAGAGCAAAGGCUUACUCAUCCACUCCAGCACAAGUGGCUAACUAAGCUACUUGGUUUGGACUAUGAAAUACAGUAUAAAAAGGGUGCAGACAAUGGGGUGGCAGACGCCCUCUCCAGGAGAAGGAUUGAGGGAAACACUGUUGACUGUGGAGAGACUGGGCAUCAGACCUGCGCCAUAACCUCAGCUCAGCCUAGUUGGAUGCAGGAAAUGCUAGAAAGCUACAUUGGAGAUGCAGAGGCUCAACAGAAGUUAUCUGAGCUAUUGCUGGAUCCCAAUGCAGAUCCAGAUUAUCAGUUAAAGAAUGGGAUGCUCAAGUUUAAAGGGCGGCUGUACAUAGGAUCUGCUAACAACAUUAGGACCAAGGUGGUCAGAGCAUUGCAUGACUCAGCCCUUGGGGGGCACUCAGGUCCUGGAAUCCGUAAGGAUGUCCUUCAAUAUGUGAGAUCUUGUGAUGUGUGUCAAAGGAACAAACAUGAAAAUGUUCCUUAUCCUGGGUUGCUGCAACCAAUUCCUGUACCUCAGCAGGCUUGGUCACACCUCACCAUGGAUUUUAUUGAGCAACUACCCCCAUCCCAUGGAUUUGAUACCAUUUUGGUGGUGGUGGAUAGGUUAACCAAGUUCAGCCACUUCAUUCGACUCACUCACCCUUUUUCUGCACAGCAGGUAGCACAGCUUUUCCUUGACAACAUAUACAAGCUGCAUGGACUUCCUGAGACCAUUAUAACUGACAGGGACAUAAUCUUUCUUAGUAAGUUUUGGCAAGAGUUAUUUGGUAUGGUAGGGGUAAAGCUGCACUACAGUUCAUCGUAUCACCCUCAAUCAGAUGGUCAAAGUGAAAGGGUCAAUCAGUGUUUGGAAAACUAUCUCAGGUGUAUGUGCAGUGAGCAUCCUUCUCACUGGAGCAGUUGGCUUCCUACAGCUGAGUUAUGGUACAACACUAACUUCCAUACUAGCUUGCAGGUGACACCAUUCGAAGCACUAUACGGGUAUAAACCAAAUCACCUUCCCUUAGGACCUUUUCAUGAUAGCCUGGUACCUGCUGCUGGUAACAUGGUGCAGACUAGGCUCCAAAUUCUAUCCCUCAUCAAAGAGAAUCUAGCCACCGCCCAGAAUCGAAUGAAAAUGUUUACUGAUAAGCACAGGACUGAACGUGUCUUCCAAGUGGGGGAUUGGGUAUUUCUCAAGCUGCAACCUUACAGGCAACAAUCAGUGGCCUUACGGAAGAAUUUGAAGUUGGCUGCCAAAUACUUUGGACCUUUCCAGAUCCUUGCGAGAGUAGGGGAAGUCGCCUACAGACUUAAGUUGCCAGAGGGAGCUCGAGUUCAUUCCGUGUUCCAUGUGUCCUUACUUAAAAGGAAAGUGGGAGUUACACAGCAGGUAAAGCCCAGCUUGCCAGAAGUAGACGCAUCAGACCAAUGUUUGCUGAAGCCAGAGAAGAUUCUCCAGAGGCGUGUUAUCAUACGAGCUGCCAAACCAAUCAUCCAGUACCUGGUGAAGUGGAACAACUUACCAGAAUCCGAAGCAUCAUGGGAGGAUAAAAGCUUCAUUGACAGACAAUUUCCGGAAUUUCAAGCUUGAGGACAAGCUUUGCUUAAGGGGAAGAGAUUGUCAGGAACAAGGAAAUAGAAUGGGACGUCGUUUAAUGCAAAGGGUUGUGCGUUUAAGGCCUUAGAAGCAAUACUACGUCAUUCUAAUAACAUAGGCGGUGCUGGUGUGAUAGGCCAAGUUAGUUGAGGGUCAAUUACAUAAAUAGCCUUCUGUAACAGAUUUUUGGUUAUGUUUUUGAAUGAAAAGUAUCUCGCUGCUUUCUCUCUCUUGUCUGUUAUUUCCCUCCCUUUUCUUCUUUCUCUCUUCCCUCUUCUUAAUCUUGUUUCUUUCUUCUGAUUCUUCCCCCAAAUUCAAUACAAUUCCAGAAAUUAACCUGCAGAUCUGACAAGGAGCCCUAUUCUAACCAAAUAACACACUACCAGGGUUAUUUUAGGUUAGCCCGCGUAUUCCCCUGACAUGAAUCCAAUCAUGCCAGUUAUCACUAUUUUGAAACAAUUAAACAAUUACGGAUUUAACGUCCCAAUUGACAAUAGAUUAUCAAAUUAACUAAUUAUCCGGAUCCAAAACAAUCAAUUAAUUAAAUAAUCAUAAGCACUGUAAUCAGGGAAUAUUUGAAUACCAAUAAAUAAAAAGAAAGGACAAAAUUAAAUCGAUUUCACAAUUUUUAAACGAACCACAACCUCAGUUGUUCCUCGGCUAGAUUGAGAAAAUUAGCUCAUGUUCGAUGCGAAAAAUCCACAAGAAAUUGUUAAGAGAGCCGCGGCCAUUGUCCCUUGAAAUUGGGGAAAUUCAAUUCGGUUGAACUACGAAAGAAAAGUAAGCUACAGAGAGUUGCCGAUUGGGUUUUGCUUGUCCCUAACAUGCGAGGGAGCAAAGCCACGAAAGGACGACAAAGGUCAAAAAGAAAGGCUACAGAGCAUGUUCCAGGUCUUUUUGUGCUCUCCACAUCCGAGCCAACGAAAAGAAAUAAAAAACUACCAGGAGCUAAAGGAAAACCGCAAGAAAAGUCAAAGGCUAAAAAAACUUCCUAGUGCUUGUUCUCUGCUUAUCUCUUUAUCUAAUUCUAAGUCCCCGAUUUUUUGCUCCGUGCGGCGGCUCCCCCGGAGAGAAAGGAUUGCAUCCGCUGCCCUCUUCCACCAAUUACCAAAAUGGGCACACCGCUUCUUUUUCAAAAAUGCUCCUGGAUAAACUCUAUCAUCUGGACUUUUUUUCUGUCAAAUUGACAUUUAUUAUUAUAUUUUCGUUCUACUCCCUGAAAUAAAUGUAAAAUAUUAAAAAUGAGUAGAAUCCGACAAUUAAUUCACAUCAGGUCAGAUAAUAAAGAAAAUUAAUAAUAAAAUAAAUAAAUAAAUUGCAACCUAUCAACCAAAUACAACAAUUUCAUGGAGUUUGAUACACAAGCCCAAAUACACGAGAGUGUGUAACCUGAAUUGUUACUUAUACAUUAGUGUGUAAUAGAACGGCAAGCAUUAUGGUGGUCAUUGAGCAACUUGUAGGAGAAAUAGUCCUAUAAGCUGUUCAAUGACCAAUCACAACUUGCUAAUUGGAUGACUAAUAUAGCUCUAGCUGUAAUGUUUUAAUUAAAUUCCAUCACUAACGUUGGGAUGACUUUUUAAUCAAAAAAAAAAAAGCCUUAGUUCAAGCUUUUCCCCUUAUUGUGCAUUUUUUAAAACAUUUGAUAGGCACUGCAAAUCUGUCAUUUUGGACAUUUUAUUAUUAACUAACAAUGAAAGCCGUGGACAUCAACCCAUAUCCAACAAAAUAUUAAAUUAAUAUUAGAAAAAAUUAUUAAGUAAUUGGAAAAAAAAAGAAGAGGCUAAUUUUCAUUGAAACCCACCGACAAACUAUACGCUGCUUUCAAUCAGUUUUAACACGGGAAAAAGAAAAGGCAUGAAAAGCAAAAUUUGUGGGGAUAAUUUCGGAAACCUCCCAUGAAGUUUUUGACUAUUUUACUGGCCUCCCUUCAGAUUUUAAAAAUUGGACUAAUCUUCCUUAAAGUUAAUUAUCUUGUAACAUUUAGAUCCGAUCAAUAAUUUAAAAAAUAAUAUUAUGAGAGAGAAAAUAAUAUGAUUUUAUUAUUGCCCCCAUCUCACCACAUUAUUUAAUUAAUUUAAUAGCAACCCACACAUUAAAGAAAAUGACAGGUCGUCAACCUGUGCAAUAAUAAAAUUAAACCUAAUUGCCAGUUAAAAUGACCAAAACCCAAUUCCAAGUACUGGAGCAGGGACUCUAGGUGUGCAAUGGGUUACUUGAUUCACCCUGUUCCCGAAGAGUUUGCUUGAUCCGAUAUACCCGAAUGGAAUGGUUAUUCCUUUUCACAAAUGAUUAGGAAUUUGUAGACAGGGCAAGUAGGGUCGUAUCCACAGAGACUGGGUAUAUUUGUUUCUUAAGAAAUCCAAAGUAACACAGGGGGUGAUUUUGUAGGAACGACGAUAAUUAAAUAAAUUCAAAUGAGAAAGUAAAAAUAAAUAAUUAACUAGAAAUUAAACCACAAUUUACUGAACUCAGGAUAACAAUAGUUAAAGGCCUCAAUUAAUUAAAAUAAGGAAACAAUCAAAAAUAAAAUAAAGUAGGUAAUUAAAAGUCAAAUGGCAAUCCACUACAAUCAAGGAAAUAUUAACUAAAGAUCUAGCCAAGAAAUAACUUCAGCAAUGGUUCACCUAAUCGAUCAUUGAUGCAAAGCAAUCCCAAUUAUUUACUAAUAAAUAGGUUAUAACUACCAAACAAGCGAUGGCAGUCAACCCCUCCUUACUGUGUCGGUGAUCAAGGUACGCCCGUUAAUCACUGCUCUAAUUGAGAAAUAAUCCUAGGUACGCCCGUAGAAUUUAAUUCCCCAACUGCCUUACGUAUUAGAGGAGCCCUAUUCUACCCAAAUAACACACUACCAGGGUUAUUUUAGAUUAGCCCGCGUAUCCCCCUGACACGAAUCUAAUCGUGCCAGUUGUCACUAAUUUGAGGUAAUUAAACAAUUACGGAUUCAAUACCCCAAUUGACAAUAGAUUAUCAAACCAAUGAAUUAUCCGGAUCCAAGACAAUCAACUAAUUAAAUAAUCAUAAGCACUGCAACCAAGGAAUAUGCGAAUACCAAUAAAUAAAGGAAAAGAUAAAAUUAAAUCGAUCUCACAAUUUACAGGUGACCCAAAGCAUCAGUCGUUUCUUGACUAGAACGAGGGGGUUAGCUCAUAUUGGAUGAACUAAGCCCGCGGGAAAUUCCAGCAAAAGUCACGGCCGUUGUAUGCAUUUCAAGAGCCGCAAUUCGUCAAACACUUGGAAAGCGAAUGUAAGGCACGGGUAACAAUUGAAACUUUCUAAUUGUUCCUAGCAUUCGUAAAGCAAAUUCACUCCAGAAGUACAGUGAGGAAAAGUCAAAGAAAGUGGGCUUCAAUUCCUUGCUCCUGACAUGCGUGGAGACAAGCCAAUGCAAGACUACAAUAAACUAACAAGGAAAAGUCAAGAAUUGGAGCUAAGCUCCCCUGCCAUGCGCAGGAAUCCCAAAAGUAAAAAGUAAAGCUUCAAAGAAAAGUCAACAAUUCUUCCUAAGCUACAGACGGAAGAUCCAGCACAAAAGCCAGCUCCCUUUUUGAUCCCUUUUUCCCCCUUCUUAUUGCGGCGGCUCACCAGGAGAGGAGAGCCCUCCGUCCGUCCUUUCUUCCGGAAAUUACCAAAAUGGGCAUGACAUCUUCUCUUCCAAAAGUGCCCCUGGGACAAGCUUUCUCAUCUGAAUUCUUUUUUUUUCCAAUUUGGCACCUGUUAUCAUAUUUAUAUUCUACUCCCUGAAAUAAACGUCAAAUACUAAAAGUGAGUAGAAUCCAGCAAAUAAAUCCACAUCAAGUCAGGUAAUAGGAGGAAUUAAUAAUAAAAUAAAUGAAUAAAUUGCACCCUAUCAAUUCCCUCCACACCUAAACCAUGCUUGUCCUCAAGCAUAAGAAAAGUAAACGAACACCAAAAUUCGACGAUAGCCAUUGCCCAAUCUCCUAUAUUGCCAAGACAUUCAAGAGAAAAACACAUAUCGAGCAUUGGUGAUUAGAAUCCCAGAAGCAUCCCCCCGGUUAGCCUCUAACCCCCAGAUUCCUUCAAUUUCCAACUUAACUACUCUAAGAAAGAGGAAUGGCACACAACAUUUAUCAGCUAGUGGUCCGAAUAUUCACACAAGUCUUCAUAUCCAAUCCAUAAACCGGCAAGCUUCCCUAUUAUUUAGUCUCUCUUUUUUUCCGUUUUUUUUCAUUUUCAUUCUUCCCCUCUUUUUUUUUUUUUUUUAAAGCAGUAGCAAUCAACACAAAAGACUUAGUCGUUAGCCGUCAGGGCCUUUUGAUGCGAACUCCAACAUUUUUAGAAGGAGGAGCCCGGUUACUCAGCUCCUACCGCUAUACGACCACGCACUCAUAUAAAAUACCACCUUUUGACGCGAGAAUCGACACUUUUAGGUGCCGAUCCCCGGUUACUCAGUAGUAACUUAAUAGCGGAGCACAGUCAAGCUUAUUCUCAGCCAAACAAUGCACAAACGCAAAAUAACAGCACUAACAAUCAAACAUAGGAGCAGCUCGCCUCAUUAUUGUCAAACAUGGAGAACUGGAGUCAAUAUUGGACCAGUUCACAUUAAAAGGCCAUAUUCAUUCCCUACGCCUAGAAAAGUUAACAAAGAAAUCGAAAGAGUCAAACAGUUAAAUAUUCACCAAGGGGAUAUUCAGGACCCAACCACACUAACCCGAUACAUUUUGUAUUUUAAAAACUUGGCAAAAGUAGAUUUGGAGUCAAUGAGUCCACAUCUCAAUUUUAGCCUUCACAUGAAAGGCAAUCACCAAGAAGAAAGAACGGAAAAAUAAGCAACUAGAAAUGAGACUACGAAAAACUACUAAAACUAAAAACUCACUUUUUUUCUUUUUCUCUUUUUUUUUCUUUUUGAAUUUUUUUUUCAUUUUUAUUUUUUUUUAUUUUUUUUAUUUUUUAAACAUUAACUAUAAACAUUAACUACUAAAAACUAAAAACUAAAACUACUAAAAACUAAAAACACUAAAAACUGCUAAAAUGAAAAGCUGAAAACUGAAAACUACUAAAAACGGAGCACACUAGCAUAACUUUAGAUCCCCCCCACACCUAUAGGACACAUUGUCCUCAAUGUGACAAAUAAGAACCAAAAGUGAAGCACAAGUGAGAGGGGAAUCAGCCAAACUUCCCUGAAAUCGGGUCACAGCGGAGGGCGAGGUGGAAAUGGAGGUGCAAAGCCUGUAUGCAUCAGGAACUGUGCCAAAUUCUGUGCUAUGCCGGCGACAUUGGCGUCGACGUUGGUCAUCCGGGCCUGCAAAUCCUGAACCAGCUCCCUGAGAUGCUGCCAAUCAUCGGUCCCAGGUGGUGGAGGUGGCGCAGAAGUAGAGGUAGACGGCCCAGCAGUGUCCGCGGCCGACCCAGGGAAUGAAGAUGGCCCUGCCCGGGCCGAAUGGUGUGCACCCGGGGCUCGAGGUGGUCCCGGACGGGUAAACUGGUGAAAACCAUCUGGCAGACGCUCGACGACCCCCAUUUUCUCUAAGCAAACUACGUCCAAGUGCUCCAUCUCAAAUGCCAAAUGGAGGUCGUGGUCAUCCAGGUUAAGAACUCCCAACUGGGUCGCCAAGUGAGUGAUGUAGGACCCAAGGAUCAGUGGUUUGUUCUUCUUGGUCAAGACCGUCUUGAACUGUGCGGCCAACCAACAUCCCAAGUUCACCUUGAUAUUGUUCUUCAUACUCCAGAGAAAGAAGAAUUCGGGCCGAGAGAGUAUACCGGAGCUGUCCUUGCGCCCCGAGUAGCUAUAAGCUAAGAAUCGCUGAACAUAGCGGGCGCUAGGGUCCUUAAGAAAGGAGCUCCUGGACCGGGAAGGAUCGUAGCGUUGCCUAUCGACGGACAUGUCCUCCCAUACAUCAUGGUAGUGGGAGAGGAAAGGCUCUACGUAGUCACAGGCACUCUCCGCAUACUCCCUAGUCUCAGCAUACUCUCUAGUGAUAAACCCAAAUGCCAGAUUGAAUUGAGUAAUGGAGAAAUUGAAUUCUCGACCCAUGAGCCGGAAAUGAAUGACAUUCGGUGUUUCACCCGUGUAUCUCGUAGGUAAUUCGAACUCAAAGGUGGAGUAAAACUCCCGGAUCAGCUCAACAAAAGCGGGACAAGAAAUAUGGAAAUAUGGGCGCCACCCAAUGGCUGUGAACAUUUGCUCAACCUCCUCCCGUAUACCCAGGGCAGUUAGAGAGAGUCUAUGACAAGACUUACAGGAUAUUAUACGCCUCUCGCAGACCUUAGCGUACCUCUGCCGAUCGGCGGGUCUGGUAAAUGUUAAGUGCCCCCCAAAAUGAACAGGUGCAUCUACCUGAGCACCCCUAUCCCUACCCAAACGGGUUCGAACACUAGAAGAGGAGGGUAGGUUGGUAGGUGAGUUGACAGGAAUAGAGGCUUGUGGAGGGGGUUGAGACUGAGAGGUCCUAGACCUAGAGGAGGAUUUCGGUCUCACCAUUCCCCCCAAAGUAAGUUCAAGGCAACAGAAAAUCCGACAAGUAUAGAAACCAGCAAUUGACAAAGCAAAAAUCUCCCAGUAGUAACCCAGCCAAUAGCAAACAAAAGAGUUCCAGCAAGUAAUCAACAAGCAAUUCAGAAAUAUCUCAACUAAAAUCUCAAGAGAAACCCCAGCGAGUUAUCCAGCAAUUCAAGCAAUAUCCCCAAGCAAUGUGGUGGUCAAAAUGUCAUCUCCAAAUUGAACAAAUAAUCAGAGCAUUGCAACACAUUGAAAAUCUCAAUAAACGGCUCCAGUUGGCCAAGAAAAAUUGCUAACUCAUACUCAGCAAUAGUAGUGCAGCAAAGGGACAGUAACCACGCAAUAAAAACACUUAGCUUGCACUCAAAUGGUCACCCCAAAUAACAACCCAGUAUGAAACCCGCAGGCAGAGUAUUCCUCAAACCGUUAGCCUAAACCCAGUCAACAACCACGGCCAGAAAUAACCCCAUAAAUAGUGCAAUGAGUAAUCCCCAGCAACAUAAUCAGGUGUAAUCAACUGGAGCAAGCAAUUUACAUGGCAUAGAAACCUCCCAAUCAAACAAGUGCAUUAUUCUAGCGCACCCCAAAAUUCCAAGAAAUGGCUCCAGUUGGCCAAUUAAUUUCACAAUGUCACCCAACUCAGGAGAAAUAGCAAUUCCACACAAAAAUAGUCAAACCAGUACCACUGGCGAAAAAUCUUUCAAAUAUGCACAAUUUGCUACCAAAUAUCACCGGCUAACACUGAAAAAUUGAGGGCAAGUGUCAAAUACCUCCACAGGGACUACCCCAGGCGGCAGACAGAGAAGCGGCGUUGAAGCUGGUGGUCGAGCGGGGCGGCGCUCGCGUCGGCGUGCGCAGCGGCGACGGCGCGCGAGGAUGGAGUUUCGGGAGGUUGCGUGCGGGCUUGGCUGAAGACGCGGCGCGCGCUAGGGCUUCGCUGCGGCAGGCGUGCAGCAGGGGAGAAGAAAGAAAAGAGAAAGAAAGAAAGAAAAAGAAAGGAAAGAAAGAACAGAAAAGAAGGAAAAGAAAAAGGAAUUUUUCUUUUUUUUCUUUUUCUUUAGGCUACGGUUUAGAGGACAAAUUUUUCUUCUUCUUGUUUUCUACUUUUUUAUUUUUUUAUUUUUUAGUUUUUAAUUUAUUACUAUUAUUAUCAUAUUUAAUUGAGGAAAAAAAAUGUUUUUUUUUAAAUCCCUACCUUUCCCACGAACGUGACGCGGGCACGUCAAGAGGGCAAGAGAGCUCCCAGAAGUUUCAGAAUUUUCUGAUCGUAAGCGUCCUGCACAUCACCACGCGGGCACGUCAUGAGGACAGGAGAGCUCCCAGAAGUUCAGAAUUUUCUGAUCGUGAGCGCCCUGCACGUCACCACGCGGGCACGUCAUGAGGCCAGGAGAGCUCCCAGAAGUUUGAAGUUUCUGAUUCCUGCCCGUCAUCACGCGGGCGCGUCAUGACUGAAGGUCACCUACAAAUCAGCAAAAACGAAAACUAACACCCAAAAUCAGUCAAAUUCAGGGAAAGCAGAUUUAAACUAUGCUACAAAACCAACAAACAAUUAAAAGAAAUAAUUAGGUUGCCUCCCAAUGAGCGCCUUUCUUUAAUGUCUUUGGCUAGACAUGGUAAAGUGUCACUGAUUAGGACACGGUGGUGCGUCAAGCCUUAUUGUCUCCACCUCUCUACCUGAAAAUCCUUCGUAAUAAUAUUUGAGACGGUGUCCAUUCACCACAAAUUUGUUGUCUGUCUUAGCACUCUGGAUCUCAACUGCACCAUAGGGAAAAACAUGAGUAACAAUGAAAGGUCCAAUCCAACGGGAACGUAGCUUACCUGGGAAUAGCUUGAGCCUGGAUUGGUACAGGAGGACCUUCUGACCAACUUCAAAUGUUUUUCUUGAAAUUUGUUGGUCAUGAAAUGCCCGGCUUUUCUCCUUAUAUAUCAAGGCGUUUUCGUAUGCUUCGUUCCGGAUCUCCUCCAAUUCUUGCAAAUCCAACUUCCGUUGAGCACCGGCCUCCUCUAAAUUCAUAUUGCAGUGCUUUAUCGCCCAAAAAGCCUUGUGCUCGAACUCCACUGGAAGGUGACACGGCUUCCCAAAUACCAACCUGUACGGUGACAUCCCAAUAGGAGUCUUGUACGCCGUCCGAUAGGCCCAGAGUGCGUCUUCCAACCUUUGGCUCCAGUCUUUUCUAUCAGGGCGCACCAUUUUCUCUAAAAUGGACUUAAUCUCCCGAUUCGACACCUCCGCUUGACCAUUGGUCUGAGGGUGGUAUGACGUUGAGACCCUGUGGAGUACACCAUACUUGCGAAACAACGCAGCUAUGGUUUUGUUGCAAAAGUACGUUCCCCUAUCACUGACAAUAGCUCUAGGCAUUCCAAACCGCACAAAGAUAUUAGACCUGAUAAAAUCUGCAACUACUCUCGAAUCAUUAGUUCGAGUGGCCUUAGCCUCCACCCAUUUAGACACAUAAUCAACUGCCAGCAAAAUAUAUAAAAAACCAAAUGAAGUAGGAAAAGGCCCCAUGAAAUCUAUACCCCAGACAUCAAAAAUUUCAACAAAAAUCAACGGGACCUGGGGCAUUUGAUCUCUACGGGCUAUAUUACCUACCAUUUGACAGCGAUCACAUGACUUACAAAACACAUAGGCAUCUCUAAACAAUGAAGGCCAAUAAAAUCCACUUUCUAAAACCUUAUGAGCAGUUCUCUUAGGUCCAAAAUGACCUCCACAGGCAAAAGUAUGACAAAAAGCUAAAAUUGAUUGAAAUUCCAUUUCACUUACACAUCUCCUCAUCACUUGAUCGGCACACCUCUUCCAUAGGUACGGGUCAUCCCAGAUAAAAUACUUGGCAUCGCUCUUCAAUUUAUCCCUCUUCGAUUUCGGCCAACCUGCAGGAAAAUUACCAGUUACCAAAUAAUUGACCAAAUCAGCAUACCAAGGCAACUGAGAAUUUAAGAAAAAUAGGUAUUCUUCGGGGAAUGCAUCCUUCAAUGGCUCGCUAUCCUCUUCAACUAGUAUGCGACUCAAAUGGUCCGCUACUAGAUUUUCUGAGCCUUUUUUGUCCCUUAUCUCCAAGUCAAAUUCCUGUAGGAGCAGUAUCCACCGUAUGAGCCUCGGUUUUGCAUCUUUCUUGGUCAUCAGGUACCUCAAUGCUGCAUGAUCAGAAAAUACAAUCACUUUAGCACCUAACAAGUAUGACCUAAAUUUUUCCAAAGCAAAAAUAACUGCCAGAAGCUCCUUCUCAGUGGUGGAAUAAUUCAACUGGGCUCCAUUCAAGGCCCGGGAUGCGUAAUAGAUGACAUGAGCCGCCUUGCCUAUUCUUUGCCCCAGUACAGCCCCAACAGCGUGAUCACUGGCAUCGCACAUGAUCUCAAAUGGCAAAUUCCAAUCGGGGGGUUGGAUGAUUGGGGGUGAAGUCAGCAAUUCCUUCAGCUUGUUAAAGGCUCUCUCACACUUAUCAUCAAAUUCGAAGGCUACAUCUUUUUGUAGGAGUUGGAACAACGGGGCUCCAAUCUUUGAAAAAUCCUUGAUGAACCUUCGAUAAAAACCUGCAUGUCCAAGAAAAGAGCGCACCUCCCGCACACUCGCGGGGUAAGGUAAUGCAGAAAUAAUGUCUAUUUUAGCCUUGUCAACUUCUAUGCCCUUAGACGAUACAAUAUGACCCAGGACUAUUCCGUGCUCAACCAUAAAAUGACAUUUUUCCCAAUUAAGCACAAGAUUAGUCUCUAUACACCUGAUCAGGAUUAAUUUCAGGUUAUCUAGACAAGUAUCAAAACUAUCACCAUACACACUGAAAUCAUCCAUGAAAACUUCUAUUAUUUUCUCAACAUACUCGGAAAAGAUGCUUACCAUACAUCUUUGGAAAGUCGCAGGUGCAUUGCACAACCCAAAUGGCAUUCGUCUGUAGGCAAAGGUCCCGAACGGGCACGUGAAGGUUGUCUUCUCUUGAUCCUCCGGGGCAAUUGCUAUCUGAAAGUAUCCUGAAAAUCCAUCCAAAAAGCAAUAAUAAGCCCUACCAGCUAAACGUUCAACCAUUUGGUCAAUGAAAGGGAGAGGGAAAUGGUCCUUUUUGGUGACGGCGUUUAGCCUACGGUAAUCUAUACAUUGCCUCCAUCCAGUGGGUUUGCGCACUGGCACGAGCUCACCAGUUUGGUUGGCCUCUACCGUCACUCCUGCAUUCUUUGGGACUACCUGGACCGGACUCACCCAAGGGCUAUCAGAUAUUGCAAAAAUGAUGCCCACAUCUAGCAAUUUUAGAAUCUCUUUCUUUACGACUUCCAUCAUGAGGGGAUUGAGCCUUCUUUGAGCCUGCCUAACAGGUUUGGCAUCGUCUUCCAGCCUAAUCCGGUGCAUACAAAUGGCCGGGCUGAUCCCCUUAAUGUCUGCGAUUGUCCAGCCUAUUGCCUCUUUAUGCUCCCGAAGGACCCGGAUCAAUUUCUCUUCCUGGGUCUUUGACAGUGCCGAUGAGAUAAUCACUGGGAGUGUCUCAUUAUCACCUAGGUAUGCGUAUUUCAGGUGCUCUGGUAGAGGUUUCAACUCCAGUACAGGUGCCUGCACCACAGAUGGCAAUACCCUCUGGUGAGCCUUGGGAGUAAAAAUAGGUAAGACUUCAUACCUUUUCGUGGUGGUCUGCAACGAGUGUAAUGCACCUAUUGUGCAUUUUAAAUCCUCGCUCCACUCCACCUCAGGAGUUGUCUCCAACUCGAGGUGCUUGGUUAAAGCCACCUCCAGCUCAUCCCUGCCAUCAGUUUCAAACACUUCCUGCACUACAGGGUCAAUAGCACUCACAGAAAAAACUGAGCUAAAGUUGGAGUUAGAGGGGUACUUCAUAGUAUCAAAAAUAUUAAAAUGCACAAUUUACCCAUCAAACUCCAUGGACAAGGUACCCUUAUUAACAUCAAUUUUCGUCUGCGCAGUGCUCAUAAAAGGUCUACCCAAUAACAAAGGUGAGGGAUCAGGGGAGUGAUCAUCAUCCAUAUCUAGUACAUAAAAAUCAGCUGGAAACACCAAAUCAUUAACCUUUACCAACACAUCUUCAAUCAACCCAUCAGGAUAUGCAUUAGUUCGGUCAGCUAAUUGAAUAAUUAUUCCAGUUUCUUUUAAUGGACCUAGUUUCAAAGAAGCAUAGAUAGAUUUAGGCAUGACAUUAAUUGAUGCUCCCAGAUCCAGCAUGGCCCUUCUGAUCACAGUAUUACCUAUCUUACAGGGAAUAGUAAACAUACCUGGGUCCCCGCACUUUGGUGGGAGCUUUCUCUGCAGGACCGCAGACACAUUUUCUCCAACUAUGACCCGUUCAUCUCCCCUCAACCGCCUUCGGUUGACACACAAGUCCCUUAGGAACUUGGCAUAUUUUGGUACUUGUUUGAUGGCGUCUAAGAGGGGGAUAUUUAUCUCAACCUUGCGAAAAACCUCCAAGAUCUCCUUCUCCUUAUCCUGCUUCUUCGAUUUUUCCAACCUGCUAGGAAAAGGAGGCGGGUUAGUUUUAACUGUAAUUAUUGGGUCAGGAAGUACCUCUGGAUCUGCACCAUUGCUGUCCUCCCUUUCGAGCUCAUUUUCGAUCUUCUCUUCAUCCUUGUCCUUGGGAAUCACAGGUUCAGGCCCCUGAAUUUCUUUCCCACUCCUUAGGAUCAUUGCGCUCACGUUCUUCGGAUUCAACUCCGGUUGAGAUGGCAGCUUCCCUUGGUUCUGGGACUCCCAACGGUUCAUUCUGGUGGCCAAUUGACCUAUCUGAUUCCUUAUGUCCUGCAUUUCGGAGUCCGUCUUUUGCUGAUUUUGCAUAAUAGCUGCCUCCGUCCUUUGCUGAUUCUGCGCCAUGGUUGUCAUCAUUUGUUUCAGCAUCUCAUCCGUAGAUGAACCAGAUUGAGGGAGCGGAGGUGGUCGGGGUUGGUAUUGCUGCUGGUACCCUGGUGGCUUAUUUGGCACAAAGUUAGACUGCCUGUUUGGCGUGAAGUUGGAUUGCCUAUUUCCACCAUAACUGAGGUUGGGAUGAUCUCUCCACCCGGGGUUGUAGGUGCUUGAGUAAGGGUCGUACUGCUUCCUUGGCGCGGGCGCGUGGUCAGCCAUGUUCACCUGUUCCGCAGUUUCUUCCUGAAUCAUUGGGCACAUGUCUGCAGAGUGACCUAUACCAGUGCAAAUCCCGCAUACCCUGGCUUGUGAUGCAUUUCUCACAGCCUAUUGCCUAACGAACGCAGUCAACUCAUUUAGCUGCUGCUGCACAGAGGGUGUCUCUAUCUCAUUCACCCUACGUAUUGGGACAUCCUAUCUUGUACUGAAUUGCUGUGAAUUCUCUGCCAUCCCCUCUAUUAACUCCCGUGCUUCCUGAGGGGUUUUGUUCACCAGUGCCCCUCCACUUGCAGCAUCAAUGAUGCUCCUGUCUCUAAAAAUGAGCCCCUCAUAGAAAUAUUGUAUGAUCAACUGCUCACUUAUUUGGUGAUGGGGGCACCUGCGCAACAAGCUCUUAUACCGUUCCCAAUACUCGUAAAGUGACUCCUCGGGAUGCUGCUUGAUCCCACAAAUUUCUUUCCUUAGACUCGCAGCCCUGGACGCAGGAAAAUAUUUAUCCAGAAAUUUUUUCUUCAAUUGGUCCCACGUGGUGAUGCUACCUGGUGACAGGUAGUACAGCCAGUCCUUCGCAGAAUCUUUCAAGGAGAAGGGGAAUGCCCUCAUUUUUAUCUGCUCUUCUGUGAUUCCCGGGGGUUUCAUACUGUUGCAAACGACAUCAAACUCCUGCAGAUGCUUAUACGGCUCUUCACCUGGUAAACCAUGAAAAGAGAGUAAAAGCUGAAUCAGACCAGAUUUUAGUUCAAAUGGAAUGUUGUCAUUUAAAGCUGGGAAAGUAAUGCAUAACGGCUGCUGAGUUAAAUCAGGAGCAGCCAACUCCCUUAAUGUUUAUGCAUUAGCCAUGGUGCCUUCCUGCUGGUCAGAGUCACUCGAAGUGUUACCAAACGAAUCUGUUGGUUCAACUUCUGACUCGGGUCUUUGAGAUGUAGCACUAGAGUGCUCUUCUCUGAGCUGUCUGGUUUCCUUUCUCGUUCUACGCGCGGUCUUCUCUACCUCAGGAUCAAAAACCAAAUCACCUGUGCGACAAGAUCGAGGCAUACACUAGAAGAAAACCAGAAAAUUAGGACAAAAUUGAAUUUAAGAAGAAACAAAUAAUAACGCCAGUCCCCGGCAACGGCGCCAAAAAUUGACAGGUCGUCAACCUGUGCAAUAAUAAAAUUAAACCUAAUUGCCAGUUAAAAUGACCAAAACCCAAUUCCAAGUACUGGAGCAGGGACUCUAGGUGUGCAAUGGGUUACUUGAUUCACCCUGUUCCCGAAGAGUUUGCUUGAUCCGAUAUACCCGAAUGGAAUGGUUAUUCCUUUUCACAAAUGAUUAGGAAUUUGUAGACAGGGCAAGUAGGGUCGUAUCCACAGAGACUGGGUAUAUUUGUUUCUUAAGAAAUCCAAAGUAACACAGGGGGUGAUUUUGUAGGAACGACGAUAAUUAAAUAAAUUCAAAUGAGAAAGUAAAAAUAAAUAAUUAACUAGAAAUUAAACCACAAUUUACUGAACUCAGGAUAACAAUAGUUAAAGGCCUCAAUUAAUUAAAAUAAGGAAACAAUCAAAAAUAAAAUAAAGUAGGUAAUUAAAAGUCAAAUGGCAAUCCACUACAAUCAAGGAAAUAUUAACUAAAGAUCUAGCCAAGAAAUAACUUCAGCAAUGGUUCACCUAAUCGAUCAUUGAUGCAAAGCAAUCCCAAUUAUUUACUAAUAAAUAGGUUAUAACUACCAAACAAGCGAUGGCAGUCAACCCCUCCUUACUGUGUCGGUGAUCAAGGUACGCCCGUUAAUCACUGCUCUAAUUGAGAAAUAAUCCUAGGUACGCCCGUAGAAUUUAAUUCCCCAACUGCCUUACGUAUUAGAGGAGCCCUAUUCUACCCAAAUAACACACUACCAGGGUUAUUUUAGAUUAGCCCGCGUAUCCCCCUGACACGAAUCUAAUCGUGCCAGUUGUCACUAAUUUGAGGUAAUUAAACAAUUACGGAUUCAAUACCCCAAUUGACAAUAGAUUAUCAAACCAAUGAAUUAUCCGGAUCCAAGACAAUCAACUAAUUAAAUAAUCAUAAGCACUGCAACCAAGGAAUAUGCGAAUACCAAUAAAUAAAGGAAAAGAUAAAAUUAAAUCGAUCUCACAAUUUACAGGUGAUCCAAAGCAUCAGUCGUUUCUUGACUAGAACGAGGGGGUUAGCUCAUAUUGGAUGAACUAAGCCCGCGGGAAAUUCCAGCAAAAGUCACGGCCGUUGUAUGCAUUUCAAGAGCCGCAAUUCGUCAAACACUUGGAAAGCGAAUGUAAGGCACGGGUAACAAUUGAAGCUUUCUAAUUGUUCCUAGCAUUCGUAAAGCAAAUUCACUCCAGAAGUACAGUGAGGAAAAGUCAAAGAAAGUGGGCUUCAAUUCCUUGCUCCUGACAUGCGUGGAGACAAGCCAAUGCAAGACUACAAUAAACUAACAAGGAAAAGUCAAGAAUUGGAGCUAAGCUCCCCUGCCAUGCGCAGGAAUCCGAAAAGUAAAAAGUAAAGCUUCAAAGAAAAGUCAACAAUUCUUCCUAAGCUACAGACGGAAGAUCCAGCACAAAAGCCAGCUCCCUUUUUUAUCCCUUUUUCCCCCUUCUUAUUGCGGCGGCUCACCAGGAGAGGAGAGCCCUCCGUCCGUCCUUUCUUCCGAAAAUUACCAAAAUGGGCAUGACAUCUUCUCUUCCAAAAGUGCCCCUGGGACAAGCUUUCUCAUCUGAAUUCUUUUUUUUUCCAAUUUGGCACCUGUUAUCAUAUUUAUAUUCUACUCCCUGAAAUAAACGUCAAAUACUAAAAGUGAGUAGAAUCCAGCAAAUAAAUCCACAUCAAGUCAGGUAAUAGGAGGAAUUAAUAAUAAAAUAAAUGAAUAAAUUGCACCCUAUCAGAAAAAUGCAAAAAUUUGUUAUUUAUCAUUAAGGAUCAUAUCGCAUAUAACAUCAAAAAAUAGUAUAUUAUUUAUAUCUUUCACUUAAUAUAAUAUCCAAAUUACUCUUUUCAGUUACAUACCCAUUGUUAGACAAAAUCAACAACAAAUAACCAAAAAAUUUGCAACCAAAAUAUUACCAAAAAAAUAAACUUUAACAUCAUAAAUAUUUUUAUCAACAUAUUAAAGUUAGUUAUUGAAAUUUUUAUGGUGUUAAACUUCACUCUUAGCAAUAUUUUGGUUACAGAUUUUUUUGAUUAUUUAUUGUUGAUCGUGUUUGACAAUGGAUUUGUAACUGAAAAGAAUAAUUUGAAUCUUACAUUAAGUGAAAUAUAUAAAAUAUUAUACUAUUUUUUAUGGCAUAUGUGAUUCUUUUUUUUUUUUUUAUCAGAACGGCAACAUUGUAUUAAUAGUAAACCAAUUACAGUAUAGGUGGGCAACCGCCCUCACAAUCUGCCUGGACUUGUUCCAGCAGCCAAACUGGGAAGUUUUCCUUCCAUUCAGUAUUUUGUUCCAAAGUAAUAGCUACUUUAGCUAGUUUAUGGCUAACAAAGUUGUUCACCCUAUUUGCAAAGGUAAAACAACAUUCAUCAAAUUUUAUUCAUGUACAAUUGUUGCUAUCACCACGUCCUCCUCCUCCUCCUCACUGCACACUACUUGACUACCACCCUUCGCCAACCUUGCUGUUGCAUGUGCAACUAUCAUGGCCUCUCUUAGCGCCUUUGCUUCUUCGACCUUUGGACUGGCACAGCUAAAAUUUGGAACAGCCCAGGCCCACCCGCAAUCUUCCCAACCAAUCCCUGGCCACCCUUUUCCCACCCAGCUUCUAUGGCAUGUGUGAUUCAAUCCUUCUUGAUAGGAUUGGUAAUAGAGGCAGAGGGGGGAGCCGGCUGCAUCCGGUCUACUUUUCAUAGAUAGUACAAUAUUGCGAAAUCGAUCGCAUUCACACAAGAAUAUUUCGAAGUCAUUGCAUCGCUAAGUUGCAAAAAAGUACAAACACUUGUUAUUAUAUAGCUUAAGAUUCAAAACUUUAGAGCACAACCCUCCACCUAACACAAUUGAAUAAUGAAUAUUCACGAUUGUCAAAUCUGUCAAAGCACAGUUUGAGGACAACCCAUUCCAACCUGCAAAAGAUUUUUGACUUUUUUAAAGUUGUUGAGAGCUGUAAAAAGACUUACCAUGCUUACAUCUUCCGAGCCUUGGGAGUUAAAAAUGAAGGCACUGAGUGCUAUAAAAAGGGGGCUAGAGGCUGCCUAGAAGCAUAUCAGCCUAAAACAAGAAUUUGUAGUUAUGAUGGGAAGCAAAGCAAAAGCAAUGGGGUCUGGGCUGACUCCUCUUCUUACCACUGUUUUAGUGGUAUUUGUUGCUCUUGGCUUGCCCUCAGAAACUGCAGCUGAUGAUCACUACAAGUAUUCAUCUCCUCCUCCUCCUUACCACUAUCCCUCACCACCACCUCCAGUGCAUUUACCUCCACCAGUGUACAAAUACAAGUCCCCACCACCACCUCAUCAUGUUUACAAGUACAAAUCUCCACCACCCCCACCACCACACCCAGUUUACAAGUAUAAGUCGCCACCACCACCUCCUCAUCCGGUAUACAAGUACAAGUCUCCUCCGCCACCUCCUCAUCCGGUACCACACCCAGUUUACAAGUAUAAGUCACCACCACCACCUCCUCAUCCGGUACCACACCCAGUUUACAAGUAUAAGUCUCCUCCGCCACCAGUUUACAAAUAUAAGUCUCCUCCACCACCACCUCCAGUGUACAAAUACAAGUCUCCACCACCACCAGUUUACCACUACAAGUCUCCACCACCUCCUCCCCCAGUUUACAAAUACAAGUCUCCACCACCACCACCACCAGUUUACCACUACAAGUCACCACCACCUCCUCCCCCAGUUUACAAAUACAAGUCUCCACCACCUCCUCACCACUACUAAGCAAUUGCUUCUGAGGUAAUAACACUUGUUCAAUAUACCCACUUCUGCAUGAUAAAGCAUAUCUCUAUCAACACAAACUGUCAUGUCUAUCAUGCUAAGUGCCUUCACUUCAUCCACCAAAAUGACUGCUAGAAAAUUUUUUUUAUGUUACCAAAGAAAGGCAUCAUUUUUUCCCUCUGUUAUCAAGAACUUGUACAGUAUAUAGAUUAAAGAGUAUUUUUUUAACUAGCUUAUCAACUGAGAAAUGCAUAUAGCUGAUAGCCAGCUGAAUAUUUGCAGGCAAAGGAGAAGGAAACCAGUGUUUGAGACCUUCUUGAAGAUGUAGAAGCAUAAGAAUUAAAGCCCAAUGUGAAGAUGAUGAUUUCAAGUUUUUCUACGUUACCAUUUCUUUAUCUAAAUUGGUUGUAGCGCCUUAGUUCCUUUGUUUAUGGGAUUUGUAUCGUUUUACGUACCAUGCAGUACAUGUCAUGUUUGUAAGGUUUUCUAUCCUGCCGGCAAACCGCAGGUUCCAUGUAAUAAAUCAAUACUAUUUAUAUUACGACACUUUUCUCUGUUUCUCUUAUAUUUUGUCGUCUUUAAUAUUCUUAAUCAUAUUUUUAACAAAAAUAUUCAAACACUUAGGCAAUCUGGUCUAAUGCUAAUUGUAUGUUUUACUUUUCUUUUUCACCUGCUCCCCUUUUCAACUCAAAAGGAUGCAAUAGUUUGUGAUCACUGUUGAAGACGGAAGCAUGAUACUAAUGAAUAUAUCAUUGAAACUCAAGGAAACUAACAUUAUGAAAAGUGUAAAUCUUGAUUUGAUGCAACUAUUUAUUCGUGGAAUCUAUAGUUACAAAACUCAAACUCUGACUGCGCCAUUGAUAAAUUAUUAAUGACGCUAUCAUCAUUAUUUAUCCCCAACUAGUUUCGACUACAACUGAACCCAAUAUUUUCCCCAUGAUAAAAGUUUUUUACUAUUUUACUGGCCUCUCUUCAAAUUUUAAAAAUUACACUAAUCUUCAUUGAGAUUAAUUAUCUUGUAGCAUUUAAGUCCAAUUAAUAAUUAAAAAAUAAUAUUAUGAGAGAGAAAAUAAUAUAAUUUUAUCAUUGCCCCCCAUCUUGCUAUAUUAUUUAAUUAAUUUAAUAGCAACCCACACAUUAAAGAAAAAUACUAAAAUUUGCUGCUUUUCAUUAAAGAUCAAAUUGCAUAUGCCAUAAAACAUAGUAUAUCAUUCUAUAUGUUUCACUUAAUGUAAGAUCCCAAUUGUUCUUUUCAAUUACAAACCCAUUGUCAAACAUGAUCAAUAACAAAUAACCAAAAAAUUUGCAACCAAAAUAUUACAAAAAAAAACUUUAACAUCAUAAAUAUUCUUACCACCUCUAGUGCAUUCACCCUCAUAAAAUAAUUCAAGACCCUACUGUCAUAAAAUGACUGAUCAACUCCUGUAAACCUAAUUUGACAACAUUUAAAUGGAGAACUUUAGCUAAAAGAAUUAUGGUCAAGCUAAAGAAAAAACCAGUUAUUUUCCAACAUAUGCAAUCAUUGAUCAGGGAAAAAAAAAAGAAGCAAAAAGACAUCUUCAAUCAUUUAAUAGCUUACAGGGCAAAUUAACCCCUAAGCGAAAACUGGUUGCUCUAGAAUCAAAAUUUUACUUUAGUUACCCAGGCAACUUUUUUUGUUGCCUUUUCUUUUUCUUUUUUGGGUAUAUAUAUAGCUCCAGUUUUGCCCCCUCUGUCAAGCUUAUAUAAUUAUUAAGAUAAUAAAAGUGCCUUUAAUAGUAUUAAUAUAUCCAUUGACUUGAGCUGUCAUCGAUCGGUUUGGGCUACUUCGAUUCCAUGAGAACAAAUGGUAAUAAAAGUACUCAGAAAAUGGGGAGUCAUGAAACCCUUUUGUUCUAUUCAUUGCUAAGAUGCUUUUCUCUAUAAAGACACUUCCUAACGAAAAUACUUUGUAGAUUUCUUUACUCCAAGUGGUGCAUGGAAAAUUAAUAUUUUCAAUUAUCAAAUAAAAUUCCCUUUUUUCGGUGUAGAUUUCAUCCAUUCAGCUGUUAACACUCCGAAUUGACUAAUCUUUUCGUUUCCAUUUUCCAACUUGCGAAUACGGCAUCUUACAUAUUGUCUGCUGAAUAUGAAUACAUAUCCCUUUUCUGAGCAGGUGCAGAGUCAUUAUCAUUUUUAUUCCCACCUAACAAAUUAGUUAAUAAUCUUUUAAAGAACAUGUUAAAUUAAUUUAUUGGUAUGAAUAGUAGUCAAAGAAGUAUGUUAAAGUUAGUAAUCUUUAAAAUAAUAUGUUAAAAUUAUUCGUACAAAUUAGCCAGAGAAGUAGCAUAAACACCGCGAUGCAAUUAAUACUUUCAAUCUCAAGGUCUCUAUUAUGGAAAUUUGCAUCGGUCAACAUACACAAAGCAUUAUUGUAUGCACGUCUCUCUAUUAUGGAAAUUUGCAUAGGUCAAUAUACACUUGGCAUAGUUGCAUGCACGUCCAAUUUUUUUUUAUUUUUAUUUUUGGUAUUUUACUUCCUGCCUUAAGUUGCCUGCAGAUGUUUGUAUUACAAAUAUAUGGUAUACUAAAUAUAUAGUAUGCACAUUAAUUUCUUUGGGUUGCUUAAGGGUAUAUUGUUAAUAAUAGGGGGUUUAACCAUAAAUUAUAACAAUGAUGAAGUAAUAUAUAUUAGAAAAUUAACACAAUUAUGAUUUUUUUUUUUGUAAAAUUCAAAUUUUAUUAAUAAGAAAUGAAAUAGGCAGUAAGCAUUUACAAACCGAAAACAAAAUCCUACAACAACUCUAGGACUCUACACCUUAUUAAAAAAAAACAUUUUGAUAGCGUUUUUCCAAAAGCAGAAGAUGGAAAAUUGCCCAUUUGUACUGGGGAGUUCGUGAUCUUUUCCUCAUUCUAGUCUACUUACAAUUCUUGGAAAAAGGAAUACUCACAUCUCAAACAACAGCCUGUUCAUCUGCAGUGUCCUGCCGAAUUCUAGAAAGUUUGGUGGCAAUGUUAAUUACAUUUCAAAAUUGACUGCUGCGAUAACUAAUUCGAUGGCUUACUACAUGGUCAACGUUUGGAUCUCUUCCUGUCCUUUUUGGAUGCACAUUUUUUUUCUCUAGGUAAUAUAUAAUCUCCCAACUCAUUUCUUUACAAAUGCACCUUUAAUCACCACCAAAAGGUGUGGACAUGAUCUUUACCCUAGAAAACUAUUCACCGACAGGCAAAUUGACGUCAGAAAUACUAAGAGGAAUUCUAGUUUCCUUCGGGUUAAUGCCAUUUUGUACCCUUCAACUGUAACUCAAUUUCUAAGCUGUAAUUUGUGACAUUAUAGUCCUUAAACUAUGAAACCCUUUCUUAUUUAAUUACAAUGGUUAAUACAAUGCCCGUGACUAGACAAGUAUGAAGCAACCAUAACAAAAAAAAAAUCCAAAAUUAGAGAAAAGAAAGAAGUUGCGACCAAAGUAUGUAUCAAGGCAUAGUAUAGAAAUAAAAGUGUCAAAAUUAAGAGUUUAGGGAUAAAAAAGAAUCAAAAUAUAGUUUAGGAAUUGAUUUGUCUCAAUUAGAGUUUAGAUGUCAACUAAGAAGAGAGAUAUAGUUGAAGGGUAGAAUAUAGAUAUAACAGUUCAAUGAUUGAUAUCAACGAGACAAUGACAACUUUGGAUUAUUACCAACCUCUUCUUGAUGGAAAAGGAAAUAGAGAAGAAAGUCGGGCCUGGUCUAAGCCUGUUUCGGAGGCAAAACAACAUUAUGAAAUCACCGGCAUUCACACAAAUAUGUCAAAGUCACCGGCAUGCUAAGUUGCAAAAUUUAUACAAACACUGAAUAUUAUAUUCUUCUCAAAAUUUUUGUUUAAGAUUUAACAAUUAGAGCACGGUACACGAAUUAGCAAUAUUAAAUAAUGAAUGUUCACGAUUGAUAAAGUUAUCAAAGUACAGUUUGAGGACAACCCAUUCCAACGUGUACAAGAUGUUUAGCCUUUGAAAAGUUAAUUAGAGAAGGUGACGAGAUUUUACUAGGCUUACAACUUCUAGGCCUUGGGAGUAAAAAGUGAAGACACUGAGUGCUAUAAAAAGGGGGCUAGAUGUUGCCUAGAAGCAUAUCAGCCUCGGACCACAUUUUGUAGCAAUGGGGAGCAAAGCAAAAGCAAUGGGGUCUAGGCUGACUCCUCUUUUUACCACCGUUUUAGUGGUAUUUGUUGCACUUGGCUUGCCUUCAGAAACUGCAGCUGAUUACGACAAGUAUUCACCUCCUCCUCCUCCUUACCAUUAUUACUCACCACCACCUCUUGUGCAUUCACCUCCACCACCGCCAGUUUAUAAGUCACCCCCACCACCUUAUCACUACUUCUCACCACCACCUCCAGUGUAUCCAUCUCCACCACCAUCUGUUUACAAGUCACCUCCACCACCUUCGCCAGUAUACAAGUCCCCACCACCACCUUAUCAAUAUUCCUCACCACCACCUCCAGUGCAUUCACCUCCACCACCACCGAUUUAUAAGUCACCUCCACCACCUCCUCCAGUUUACAAGUCCCCGCCACCACCUUACCAUUAUUCCGCACCAUCACCUCCAGUGCAUUCACCUCCACCACCACCGAUUUACAAGUCACCUCCACCACCUCCUCCAGUUUACAAGUCUCCAUCACCACCUUACCAUUAUUCCUCACCACCACCUCCAGUGCAUUCACCCCUACCACCACCGGUUUACAAGUCUCUGCCACCACCUUACCAUUAUUCCUCACCACCACCUCCUAUGCAUGCACCUCCACCACCAAUAUACAAGUCACCUCCACCACCUCCUCCAGUUUACAAGUCUCCACCACCACCUUACCAUUAUUCCUCACCACCACCUCCAGUGCAUUCACCCCUACCACCACCAGUUUACAAGUCUCCGCCACCACCUUACCAUUAUUCCUCACCACCACCUCCUGUGCAUGCACUGCCACCACCAAUUUACAAGUCACCUCCACCACCUCCUCCAGUUUACAAGUCCCCACCACCACCUUACCAUUAUUCCUCACCACUACCUCCAGUGCAUUCACCUCCACCACCACCGAUUUACAAGUCACCUUCACCACCUCCUCCAGUUUACAAGUCUUCACCACCACCUUACCAUUAUUCCUCACCACCACCACUCUUCAAUUUGGAUGUAAUUCAAUUUUCCUUGUAAUCGGUGGCCCUCCUUCGGAAUCCAAAUAGUCAUUGAGUGCAGCCUUCUUUCUUUAUUUUUUACUCAUUUUCACCUCAUAAAUUGCUUUCAUCCCCUAAAACUUGUUCGCUGGAAUUUUGAAUUUACCCAUACAACUAAACUCAGAAAAUUCUUACACAAAGGGAUUAGUAGCAUGAAUAGCAAACACAGAAUAAGAGAUAACAGUAUGUUUUAUUGUAUUAAAAAUAUUAAAGUGGAUUAUUUCUCCAUCGAAUUCCAUUGUGAGAGUAUCGUUACUAACAUCAAUCUUAGUUUGAGCAGUACUCAAGAAUGACCUUCCUAAUAUAAUGGGUGAUGGAUUUGGGACACUUUCAUCAUCCAUAUAAAACACAUAAAAAUCAACAGAAAAAAUUAAUCCAUCUACUUGAACUAAAAACAUCCUCAACUACCCCAUUUAGAUAAGCAAAUAUACGAUCAGCCAAUUGAAUUAUUAUCCCUAUUUCUUUUAAAUGUUCUAAAUUUAGGGAAUCAUAAAUUGAUUUAGACAUCACAUUAAUAGAAAUCUUUAAAUCUAUCAUGGCAUUUUUUAUAUUAGAAUGUCCAAUCUUACAUGAGAUAGUAAACAUACCUAGAUUCUCGCAUUUAGGUGGUAGUUUCCUUUGUAAAAUUGCUGAAACGUUCUCAUCUACCACAAUAUGCUUGUCCUCCUCAAUUUCUUCUUGUUGACACACAAGUUUUUCAAGCAUUUAACGUAUUUUGGAACUUAUUUGAUUUGCGUCCAACAAAGGGAUAUUGAUUGCCACCUUGCGAAAAUCUCUAAAAUCUCCUUUUCUUUAUCUUGUUUCUUUGAUUUCUCUAACCUGCUUGGAAAAGGUGGUGAGUUAGUUCCAACUCUAAUUAUAGAAUCAACAAUUACCUUUGGAUUCACAUUUCUCAUUCCUUCCUCCUCAAGCUCUUUGUCGAUUCGAUCUUCAUUUUUAUCCUUUGGAAUCACAACUUCGGAUCCCUGAAUUUUCUUCUCGCUCCUUAAGGUCAUUACACUUACAUUCUUCAGGUUCAGUUCAGGUUGAGACGACAAUUUUUCAUAGAUUUGGGAUUCCAGGCGGUUGAUUGCUAUUACCAUCUGACUCAUCUGACUCUGCAGUGCUUGCACCUGUCCCAAUUGAUUCCUCAUACUUUGCAAGUCAAAAUCCAUCUUUUGUUGAUUAGCAAUUAAUUGCUUCAUUAUCUCUUCUAUAGAUGGACUUGAGUUUGAAAGAGGUGGUGGCGGGCGAGACUGAUACUGUUAUUGAUACCCUUGCUAUCUAUUUGGUGCAAAAUCUGGCUACCUAUUUCCUCCAUAGCUGAGGUUGGGAUGAUCUCUCCAACCAAUAUUGUACGUAUUCGUGUACGAGUCGUAUGGUUUUCUUGGCACGGCGCGUGACCAGCCAUGUUCACUUGCUCCGUACUUUUCUCUUGAAUCAUUGAGCACAUCUCUGUAGAAUGACCCAUAGCAGUGCAGAUCCCACACAUCUUGACUCGUGAUGCAUUUCCUAUAGCUAAUUGCCUAACAAAGGAUGUUAAUUCGGUCAACUGCUGUUGGAUAGAAUAUGUUUCUACCUCAUUUACUUUGCGUGUUGGGGCAUCCUCCCUCGUACCAAACUGUUGCGAAUUUUCCGCCAUUCCUUCAACUAGCUCCCACGCUUCUCGAGAAGUCUUGUUCACCAAUGCCCUUCUACUUGCAGCAUCAAUUAUACUCCUGUCUCUAAAACGCAGCCCCUCGCAAAAAUAUUGGAUGAGCAAUUGCUCACUUAUUUGGUGUUGAGGGAACUUGAUGCAUAACUUCUUGAAUCGCUCCCAAUAAUCAUAAAGCGACUCUCCUGGAUGCUACUUGAUACCGUAUAUCUCCUUCCUUAGACUUGCAGCUCGAGAUGCAAGAAAAUAUUUGUCCAAGAACUUUUUCUUCAGCUGAUCCCACGUGGUGAUGCUACCUGGUGGUAGAUAGCACAGCCAGUCUUUUGCGGAGUCCUUCAAGGAGAAGGGAAAUGCCCUCAUUUUUAUCUAUUUUUCUGUAAUUCUCGGAGGUUUUAUGCUGUUGCAAACGACAUCAAACUCUUGCAAGUGCUUAUACGGUUCCUCACCUGGUAAACCAUAGAAAGAUGGCAAGAGAUGAAUUAGACCAGAUUUUAACUCAAAUGAAGUGUUAUCAUUUAAAAAUAGAAAAGUAACUGAGAUGCAGCACUGGAAUGUUCUUCUCGAAAUUGUCUGGUCUCUUUCUUUGUUCUACGCGUAGUCUUCUCUACCUUAGGAUCAAAAAUUAAUUUACCUGUACGAGAAGAACGAGGCAUACACUAGAAAAACACUAGAAAAUUAGAACAAAAAUGAACAUAAAAAGAAACAAAUAAACCAACGUCAGUCCCCAGCAACGGCGCUAAAAAUUGACAAGUUGUCGAUGCCUGUGCAAUAAUAAAAAUAAACCUAGUUACCAAUUAAAAUAAUCAGAGCCUAAUUCUGAGUACUAGAGCAGGGACUAUAGGUGUGCAAUGGGUUACUUGAUUCACCCUAUUCCUGAAGUUUGCUUAACCCGAUAUACCAGAAUGAGAUUGCUUAUUCAAAAGGAAUUAUUGAUUUGUAAACAGGGCAAGUAGGGUCGUAUCAUCAGGGAUUGAAAAAAUUUGUUUCUUUUCAAAUCCACAGUAACAAGGGGAUGUUUUUGUAUAAAUGAUAACAAUCUAAGGAGUGCAAAUAGAAAUAAAUAGAUAACUAGAAAUUAAAUGACAAUUCACUAAAAUUAGAGUAAUAAUAAUUAAAGGUCUAGCUAAGAAAUAACUUCAGCAAUGGUUCACCUAAUUGAUCAUCGACGCAAAGGCAAUUCCAAUUAUUUACUAAUAAAUAGGUUAUAACUGCAAAACAAGCAAUGACAGUCAACCCCUCCUUACUGUCGGUCGGUGAUUAAGGUACGCCCAAUCACUGCUCUAGUUGAGAAAUAAUUUUAGGGACGCUCGUAAGAUUUAAUUUUCCAAUUGCCUUACGUAUUAGAGGAGCCAUAAUCUAACCAAAUAACGCUACCAGGAUUAUUUUAAAUUAACCCGUGUAUUCCCUUGAUACAAAUUCAAUCAUGUCAGUUGUCACUAUUUCAAGGUAAUGAAACAAUUACGGAUUUAAUAUCCUAAUUGACAAUAGGUUACUAAAUCAAUUCACUAUUUCGAUCCAAGAUAAUCAAUCAAUUUAACAACUAAUAGCACUGCAAUCGGAGAAUAUGUAAAUACCAAUAAAUAAGAGGAAAAGAUAAAAUUAAAUCGAUCUCACAAUUUUUAAACAAAUCAAAGUAUCCGUUGUUUCUUGACUAGAAAAGAAAAUUUAGUUCAUUCCUAAUGUGAAAGACCCACGUGAGAAUUCAAAAAUAAUAUUCACGGAUAUUGUCUUGAUUCAAUAGAUUCAAUUGCGUUGGAAUAAGGAUAAAAAGCCAAACUAUAGAGAGUGAUUCAAUGUUUUGUUUCGUUUGCAUUUUUUCUACACAUAUGGAAGAAGAAAAACAACUAAAGGACGAAAAAAAAAAGUCAAAGAAAGGCACCCAAAGUAGUGCUUGGUCUCUACCAUCCUAUUUCCUAUCUAAUUACUACUUCCCUUCUGCGGCUGCCUAGAGGAAGAAAGAGAAAGCAGACUUCAGGUCUUGUUCCAUCUCCUCCCUUUUCGGCAAUUCCCCAAAAGUAGAAAAGUUCCUCCGUUUACCAAAAUGCCCCUGGAAUGAGGACUGCUACUUGAACUCAUUUUCUUGAUAACUGUCAAAUUAGCACUUGUUAUGGUAUUUGCGUCUACUUCCUGUAAUAAAUGUAAAUUGCCAAAAGUGAGUAAACUGAUAAUUAAUUUACAUCAGGUCAGGUAAUAGGAAAAAUUAAUUAUAAAAUAAAUGAUAAAAUUGCAACCUAUCACUUAGAAUAACCAGAAAUAAAACAAAACAAGAAAUGAAAGAAAUAAGAGGGUAGCAUAGACAUUUUGGAUUUUUCUGUUAAUUUGGAUGAUUUCCACCUACGGUCUAAUUUAAUCCAAAACACAAAUGGAUUAUGUGGAGAUUUUUAAACAAUGAGGGAGUAUCGUGACCGAAUCCCAAACCACAAAGGGGAUUUACUAUAUUUUACUCUUAAAUUUUGGUUUCAUCUCAUAGCAUACAAGAGUACUAUUUCACUGUCUGUCGACCAGGGAGGAGGGUUGGGUUGGGUGGUACGGGGGAGGGAGUCUAAGUAAGAGGUCUCAGGUUCGAAUCCUCCUGUUUAUACUAAAAAAAAAAAUUUACUAUCUGUCGACAAAGAUUUUCUAUGGUUGAUGUACCAUAGGAAAAAUCUGCCUAUACAAUUAUUUGGAAAAAUUAUCCAUCCAAACAUAGUCACGAUAGCAUUUUUUCAAAAACACUAGAUGCAAAAUUGUCCCCUUAAACGUGGAAAUUCAUGAUCUUUCCUCGACUAGUCUACUUGUCAAUUUUUGAAAAAAGAAUACUCACGCCAAAAACACGGCCUCUUCAUCUGCAGAAUUCUAAAAAGUUACGUAAACUCUAUAAACAAGUUGAUAGGUACAAUCGUACCCAAGAUCAAGUACAGAUAGUUGUACAUUCACUGCUGCAAUAACUAAUCUGAUGACUUACAAACACAUCAUGGUCAAUCGUUGAAUGGUAAUGAGUCUUUUGUUAUGCAUUAGUAUUAGUGUGUACACUCUAAUAGAUUGAUACUUAUACUCUUUAAAUUAUCAUAAUAAUACCCUUAAUUAACUUUAACCCUUAAAAAGAAUACGUGUUAAUACACGAGAGUGUGUAACCUGAAUUGUUACUUAUACAUUAGUGUGUAAUAGAACGGCAAGCAUUAUGGUGGUCAUUGAGCAACUUAUAGGAGAAAUAGUCCUAUAAGCUGUUCAAUGACCAAUCACAACUUGCUAAUUGGAUGACUAAUAUAGCUCUAGCUGUAAUGUUUUAAUUAAAUUCCACACUAACGUUGGGAUGACUUUUUAAUCAAAAAAAAAAAAGCCUUAGUUCAAGCUUUUCCCCUUAUUGUGCAUUUUUUAAAACAUUUGAUAGGCACUGCAAAUCUGUCAUUUUGGACAUUUUAUUAUUAACUAACAAUGAAAGCCGUGGACAUCAACCCAUAUCCAACAAAAUAUUAAAUUAAUAUUAGAAAAAUUAUUAAGUAAUUGGAAAAAAAAAAGAAGAGGCUAAUUUUCAUUGAAACCCACCGACAAACUAUCCGUGUCCAUAGCUUUUGAAUAGUGCAUUCAACGUUUAAUUGUAUGGUCCAGUUCAUUGCCGAUUACAUGGAGUAAAGAUUGUGCUCUUUCCUUUUUCACCCCUUUUGGAAUCGAUACUGUGGAGAAUUGGGUUUUUCCCUCCUUUUUUUCUUUUCUUUCCUUCUGUGCUUUGCAAAACAUACGUAAAAAUAUGAAAUCCGAAGCAUUCUUUAAUUGGGAUUAAGUAUUGUUGUUGAAAUUAAAAAGAAGAAAGAAAGAACAACAAAAAUCCCAAUCUGGGUUGAUUGUUGAGCUCUAGAUUGGCUGCAUCGUGCUUCCAUAGAAGUUCUCUUAGUGUGAUACGCUGCUUUCAAUCAGUUUUAAUAUUUAAGUAGAGUGCAAAAUAACUUUACUAUUUAAUGGGUUAUAAUGCACCAUUUGGUACCUCUCACCCACCUAUGAUUUGAUUUACUACUGGCAUGGUAAUGGACAGAGUUGGGGGAGCAGGAGGAGGGAGAUGGCGGUACCAGUCCGUCAACCACAGCACACCCUCCCUCGGACUUUGCGUGGUAGCGAAGUGGAGGCAGAUCGAGCACACAUGCACUAACGCCUUAAGUAUGUACAAUAUAUGUAUGCCAAAAGCAUAGCCAAGCCUACCAGCGCAUUUCAAUAAUAUAACCCGGAAAUUAAGGGCAUUGAAUUAAGUACGAUGAAUCAUAUUGGUGCACAAUUACAGUUUGAAGCUACCGAUUCGAGUAAAUUUAAGCGUAAGCACAAUCAAUCGCCAGUCAAAUGCUGAAAUAUGCAUAUGCAUGGAUGAAUGUAUGGGUUUCUUAGUUCCAGACCAAAGGCCAACAAUAAGGGAAGGAAGGACAGUUCUCAUUUUUAGCACGGACAAGGAGAUGAAGAAAAGUGUAUGUAGCUUGAGACAGAACAAUGGCAUGUGACCGCUCCUGAGACCACAUAACGUGGGGUGGGGAUGGGACGGCCAAGAAUGAAGAUGCCUGUCGGUCUCUCCGUGCUGCUACCAUAUGAAUCCCCCGUUAACCAAUUCAAGAUAAGCCUGAAGUUCUUUUCAUCCCCAAACCCUGUCCCAUCUGUGUAAAUCCAACAUCAUCAUUUACGACCUGCAACUCAGGUUAAGCAUGUUCUAUUGAGAUUCAGACACCACCCUUCAAAAGAUAUACUACUGUGAAACCAGCAGCUUAAUAUCAUUGUAUAAAAAAAAAAAAAAAAGAAAGAAGAAAAGACAUGAAAAGCAAAUUUUGUGGGGAUAAUUUCAAAAUCUCUCCUAAAGUUUUUUACUAUUUUACUGGCCUCCUUUCAAAUUUUAAAAAUUACACCAGUCUUCCUUGAGAUUAUUUAUCUUGUAACAUUGAGGUCCAAUCAAUAAUUAAAAAAUGAUAUUAUGAGAGAGAAAAAAAAUAAACUUUAACAUCAUAAAUAUUCUUAUCAACAUAUUAAAGUUAGUUACUGAAAUUUUUAUGGUGUUAAACUUCACUCUUUGUAAUAUUUUAGUUACAGAUUUUUUGAUUACUUGUUGUUGAUUUUUUUUUUUUUAGUGUAAACAGGAGGACUCGAACCUAAGACCUCUCACUUACACUCCCUCCCCCCGUACCACCCCAACCCAACCCAACCCUCCCCUCGUUGUUGAUCAUGUUUGACAAUGGAUUUGUAAUUGAAAAGAACAAUUUGGAUCUUACAUUGAGUGAAAUAUAUAGAAUGAUAUACUAUUUUUUAUGGCAUAUGUGAUUCAAUCCUUGAUGAUAAAAGCAAAUUCAAGUGUUUUCUUUAAUGUUUGUGCUGAUAUUAGAUUAAUUAAAUAAUUUAGUAGAUGAAGGAAAAUGGUGAAAUCAUAUUAUCUUCUCUUUCCUAAUAUCACUAUUUAAUUAUUGAUUGAACUUAGAUAUUACAAAUAAUAAAUCUCAAGGGAGAUUAGUAUAAUUUUCAAAUUUUGGAGAGAAGCUAAUGAAAUAGUCAAAAACCUUAAGGGAGGUUUACAAAAUUAUCCCAAAUUUGUGGGAAUUAGAAUAAUUGUACUGGACGGCACUGCCGCAACAGAGGGAAAGAGGAGGAGGUGCAGUUAACUUUUUGUUGUUUGAAAUCCUUGGUGAAAUAUUACAGAAAGACAGAUAAAACAGUUAGUACAUAGAUGUAUAUGACAGGGAAAAUGGUACGUCUGUUAAUCACAUUUGAAACACUUUCAUUGGUGAAUGACGAAAACUAUCAGGCUUGCCCAAUAGUUGAUCAUUGACCAAGACAAAUCUUGCCAUGCUAGAGGUACCAUCUUUUCGUACCUCUUUAGUGCACAGGACAUUCCUUUGUUUCAUCUAGCUAAUAAUCUACCAACUCAUUUCUUUGCAAAUGCACCUUUUAUGGUCACGUCUACGAAAGCUUUACAGGAUCUUUACCCAAAAAAUCAAUUCACCGACUCGCAUUUGAUGUCAAAAUUUCUUUACUUUACUCCAAGAUUGACUGUUAAUAAUAAUGCCACUUUGAAUUAUCACACCAUCCUUCUUGAUAGGAUUUGUGCUAGAGGUAGGGAGGGAGUCGCUGCAGCCGGUCUUCUCUUCAUAGACAGUACAAUAUUGCGAAAUCGAUCGCAUUCACGCAAUAUUAUAUUUCCAAGUCGUUGCAUGGGUAAGCUGCCAAAAAGUACGAACACAUGUUAUUAUAUAGCUUAAGAUUCAAAACUUUCGAGCAUAACCCUCCACCUAACACAAUUGAAUAAUGGAUAUUCACGAUUGUCAAAUCUGUCAAAGUACAGUUUGAGGACAACCCAUUCCAACCUGCAAAAGGUUUUUUUACUUUUCUAAAGUUGUUGAGAGCUGUUAAAAGAUUUACCAUGCUUACAUCUUCCGAGCCUUGGGAGUUAAAAAUGAAGGCACUGAGUGCUAUAAAAAGGGAAUAGAGGCUGCCUAGAAGCAUACCAGCCUAAAACAAGGAUUUGUAGUUAUGAUGGGAAGCAAAGCAAAAGCAAUGGGGUCUGGGCUGACUCCUCUUCUUGCCACUGUUUUAGUGGUGUUUGUUGCUCUUGGCUUGCCCUCAGAAACUGCAGCUGAUGAUCACUACAAGUAUUCAUCUCCUCCUCCUCCUUACACUAUCCCUCACCACCACCUCCAGUGCAUAUACCUCCACCUCAUCCUGUUUACAAGUACAAAUCUCCACCACCCCCACCACCACACCCAGUUUACAAGUAUAAGUCACCACCACCACCUCCUCAUCCGGUACCACACCCAGUUCCUCAUCCGGUGCCACACCCAGUUCCUCAUCCGGUGCCACACCCAGUUUACAAGUAUAAGUCACCACCACCACCUCCUCAUCCGGUACCACACCCAGUUCCUCAUCCGGUACCCACACCCAGUUUACAAGUAUAAGUCACACCACCACCUCCUCAUCCGGUACCACACCCAGUUUACAAGUAUAAGUCACCACCACCACCUCCUCAUCCGGUAUACAAGUAUAAGUCUCUCCGCCACCAACACCCAGUUUACAAGUAUAAGUCACCACCACCACCUCCUCAUCCGGUGCCACACCCAGUUUACCACUACAAGUCACCACCACCACCUCCUCAUCCGGUACCACACCAGUUUACCAUACAAGUCACCACCAAUCCUCACCCAGUUUACAAAUACGAGUCUCCACCACCUCCAGUUUAUAAGUACAAGUCACCACCACCUCCUCCACCAGUUUACAAGUAUAAAUCUCCUCCACCACCACCACCAGUUUACCACUACAAGUCUCCACCACCUCCUCCCCCAGUUUACAAAUACAAGUCUCCACCACCUCCUCACCACUACUAAGCAAUUGCUUCUGAGGUAAUAACACUUGUUCAAUAUACCCACUUCUGCAUGAUAAAGCAUAUCUCUAUCAACACAAACUGUCAUGUCUAUCAUGCUAAGUGCCUUCACUUCAUCCACCAAAAUGACUGCUAGAAAAUUUUUUUUAUGUUACCAAAGAAAGGCAUCAUUUUUUCCCUCUGUUAUCAAGAACUUGUACAGUAUAUAGAUUAAAGAGUUUUUAUUUUAACUAGCUUAUCAACUUAGAAAUGCAUAUAGCUGAUAACCAGCUGAAUAUUUGCAGGCAAAGGAGAAGGAAACCAUGUUUGAGACCUUCUUGAAGAUGUAGAAGCAUAAGAAUAAAAGCCCAAUGUGAAGAUGAUGAUUUCAAGUUUUUCUACGUUACCAUUUCUUUAUCUAAAUUGGUUGUAGCGCCCAAGUUCCUUUGUUUAUGGGAUUUGUAUCGUUUUACGUACCAUGCAGUACAUGUCAUGUUUGUAAGGUUUUCUAUCCUGCCGGCAAACCGCAGGUUCCAUGUGAUAAAUGAAUACUAUUUAUGUUACGACACUUUUCUCUGUUUCUCUUAUAUUUUGUCUUUAAUAUUCUUAAUCAUAUUUUUAACAAAAAUAUUCAAACA
This 120035-nucleotide long non-coding RNA is filed under the name Coffea arabica (coffee). Its description in RNAcentral is "long non-coding RNA (CARA_LNC007267)". The stretch from base 112222 to 112328 matches the Rfam family "Plant small nucleolar RNA R71". Lineage: Eukaryota; Viridiplantae; Streptophyta; Magnoliopsida; Gentianales; Rubiaceae. The record is from RNAcentral.